UAUUGGCCCAAUUUUAACUAAACUCAGAUUAUUCACUCAGCCUAUAUAUAAUUAAAAUAUAUUAUAUUUAUAUAUUUUUUAAUAUAUAUAUAUAUAUAUAGUGUAGAACUACUAUGCUAUCGAAAAUAUAGAGGAUUUGAUGUUUUCGAAUUUUUGACCUUUGAUUAAGAAUUGUAUGGUUGGGAUGAUUGCGGUCCCCCCUAGGAUUAAAUAAUAUCCCUAGGAUUGAGUGGUCCCUACAAAAUAAUAAUAGUAUUAAUUCAAAGAAAUGAUUAAAGGGGUUGAUCUAAGAAUAAAAAAAUCGAAAGCACCAUAUCCUUUAUACUUUCGAUAGCAUAAUAGCUAUACUAUAUAUAUAUUCGAGCUUUUCGAGCUUUUCGAGCCUAAUUCGAUCGAGCCGAGUAAUACUCAAGCUCGGCUUGAAAUAAAUUUCGAGCCUUUUUUUUUGUUCAAGCUCGGCUUAUUUAAUUUCGAGUCGAGUUCGAGCGAGCCAAAUAUCGAGUCGAACACGAGUCGAACGCGAGCCGGCUCGCUCAUUUGCCAGCCCUACAAGGGAGUAAAGCAUUAUGUCAUCAUGCUCUAUGAUCAACAACAAUAGUAGUAGUAAAGAGCUGGGUACCACAACAAUAAUCAAAACUGACGACCUCUCUGGCCAAUAUUAAACACCACCACUGCUACUAGUCCAUAAGGUUAUUAUGCGUUGUCAAGAUUCAAUUUGGCUGGUUCUAGGGCAACAAACGACUACAACAUGUAUAAGAAACUAAGCAUGCUAUUCUCAACGUCUACACUGAGCAAGUUAUGAACAUCAUAUGCAUAAUACAAGCAAAAGCACUAAGGGAGAAUGAACCAUCAAUAUUUUAGAAGUAGGGUUGGGAAGAAUGAACCACGUCAAUGGGGUACCGCUGUAGCCAUUGCGUAUUGUGCACCCACGUAGAAUAGUCCACUCAAUGAUUACGAUGUGUUUUCGACUCUUCAAUUUUCGUUCGGGAUAAGACUCUAGAACGUGAUCCCUAACAAGAUAACCCAUAGAAACCCAUUGCCAAAGUUUUUGGAUUGUCAAGUUCCAAAACCUGAUGUUGGCAUUUCGGAACCAUCCUCAGGUUUCAGAACCCAUGGUUAGGUUCUGCAGAACCAGAACCUUGCGCCCGUUCCAGUGGGCUAGUUCCAAAACCCAAUGCCCCAGUUCUGAAACCAGGUCUCCCCGGUUGCAUUCUAGCAGCAACAAUUUCACAAGUUUUGUGAAAUCGCAACGUCUAUUCAACUAGAAUCAACUCCAAAUCAUUCAAAACUCUUGGAGGGCUCCCUAGCAUAUAAAUAAAAACAUGGGGAAGCUAGGACUCAAGGCACUUUUCUAGGGUUUCAAGGCUAGAAACCUACAUCUAAGAUUUUCCGUGAAAUCCCUCAAGAGACUUCUACUACUUUUGUGUUGAAGCUCAUCCAAUGGGAGUUCAUAACAAGAAUAUUUUCAAACCCCUAUACGACAACAAUGCACCCAUAAAACCAAGUCGUAAAGCCCUUUUGAGUUUCCAAAAAAACUCAAUCUAGGAAAAACCAUCAACAAGGAUCCCCCAACAAAACUAAAGAUCCCUUAGUAACUCACCUAAACCUUAAAGUUCUUUAGACAAUGGAGCUCAAGAGGUUGUGUUCACCUUGUCCAAGCCCCCAAAAGCUCGAGCUACAAGUGGGAAUCCUUGAGAAAGAGGAGGAAGGAGGUAGGGUGCAAGGGAGUGAGAGGGGGGAGGAUAAGGAGAGGAGAGUUCUCUUGAGGGAAAGAAAAUAAGAGGGGGAAAAAAGCUAGGGUUAGCUUUUUUGAGCUAUUUAUAAGGGGUACGCAAUUGCAUUUUAGUCCCUGAAUAAUUCGGGUUUCAUUUUUUUCCCAACUCAACCCACACAGAGGGGGAAAAUAUUGCUAGUUGUUGCUUAUUCCCUACACUUGCAAGUCUAGAAGAAAUUGGAUAAAGUGAUGUUCCCGAGCUAGGACAUCGAAGAAGCUCCUUCCCUGUUUCCUUGUCCUUCACAGAGAAACCAGUAGAGUCAAAUUCAAAAAGAGAAUUAUUAUCUUGACAGAAUUUACGCACUGAAAGUAAAUUUCUCUUAAUAGUAGGAACAACAAGAACAUUUUUGAGAGCAAAAGAGUUAGAAGAUGUAUUCAAUUGAGUUUCACCUGUCUGAGUAAUAUCAAGUAAAUUUCCAUUACCAACAAGAAUUUUUUUAUGCCUACUAUAAGGUUUAGAAGAUGAGAGAAUACCAGAGUUUGCGGUUAUAUGAUUUGAUGCUCCGGUAUCCGGAUACCAGACUUCCUCACUGGGUUCGUGAAGGUUCAUAGCAGCAAAGGUCUGAGGAACUUCAUCAGCAGCGAAAGAAUGAUUGAAGCGUUGUCUGCACUGAAGAGCAGAAUGAUUGAACUUUCCACAUAUCUGACAUUGUAUGCCGGACUUCGGAAUAUAUGGUUGUUGAUUUGGAGUGUAAGAUUGUUGAGGAUAAUUAGGUUGAGACUGUGGGUAGAUUUCAGGAGAUCCACGACCAGAAUAGUGUCUACCACGUUGUCCUCGGCCUCCACGAUAUCUACCUCCACGGCCUCCACGAUUACCACGUCCACGAUUGGCAUAAAGAGCUUCACUGUCAAUAGUGGGAAUAGCAGAGGACGUAGUCACACUAGUGCGACGCUGAACUUCUGUUUCUUCUUGCAUCAAGAGUGGACGAAGUUGUUCAAAAGUUGGCUUAUUUCUGUGUGUGUUUAGAGCACUAACAAAACCUCGAUAUUCCUCAGGUAGCCCUAGAAGAACAGUCAUGACCAAAUUAUGGUCUGACUCGAUUUCACCAAUCGCCUGAAGAGCAUUACCAAUCGUCUUGAUCUUUUGCAUGUAAUCACUCAUGCUCAUUGAGCCUUUCUUGAUGCUCCGCAAUUCAGAUUUUAGAGAAAAAGCCGUGGAAGCAGUCUUAUCAAGAAAAUAUGCCUCAAUAAUUCUCCAAGCAUCAUAUGCAGUUUUAGGUGAGCUAGAAACAACCAUAUGUAAUAUGCUAAGAGAUAAAGUGGCAUUAAUCCAUGAAAGUAUAGUAGUAUCGUUCUUUUUCCAACUCACAUAUUCAGGAUUUAUAACCUCCUUCUUAUCAGCAGUAUCGAUAGUCUGAGAAGGCACAACACUAGUUCCGUCCACAUGUUUUGUAACAUCAAAACUUUCUAGAACAUUAAGAAAGACUUGUUUCCACACAAGAUAUGUAGAAUCGGUGAGUUCUAGUGGUAUGAGAGUUUUGAUAUUAACAAUUGGCAAAUUUGAGGUAGAAGAAGACAUGUUUACUACCUUAAGAUAAGGAUCCACCACUAGAUAAGAAAGAAAGAUAAAUCGGAAUGUAGCGGAUGUGAAUAAAAAAAAAACCUGAAUUCUAUCACAUGAGAGGAACCACUUAUCACCAAAUAAGAUCGACCGCACCAAGGAAAGAACCGAGUGAUACGAGCAACCAACAGUAGGACAGUCCGAGCGGCACCAGAGGAGCAAAGAGAAAUCACAGAAAGGCUGAAAAUACUGUAGCAGAAAUACUGUAGCGCUGUUACUGUAGCGCUGUUACUGUAGCGCCAGUACUGUAGCGCUGAUACUGUAGCAGUACUGUAGCAAUAUUGGGAAGAUAGAAAACCAAAAGAAAAGACACCUAUAGAAAAAGGUGAGAUUAAUGGUGGAUGGUGGCUAUGGAUCGAUAUCCCCACAUUAGGGUUCCCGCUCUGAUACCAUGAAAGAAGGGCUAAAGUGCAUACCCUCUUGAGUUGUAUUAAUGAAUAUAUAUAGUACAAGAGAUUGUCUUACUAUAGUAACAAUGACUACUAUAGUAAGAGUAUAACUAGGAUUACAUACUAUAUAAUCCUACUCUAUAGAAGGCAAUGAUACUACUCUAUAUAAGGCAAUAAUACACAAUAUCCUAAUAUAUCGUAACAUCCUAAUAUAGAUAAAAUAUAUCGUAACAGAGUCACUUCAGUAGGUAUUGGUGAAACAUACUAUGCCACAAUUAUGUUGUGCCAGUUGACUCUACAUCAAUCAUUCCUUUAAGAAUGCUCACAUGCCUCUAUGUGUUUGUAGAUCUAACAGCCAUAAUUUGAACAAUCGGAGAUUCUAACUGAUAUUAGAAUCCUUUACUAUGAUUAUAAUUACUUUUGAAUGUCAUUUCAUAUUAGUAGUGGGUAGUAUAUGAAAUAACUCGAUCUGAAAUUUCUAACGACUUGGAACUAGAGUAAUUAUAUACUUCUUUCAGAAUUCUGGUUAACAUCACUUAAAAUUCAUUUCAGAUCCGCUAAUUUGAUAUGAUAGUGCUAUUUCCCAAUGUGCAUCUAUUUUUAAAAUACGCUGGUUUUAACUAAAAUUUGCCACCUUUUUGUAGGUGAAUACAUCUGAUCUAAGAAAUGGAGCACACGUCAGGCAAAAAUUUGGGGAGGCAGUGGGUUCACUUGGUCUGAACAGAUGGUAUGCCAUGCAGUUUUCUUUAUGUAGUUUUUAUUUUUUUCAGCUGAUAAAAUUUUUCUUAAUUUUUUCUCAGUCACAUAAUCUUCAAUUUUGUAUGCAUAAUUGCAUAUAUAAAGAUCAUUUGAUAAACUUGAUCCUUUUUAUAUUCUGAUACAAGUUAUUUAGAUUCUUUGCCUUUAUCUUGUGGAUAUUCUCCUAAUUUCAUCAUUUCAUCAGUUUGUGAACUCAUUAUAGAAGUCUCAUGUUUGACCAACCUACAAUAAUGUUCUACUUACCUUUCAAUACCCAAAACCAAGAAAAGUUUAGUGAUAGGAAGGGGAUAUGUGAUAGCUGUUAAAGACUUAAGUGCAUCAACUAAAGAUUCACUGCAUCAAUAUAUUCAACAUGGACAACAGGCGUUCUUGGCAAGAGUAGUAGAUAUUGUUUUUCUAUGUUGUUUGAAUAGAUUCCAUUUUGUCCGAGUAGGCAGUUAACUUGCACGAUCUCUUGCAACUUCACGACUACCUAUAUAUGUUGUGUUGAUGCUGUUUAUUGGGACAUGUGUAGGAUCGAAAAGAGCCUACGACAUUGAGAUUCCAAAAAGUUUUUUUCUUGAUUUUGGAAUAGGGAAAUGUCUUUGAGCAGAUGGUGAGCAAUUAAGUAAUCCUAGAUACCUAUUAGCCUUUGGUCUCUUUGAGUUAACCAGCUCUACCCAACUUGUUAAACCGGAAGAGGGAAAGAAAGAAUGAAAUUGAUCGAAGGAUGCUUCUGGAUUGAUGCAGUUAUCUGAAAAAGUCAGACUAGGUCCGUAUGCUAGUAAAGAUACAUAACAGUUGCUACUACCCUUUGAGCAUCUACGACGACUAUAUGAUCCAGCAUGACAGGUGGUGAGCUAUGCAUCAAACAAAUUGUUGUAUUAUCCCCAUAACUUACCAUGGAAAAUCAUCUUAUGCUUAUUUGGUCGUAUAAUUGGUUAGCAGAUUCAGUGAGAUAGACUGUAGCCCAGUUUGGAGAUAUAUUGAGAAAUUAAUGUCAUGUUUUUCAGUAGUACCUAAAUAGGAGUUUGUGUUGAGAACAUGAAAUAAUAGGCUUCUACAGUAGUGGAAGCAGAGUUAGUUGAAAAACAACAAACUAAGCAAAACAAGAGGUAAUAUUCUCUUUCAUUUGUUUUCUGCUAGCCAAGGAUUUAAAUUAAGUGCCGUGGCAUGGGGUCGUGCCGGAAACUUGCCGGCACGGUGCGUGCCGAGCCGUGCCGAUGCGUGCCGGUCAAAAAAAUUCUUGUGUGCUGACACAUAAUAGCAUGAAAUAUUUAUUUUUUUUAGCAAUAAAAUAUUCUAACUAUUUAUUAUGCCUUUUUAUCAUAUCUUUUGAACUUUAUUGAGGAAAUUAUUUACUAAUUUAAAGAAUAGAGGGUUUGGAAUUGUGCCAUCGGCAUGGAGUCUGUAUCGUGCCGGUAUAUUGUUGGCACGGUACGGCACGGUGGAUACGGCCCGUACCAACGGGUACUUAAAACCUUGCUACUAGCCCUUAAUCUGACCCAACUUUAGGCAAUUUUUAUGUUUAAAUCCUUCAGCUGCAUAAUACUGAUUAAACAUUUAUAGUGCUUUGACUUUGUCUACUAUUAUAAAUUAUAUUUCUUGACAAGCCAGUGCAAUUUCAUUCAGGUCAUGCGAUAAUAUCCAUUUUGCAAGAAGAAAAAAUCUUUUUGAAUCGAUUUCAAGUGCUUGUGAUUCUAGAGAAGAUAGCGAGAAUUGCUCAAGAGAAGUGGUUGUAAACAGAUGUAGUCCAGAUAAAGCUUCUUCAGAGUGCACUUGGGGUGUUAGAGAAAACAAUACUGCACCUAAAUGUGGCACAAAUAAAACAUUAAUACUCUUUGAGGAUGUUGAUACUGUUUUUGAUGAGGACCGUGGUUUUAUCUCCACCGUAGUUCAGCUAGCCGACACCACUAAAUGGCCCAUUGUGCUUACUAGUAAUAGUGAGUUUUACUACCUUGUGGUCCAACUUAUUUCAAAUUCUUAAGUUCUAAUGGUUUUUUUUUUUUAUUUGGGUGGGGUAAAAGCUUGAGUUCUGAUGCUCUAACUUGGUAUUUUAGACAAGAAUCCUAUCUUACCGCAACUUUUGGGUCGGUUAUCAUUGGAAUUUAAGCAUCCAUCAUUUGAAGAGCUACUUUCCCUCGUGGAACUGGUAAAAACAUCUACUCUCUUCAAAGUCUUUAGAAUCUUCCGUAACUUUUAACACUGUUUAGUUUCUCCUUGUGCAGAUCUGUACUUCUGAAAGAGCUAAAGUUUCUUCAUCCUUAAUGAAGCAUUUAAUCAAGUCUUGUCUAGGUGAUAUUCGGAAGACAAUCAUGCUUCUUCAAUUUUGGUCUCAAGGCAGGAGAGACUUUGUAGGUUAGUUGUUUGCAGAUGCAGUUCUUUUCCGUUGUUGGAAUUGAUUCUUUACGAACCUCAGUACUCCUUUGAGCAAUGAACCUUUUCCUUUGUUUCAAUUUAGUCCAUUGUGUUUGUUGUGUAUGCGAAAGGUCCUCACAAGCAGACCAAAGGAAGAGAACACGGAUCAGCCAAUCACCUAUUUCUAUGACUGCCUAUCUAUCCUGCAAAACCAAAAUCACCAAAUAUUCAUCAUAGAGAAUCUCCAAAUUGCUUGAAUGGUUGCAAUAGCUAGUUUUGCAUGACAUUCGUGUAGCUUAUGUCCAUUGUUUUUCUUUUAUAUUCUUUGUUACUACAUGUCUUUCUCAUUUACUUUAGGAGUGCUUGCCCUAGUUUUUGAAAAGUGAUUUCUAGAAAAUUAAUUUUGAUUUGAAGAAUUGAUUUUGGUUAAAAUCUGUAGUAGAGCGUUUGGCUGAGUCUAGCAGGAAAGUGAUUUUUCUAAACUGAUCUUAUAAAAUUGUUGGCAAAAUUUUUUCUAUUUGAAAAUAAUAAAUAUAAAUUUAAAAUUUUAAAUUUUGAAUUAAAAAUUUGAUAUUUGAGUUUAAAACUUAAAUUUGUAAUUUUUAAAAUUUAAAAUUUUCAAACUUAAAGUUUAAAAGUUAAUAUUUGAUUUUCAAUUUAAAUAAAAAUUUUAAAUCUUAAAUUUAAAUUUAAAAUUUUAAAAUAAAUAAUUAUUGAUUUUGAGCCACUUCGAUUACUAGGCAAAUGAUUUCGAAAAAUCGCAAAAUUUAUUUUCUAGAUACUUCAAAUACUGUAGAUCAAGUCUAACGGUGCCGAUCGUUGAUUUGAAAGUCCGAACAUUGAAAACAAAGUGGAAGCACAGAGCCCUCUGUGCUUCCAUAAGCAUCCUAGCCGUGCUCUUGAAAUUUAAAAUUUACAAUUUUGGAAUGUGAAAUUUGAAAAUGGAAGAUUGAAAAUUAAAAAUUGAAAUUUGAAAAUAAAAAACUUAAAAUUUCAAAUUAAGAAUUAAAAAUUAAAGAUUAAAAAUAAAAAUUUUAAAUUACAAAUUUUAAAAUUUUAAAUUUGAAAAUUGUAAAUUGAAAGUUGAAAUUUCAAAAUUUCAAUUUAAUCUAAAAUUUUAAAUUUUAAAUUUGAGAUUUAAAAUUAAAAUUUAAUAUCUAAAUUUAAAAUUUUGAAAUUUAAAAUUUAACUUUAAUUCUUAAAAUUUGAAAUUUAAAAAACUUAAAACUGAAAAUUUAAAAUUCAAAAUUCAAAAUUUAAAAUUUGAAAUUUAAAAUUUAAAAUGUAAUAGUAAUAUUGAAAAUUUUGAAUAUGAAUUAAAUUUGAAUUUGAAUCCAAAAUUUAAUUUUAAAAUCCAAAAUCAGAAUCCGAUUUCAAAAGGUAGUUUUUAACUAUUAAUUUUUGGCCUCUAAAAUCAAAAAACUAAUUCUAAAAAUCGGAAUUAGAUUUUAAAAAUAGGAUUGCCGAACGCUCUUUUUUAAGAAAAUUACUUUUUGCUCCAAAAAUCACUUCCUAGAAGCUAGGCUAAACAACCCCUUAAUCAUUUUGCCUUUAAACAAUGAUGGUGAUCAUUCCACAUUUUUGCCUUUCCUUUGCAGAUAAGAAAAUCAAAUGCACUUGCAGCCCCCUUCCAUUUGAUAUUGAUGCAGCACAUUCAGUAAUGCCAAGAAUACUUCCAUGGGAGUUUCCAUGUGAACUAGCAGGAAAGUUAUACGAGGAGAUAAAUCUGACUAUUGAUAUGUUAGAAGACUAUUUGCAGGGCGUAGAAGCACCAAUCAAUGCAAAGCUAAAUUUUGAAGAGAUGAAAGAUUUUUUCAGUAUGGGAAAGAAUGCAUGUAAAAGUAAAAAGACUAUGAAGAAACCUAAGCUAAAGGCGCAUCACACAGUUGAUUGCUCUGAAGUUCCAGCUCAUGAGAAUGAUCUCGAUGACUUCUCCGAUGCUUCAGAUUCCCCUGUGCCGAAUGUUCAAGGAAGAGUGACAAGUAAUCGUUUUAUGGUAUUGUCAUCCCAAUCAGAUGACGACCUAUAUGAUGAGCAUCUGCCCGAAGAUAACAAAUUAUGCAAUUAUUUAUUGCACGAUACAUCAGUCGCAACUAAUUUACACGGCCAAGAAGCUUCAAGUCUCUUGGAACUACCUGCUGAUUUAUCUUAUCAAUUUAGAAAGGACAAUUAUGUUCAAACUCUAUUUGAAGGCAAUAGAACAAUUUCUACUUCAUGUGUUUAUGAUUCAUUCAAGAUGCAGGAUGUGUCAUUUGUUCCAGAGUCCUCAGUAUCUGGGGCUGAAACAAUUAAAAAUGACGAAUUCCUAUCAACAGCAGUAUCUCCUGACAAUCUGAAUGGCCUCAUGUUUAAAUCAAAUGAAUAUUUAGAAACUCUUGUUGGUGUUGCUCGUGAGGCUGAUGUAGAAUCAGUCGUUCAGGAAAAUUUGGAGCUGUGGAAUAGUCAGAAUGAAGAUGAAGCUACAACUGUUGGUUACCAUCUGAUGGAUGAGUGUAGCCGUCCUGAGACCAUGUGGCUGGUUUCUGGUAGUAGUAAAUGCUCUCCCAAAAUCAUAUCCGUUCAGGAUACUUGGAAUAAAUUACGUGGUCAACGUGACCUUCGUUCACACCUCAACCACCAUAAAGCGGCUUCUGAAGCAGUAAAUCUUGCUAGUGGAAUUACUGGUCUAAUUUCUGAAACUGAUAUUAUGUUCACUAGUUGCAAGCCACUUGUCAAUGUAAGCUGUUUUGGGUUUUUAGAUAGUCUGAAAAAUAACUUUUUUUGAAGGGAUAAUUGCCUAUAUACCCCUUAAAACUUCGGAAAUAUCUUAUUUACCCCUAUUUUUUUUUUCAAUAUACCCCUCAUAUGUUCCUCCGUUAUUCCAAAAUACCCCUGCAGUUAUCACCCGUUAAGUUAACUUGGGUUAAACGUGAGUUAAAUAUCUACCGCAGUUAAAAAAAAUGAAAAUGCCACUUUUGUCCUUAACUUAAGGGCAAAUAAAAAAUGUUGGUGAUGGUAGAAGGGUUAUAUUUGAAAAGACCAAAAAGCAAAAUACCUUUUGUAUCCCUAACUUAAGGGCAAAUAAGAAAAAUCGGUGAUGGUAGAAGGGUAUAUUUGAAAGGGCAAAAUAGUAAUUUCAUAGAAAUAACAGAGUUUAUUAACAGAUUUUAACUCUAGGGGUAUAUUAGAAAUAGGUUGGAACGUAAAAAGGGUAUUUUUAAUAUUAGCCUUCUAAGAGGGGUAAAUCAGAAAGUCAGGAACUUUUCAGGAGUAUAUAAGCAAUUGCCGCUUUUUCGAAAUAUGUGUAAGCUGUUUAGGUUUUUUGAUAGUCUGAAAAUUAACUUUUUUCCUUACAUAUUUCACAUUCAUGUGGAAUUCUACUGUUAAUUUUGCAGGAUGUUUUGGAGCCGUCAUUGACCCGGGGGGAGGAACCAGAUUCUUUCUCCUGGUAUUUUGACCAGUUCGAGAUUGGAUCUGCAUACGCUCAGCAUGGCUUUUGCUUUUACACUAAUGCAUGUGUUAAUGCAGGCCCAGAUUUGAGUAUAAAUUCAACUGAUCUUUCACAGGAAAUGCUAGCUUCCAGCAUUAGUGCUAUGGCUCUUGGAAAACUUUUGGCUAUGGAAAUUACUGAUAGUGAAGCAUUAUAUAAUAGAAGCUUGCAUAUGAAUGAGCCCAAAUUUUCCCCUUCUCAAAAGAGGUAUGGAAUGUCUGGACAAUUAAACUGCUUCUGAAAGUUUAUUUUAGCUGCAUAAUAAGAACAGUACUCAUAGUGGCGCCUCAUCGUCUCGCUGGUUGUUCUACUCAUGUUACUUUGUAUCAUUCAUGCUUUAGUUAUCUUGCUCACUUAUUAGCAUGAUUUAUUCUUGCGGGUGAUAAUUAAAUAAUCAAUAUUUAGUAAAAGCUUGCAAAUGUGUGGGAUUUUCCCUCAAUAGUUAAUUUAGUGCAAGUGAUUGAAGAAUUUAAUUAUUUAAACUGCAUGGAUUAAGUUAUUACAUCUGUUGUGAUCCCUGAAGAACAACAGUCCUAAAUAAUACUAACAUUACGACAAACAAGGAUGUCAAGGCUGCUAGGUCUGAGGCCAGGGACUCUUCAAACACCUUGGAUACCUAGGCAUUUAGUAGGCCCGGUCAAGUCUUAAAGUACGUGUAAUUAUAACUUUCUUUUCUAGAUUGAAAAUGGAAAGUAGUUUUAAUACAUGUAACUUCCUAAGUUGAGAAGGCUGUACUUAGAGGAAAGGAAAUGGAGAGGCCAGCCGCUGGUCUUUAGAAUUGUAUAAAGUAAGAAAGUAAAUGAAGAAAUUGGGGGGAUAGGGAUUUCAGGGUCAUUGAAGCCACCCAUUGAUGGUUGAGGAUGGAAAAGAUCAUUUCAUGAUUCUAGAAGAAAAAACAUUUGCAACUAAUAGGGAAGUGGUGAGGUCAUUUCGCAAUCCUGAUGAGAGCAUAGCUCUGAUAAUUAGUGGGGUAAAAUUUGUUAUAUCUUUUAUAUCCAUCUGUUCCUGUGGAAUUGGAGAUUCUACUAUCAUGAGCAUGGUUUGAAGUUUCCGUGCAAACACCAGAACGAAAACUGAGAUGUUUCAAUUUCAAUGGUGCUGUUUCAAAACUAAGGUUUCAAUCAAUCUGCCCACUUUGGUUUCGGUUAUAGUGGGUGGAAAGAUGGACUUGUUUAGGGCUGGCAAAUGAGCGAGCCGGCUCGCGUUCGACUCGCGUUCGACUCGAUAUUUGGCUCGCUCGAGCUCGACUCGAAAUUAAAUGAGCCGAGUUUGAACAAAAAAAAAAGCUCGAAAUUCAUUUCAAGCCGAGCUUGAGUAUUACUCGGCUCGUUCGAAUUAGGCUCGAAAAGCUCGAAAAGUUCGAAUAUAUAUAUAUAUAGUAAAGUUACUAUACUAUCGAAAGUAUAGAGAUCUGGUGCUUUCGAUUUUUUGAUUCUUAGAUCAAUCCCUUUAAUCAUUUCUUAUCUUUCGAUUAAUAUUAUUAUUAUCUUGUAGGGACCACUCAAUCCUAAGAGUAUUAUUUAAUUCUAGGGGAGACCGCAAUCAUCCCAACCAUACAAUUUUUAAUCAAAGGGUCAAAAAUUCAAAAACAUCAAAUCCUCUAUAUUUUCGAUAGUAUAGUAGUUCUACACUAUAUAUAUAUAUUAAAAAAUAUAUAAAUAUAAUAUAUUUUAAUUAUAUAUAGGCUGAGUGAAUAAUCUGAGUUUAGUUAAAAUUAGGCCAAUAUUGUUGGCCCAUAAAAACAAACCCAAUAGACAAAUAAAAGAGCAAAAUUUUACUAAAUUUAUAUAUUUUUUCUUUCUUUCUUUCUUUCUUUCACAGAGCUCUAAAUUUUCAAUAUGUUUCUCUCUUUCUCUUUUUCUGUCUCUCACCCUAAGUGGCCAAGCCGGAAGCCCUCUAAGUUACCAAGUAACAGCAUAUGCCUGCCGUUGCCUACCUUGCUAUUAAUUGUAUGCUUGAGAAAAUAUACAGAAUAUUUUUAAAGUAAAAAAUUAUUAUUCAUAUAAAAUUUUAAUUUUAGUUAUAUAUGAUUGGAUAGUUUAAUCCAAUAUUUAUCUAUAUAAUUUAUUUAUUUUUGACUGCAUAAAUGAAAAUGAAUAAUAUAGAGAUUGAAGGCGGAAGAAAAGACAUGUGAGGCUGAAAAAAUUAGAUAUUCAACUCAUAAAUUAUUUUUUUUCAUAUUAUAAUACUAUAUUUCAUAUAAUUAUUUUGUACUUUGAACUAUUAGACAUAUUUUUGUAUCAAAUUAUAGAUAAUGUUCUAUACAAAUUAAACUAUUGAUCGUAUAAUGUUGAGAAUUUCAAGCGGCUCGUUUCGGGCUCGAGCUCGCUCGACUUGAAAUUAGGCUCGCUCGAGCUCGGCUCGAAUUAAUUUCAAUCCAAGCUUGAGCUUAAAUUUAGGCUCGAAAUUAAUUUCAAGCCGAAUUUGAGCCGAGGUAAGCUCGCUCGAGCUCGGCUCGUUUCCACCCCUAGACUUGGUUUAGAAAUAAAUCCAAAUUGACUUUAAUUAGCCAAGAUCUGAUUACAUUAAAUUGAGUAUCUUUCAUGGUACUUUAUUUGAUGGGUUUUAUCUGUAUAAUAUAUGGCAAUGUGAAGUUUAACUUUGCUUAUAAAGUUAUGUUAUGAACAAGGAUUUAAGUGCCGUGGCACGAGGUCGUGCCGAAAACUUGCUGGCACAGUACGGCACGGUGUGUGUCGCGUCGUGUUCAUGAGUGCCGGUCACAAAAAAUAUAUGUGUCGACACGUAAUGACAUGAAUUAUUUAUUUUCUUUAGCAACAAAAUAUGCCAAUUAUUUAUUAUGUAUUUUAUCAAAUCUUUUGAACUUUAUUGAAAAAAUUAUUUACUAAUUUCAAGAAUAGAGGGUUUUGAGUUGUGCCAUUGGCAAGGAUCGAAGUGUUGCCCCGUGUCGUACGGCACGAGGUAGCAUGUACCGUGCUCCCAAGAAGGGGGCACGGUAUAGGUGGGGUGUCACGUCCCGGGACCGAUAUCAAUUUGGGCCGGCCCGAGCACGUCAAACAGACGCCGAACGGACAAAGUUUUCCCUGUCCGCCCAAGGCUCAUUACAUGUACAUUUUCAAACAAGAAGUGCACUAGCGGAAACAUACAAAUACGGCUUACACGAGGGUAAGCAAUAGCCAUGAGUGAAAGAAAGGAAACUAAACAUUCACUUGUACUAUGAUUCGAUUUAGAUCAUAUACAUUAAGUCCAACUUGUACAUUUUCAAAUUCCUUACAUUUCAUUACAUCAUUUCUUUCUUACAUCACAUUUACCUCGAAAGAGAGCUUUACUUCUUUUCUUUACAUCAUUAAUCAUCAAAUACAAAAGAUGAUAAAAGGGUAACUACUAUCAAAAUACAAGCCCGACUGGGGUGGCCUCUGACUAAGGUGCGAUACCUUUACCUCGGUCGCUCGCCGGCUCGCUCGGUCCCGGCUCUGUGGAAUAGUGGGGUGAGAACUACAACGAAGUUCCCAGUGGGUUCGGCUUCAAUCUCACCGACUUUCCCACUAGGACUAACUCAGGUAUAAUAGAAAGGAAAAGCAACAUAUAGUAACCAAUCUAUAAUAUGAUGCUAAUAUGCUUGAACAAUAAGCAGGAAUAUGCUCAACAUUAACAUAUGCAGAUUAUGCAAGUUCUUUUGUUCUUCACACUUUACACUUUGUCUUUGUUCUUUGUUCUUUGCUCUUUGCUCUUUGUUCUUUAAUCUCAAGGCUAACCCGGGGGUUUCGCCACAUUAACUUGCUUCACAUUAAGUCCAUCAUCGCGGGCCCUCAGCUUCCUCCCGCUAAGACCGUUCUUCGGGUUUAUUCCAACCCGUGAUGCAAAAACUCCGGAGCGCAUCGCCCGAGGGGGAGCGACCACGCUCGAGCACGGAACUCAUAGCAAGUAUGAUCGAAUCCUUAACUCAAAGGAUUGUAUGUUCAAUCUUGACUUUAUACUAACUCUAGUGUUCUUUAUAUCACUUUAUGUUGCUACUCUAGCAAUCAUUGUUCUUUACCUUUCUUUACUUUUGCUAACUCUAGCAAUCAUGUUCUUUACGCCCCACUUUGUUUUCACUUUAGUCAUUAUCAUUAUUCUUUACAUCACAUUGAUUCUUUGCCUCACACUACCUCUAGUGUCACUUUACUUUACGUCAUCAAAUGCCACUCGAUCUGUGUCUCAUUGUGUCACUCUGUUCUUUCGCCUCACUUUAGUUCACUUUGGUACUCACAUUUUUUCUCAUGCAUACAUAUAUAGCGUUUUUGACAUUCAUAAGGUUCUUAACCAUCACAUUAUGCAAGUUGUACUCACAAUCAUGCAACAUCACAUUUUUAUCAUUGCUUUACCCUAAAUGCAUGCAACAAUGUAUAUACAUAUGCUCAAUUGAAUGACACAUUAGGCAUAGAGGGAAGUUCAACGAGUUUGAAAAGCACCACCUACCUCGUAGGCUUUUAAAGGUGCUCCGAUGAUUUCCUUGGGAUUUUUAGACCCUCCGUUCUUUACCUGCGGCAAAACGAAGCCCUAUUAGGCCAUUUUGCUCAUAUCUUUACAUUUGCUUUUCGUAUACUCAAACCGAGCGCACCAACGCGUUUAUUUAGUCCCCAAUUAGAUUCUAGAGGGUCAAUUUCACUUAGAAAUUUUCAUGAGCAAAAGCCCCAAUUUGGGUGCCCUAGCUCCAUUGUAUACAUCAAACCUAGGGUUUGAUCUCAUUGGGAAGCAAAAGAGGCUUCAUUACACUCUAAAGAGUCCAUCUAAACCAUUUUUAGCUUUAUUAAAACCCUAGUUUGGGUUUCACCAUGAGAGGUGGUUGAAGCUCACCUCUAAGUUUCACUAUACACACCAUUUCCAUGGUUUGAUCUCCAAAAGAAACAAGAAAAAGCUUCAAAUACCCAAAGGACUCUAUCAAAACCAUUUCUAGGGAUUCUAUCACAAUAGGGAUCAAAGCUUACCUCAAAGCUUUCCUUCCUUGGCUUCAAUGAGGAAGAAGAUGGAGUUACUCCACUCCCUUGGCUUCUUUUUCACCUUCUUCUUCUUUUUUCUUCUCCUUUCUCCUUGUCUUUUUCCUCUCCUUCUUGCCUUCUAGAGAGAGAAAGAGAGAUGAGAGUGUGAGAGGGUGAGAAUGAGAGACACCUCAUUUCCCCUCAUACAUAGCUCAAUGGGUUGCAAAAAUGCAGUUAAACCCCUCAACUUUUACUCUUUCACACUGCCUGGACUGGGCAGUUUUCGCAUGCGGGGACCGGUCUCCCCGACCAGGGACCGGUUCCCGUAGGUCCUCCCCGCGGCUGUAGGGCUCCACGCAUGAGGCGAUCGGUCUCUCUUUGGGGGACCGGUCUCCGGGGGACCGGUCUCUCAGGCAGGGACCGGUUCCCGAAGCCUGCCUUCCCAGGACUUAGCCAAUUUUCAGCUUUCCUCUGUUUUCACGUGUACGGGGAUCGGUCUUUCCUUCAGGGACCGGUCCCCGAGAGCACAAAACCUGCAAAAUGCAGAUUUUGAAUCUUUAAGCUCUCGACGACCUCCAACAAUGCACUUUUGCUCAUUUUAACGCCUUCGGACCUUCCGAAGUGUACCAUCCUCGCACUUUGGUCAAUUUGACUAAAGUUCGAUAUUUAUUUUUCGAAUUCUCGGUAUAUUACAUGGGUCUCAGACGCCAGCUUUCCGGCGCCGCCGCCGGUGCCGCAGCACACUGCGUGCCUCUCACUCGCAGUGUGCCGCGGCUAGUUUUUUUUGGUGGUGUUUUGCUUUUUUUUUUUUUGCUUUCUUGCUUUUUUUUUCUUUUUGUUUUGUUCUUUGGGGUACUCGAAGCAUUCUGGGUACCCCACACCCCCCUAAAGACAUUGCAAAUCGAAAAUCUACUUGUUAGGCAAGUCAAAAAAAUUAUAUUUUAAUUUUUUUGUUUAUCAAUAUACGGGCAAAAUUUUAAUUUAUAUAUCUGAUCCAUACCACAGGGCCUCUCGGAUGUCUGUGGUGGAGGCGGAGCGGUGGGCUGCCUUCCACCACAGACAUUAAUUUUUUCUUUACAAAUUAUUUUGUCAAAAUUCGUCAUACCGCGAAACUUUUGCCGAAUUAGGGGAACAAAAUUGAACUCAAUAAACAAAUUUUGAAGCACAUCAAAUAUAAAAUUUUAUUUUUGCGUUAGAAUAAUACUUAAAUUUAUUUAAUUUAUUUGUCAUAUAAUUUAUUGCUUAAUUUUUGAUAGAUCUACUAAUUUUUUGAAAAAAUUAAUUAAAAAAUAAAUUUUCAAAUACUUUUUAAAAUACUUUUUUCAAAUUAUUUUUAAAAUGAUUUUAAAAAUAUUUUUUUGUAUUUUAUAAAAAAAAAGACUAUAAUAUGGUCAAAAGAAAGAAAAAAAAAAGGUGUCUUUGCAUUUUAAAAAUUCUAACCUGUAAAAAUUUCUAUUCUGCAUCAGGUAUAGUUGUACUUUACAUAUAAAAAAGCGUACAAGUAUGUUAAUUGAUGAGUAUAGUAAGCUAUACAUAGCAAAUAUUCAUAAUUAUUUGCUUAAAUCUUUCAAAAUAACAUUAUAAGAGGUUAUUGGAACAAAAAGAUUGAAAUAAGUCUGUGCCAAAACGUGCCAGUAGGAGGUCAUGCGUAUCCAUCGGCACGCAAUAUCAUGUGUCGGCACGGAAGCGUGCCGGUGCCGUACCGUGCUAGGUAGACAGCGGCACGCCCAGGUUAUAUCGUGCCGAUAUCUUGCUGGCACGAUAUGGCACAGUGGAUACAAUCCGUGCCGAUGGGUACUUUAAUCCUUGGUUAUGGAACCCUACUUUAACAAAAUCAAAAUGUUGUGAAAUUAUGUAUUAUGAAGACUAUUCUAGUUGUCUGUAUUUUAGUUAUUCUUUUUGAAAAGUGUGAAGACCUUUUAAUAAAUAUCUGAAACCAAGAUCCAACUGCCCAGUAAUAUCGAAUGUCUCAUAUUGGCAUACAACACAAAUAGAUAUGGAAACUAAGUUUUCAAAUGAUGAUCGUACGUAACAUGGAUGCAUAUAUAGAUGAUGCAACAAAUAAAACUUUUUAAUUUUUGAAUGCAAUUUCUUUUAUUUUGUAAGUUGUGUUUGAUUCGGACUUAAAUCAUUUAGUUUUAGUUGGUUUGUUUUACCCAUCCCCUUUUUUCCAAUAAACAUAGAAAAAAAUCCAAUAUAAAAUAAUGCAUUGGGGCUAAUUAAGUAGUGGAAGCUAUAAAGGGCUGAGAGGUAGUACGGCCAAAGAAAAAAAAGGCUGCCGUACAAGAGAAAAAGAGAGAGCUAAUAGCCACAUGAAGGGUUGUCUUUUAGGUUUAUAAAAGACGAGAGAAGGGUAGAAAAGAUUCAGAAAGAGGGCUUGGGUUGUAGAUACUCUAUUGCAGAAGAGGAGUCAGGUGUAAGAUUCUCUUAUUUAAUGAAUCUUAUUUUAUUCGCAUAUUUUCUAUUUUGGUUUUUCUCUCUUUUGUGAUUGUAUUAGCUUUUGUUGAGGAUAUGGGUUUAUGGUAAAAACCCGAUUCGACGCUUCCGUUGCGGAAUCCCAACGAUCGGUACCGGAUCCACAGCAGUCAGUAUCGGAGCAGGUUACGGAUUCUCAAAAUCCGGUACCGGGGCGAGUACCGGAUUCCCAACAAUUGCUCAGACCUUUCGACUUCCUAAAAACGCCUCGUUUUCUAUGCAUGACUGUCGGGUGAUCGUGUUGUGUUGAAGACAAAAGGUUUAGAAUUUGUUAGAGGAUAGGCUCUUAACACUAUAAAUACUAGUCUCUUGAUGCUUUGAGGGAAGAUUUGAUGAAUAGAAAUUUCUACUGUUCUUCUUUAUCCUUGUCGUGGUGUUCUUCUUCCCGGUGUGAUCUUCGAUGCUUCUUCCUUGUGCCGAGAUUGUCUUUUUCCUCAACUUGAUCGUUGUCGCUUCUUUCUUGUGGCAAGCCCGGCUUCUGCUCCUACCCCUUUUCUUCUAGGUCCCUGCCUACUCUUCUUCCUCGUUGCUGAAGUUCUAUCCGUGGGGUGCCCCCCUCAUCGAGAUCCCUUGCAAUCGCGUGAUCGGUGCACUUCUUGUAUCUUAUCUUUUCCUUCAUCUUUUGAUCUCUUAUUAUUCUUUUCAAUGUAGCCUUCCAUCAUUAUCAACCAUCUUUGCCAAAGCAACCAAAUCUAAAAGCUUUAAGUUCGAUAAAACUGAAUUUAUCAUUUUGAAACUUCUACAUGUAUUUUUAGCUGGUUAUUAUCUUGAAGGUUUAUCACCAUAUUAGGAUUGCUUCAAUUUGAUUUUAAUUUUUGCGUCUUGCUGAAAUUUUUGCUUCCUUGCUUUAAGUUUAGUAAUUUUCACCAGAAUCAAUAAAUUGAACCUAGUUUAUUUCAAGAAAUAUCUUCAAAUAAAACAAAGUUGAAAGUUCAGGUUUAGCAACCCCCCGGUUUGCAUCGAUUGGUAUCAGAGCAAGUUCUUUUUGUGGGAAUGUUUGUUUUUAUCUAAAUAAUUUUCUUUGGUGCUAAAGUUUGUCUUUCUUGUUCUUUUUUUGGGCCGAAAAAAAAAGAUCAUCAUUUCAUUUAUCAAUUUGGAAGCAUUUGGUAAUGGCAGGCAAUAGUGAAAUCCUCAUGAUUCAAGAGAAGCAUAUAAGAAACAAUAAGAUUCCCUGAGAAACAUAGAAAAUCAAAUGAAUAACAUUCAACAACUAUUGGAAAGGUUAACUAAUGCAACAACAAAAUGCGGUAGGAGAAGAUUCGGAGAGUGACAUUGAUUUUGACAAUCGAAAUUUACUUGCUGGAAGAAAUCUUUUUUGCAAAAUCAAGGGAAUGUGCUUCGAUGCUAUAAGGGUAUUAAAGUAGACAUAAGUGAGUUCAAGGGUAAAUUUUACAAUCUGAAGAAUUUGUGGAUUUGCUAGACAAAAUAGAACAUAUUUUUGAAUGGAAAGAACUACACGAUGACAAAAUUGAAAGUCAUGCCUUAGUGUGGUGGAAACAAAUUCAAAACGAUAGGGGUAGAAAAGGUAAGUAAAAGAUUACCUCGUGGGAAAGAAUGAAAGAAAAACUUUGAAAGAAAAUUUUUAUUGAUUGAUUACCAUCAAGCUAUUUUUCAAAAAUUUCACAAUCUUAAGCAAGGCUCUAUAGUCGGCACAAGAAUAUACUAAAGAAUUUUACACCCCUUAAUAAAAAACAACGGAUAGCUCGCUAUCUAGCCGAUCUUCGAAUCCAAAUCCAAGUCGAGUUAGCUCUUUUAACUUUCUAUAGGGUCAACAUGGUCUAUAGUCAUGCAUUUAAGGCUGAGAAUAAAUUUAAAGGACAAACCUUUCGUCAGGGAUGUGAUACCCCAAUAGUCCCACAUCGGGUAAGAAUGAGAUUGUCAUUGGGUAUUUGGAUAUAUUAGAGAACUCCAACCUAGUAAUAAUAAUUGAGCUUAAGCAUUUUGGGUUGGUGGUUUGGGCUCAACGAGUUAUUAUUGCUAGUGGGCCGAGUUGUUACAUUUGGUAUCAGAGCCGGUUCACCAGCCGGAAAUCUGAGAUAAGUCUUGGCCGAGUCAGGGUCGGAAUGACAGACUAAGUCAGGGUCGGUAAAUAACAGGCUAAGUCAGGGUCGGAAUGAAAAGGCUAGCGAGACAAGUCUCACAUCGCCUGGUGAUCGUGGGUUGUGUGUGUUUAGGGCUGACGAGGACGUCAGGGCCUAAAUGGGGGGAGUCUGUGACACUCCAAAAGUCCCACAUCGGGUGGGAAUGGGGUUGUCAUUGAGUAAAUUAGAGAACUCCACCCUAGUAAUAAUACUUGGGCUUAAGCAUUUUGGGCCGGUGGUUUGAGCUCAACGAGUUAUUAUUGCUAGUAGGCGGGGUCGUUACAAGAGAAGUGCGAGUGUAAAGAACACCAUGGGAACCUAGCCUAUCCCGAAGAAUGAGAGUCAAACCUCUUCAAAACCUAUUCAAGACCUUAAGAGCAAAGGAAUUUCAGGUGCUAAACUCGUUGUUUCAAGCAUCAUUUGUUAUAAAUGUAACAAAUGAGGACAAAUCCUUUGAUUGUCCUUGAGAAAAUUUGAUCUGGAGCUACUGGAGCUAAUGUAAUAGAAAAUCAACAAGAGACUGAAAAUGGAAAGAAACUGUAGAACAAGAAGAUGUAGAUGAUAUUCCUGAAGAAUCUCUUGAUGCGACUGAAACAAAGCUCAUGAUCCAUCAAGUCCUAUCGGCCUAAGUCCAGCCAAGAUGAUUGGAAGCGUCGCAGCCUAUUUAGAACCAUCUGUAGCGCGGGGGGUAAGAUUUGCUCUCUUUUCAUUGUUAGUGAGAGUAUUGAAAACUUUAUCUCUAGAGAAAUGGUUGAUAAACCCAAACUGAAAACUAAAAAACUUGCUCAAACCUACAAAAUAGCGUGGAUUAAGGAUGGGGCUGAGUUUCUAUUGGGAAGACUUAAUACUGUUAAGGUUUGGUGGGAUGUUGUUCCCAUGGAUGUGAAUCACCUAUUGUUAGUUAGACCUUGGGAAUUUGAUCGUAGCACUAUACAUGAUGGUAGGGAGAACACUUACAUAGUCACAAGGGACAAUAAGAAAGUUAGAUUGGUUCCCCUAAAUUACAUACCCAAACCAAAGACUAAAUCGGAAAAGUCCCAAAAGCAACCCCCCACUGAUGAAUAGAAAAUGAUGGAUUUGACCAAAAGCCAAUUCUUUAAAGAUUUAACAAAGUCUCCAUUCCAAUGGUAUAUAUCUUUUUAGCAAAAGAAACAUCUAAGAACAAUGAAGUUCCUCAAGCUGUUCAGCCAUUGCUGAUUGAAUAUUUUGAUAUCAUGCCUGAAGAACUCUUCGAUGGCCUUCCACUUAUGAGAGACAUUCAACGGUGCAUUGAUUUUGUACAUGGUGCAAGCCUUCCACACCUAGCCCACUACAGGAUGAAUCCUAUUGAACACAGAGUUACAAAAGCAUGUCUCUAAACUUUUACAGAAAAGUUACAUUAGAGAGAAUAUGAGCCUGUUGCGGUGCCUGUCCUCUUUACACCAAAAAAGGAUGGAACGUAACGAAUGUGUUUUGACAGUCGAGCAUUUAACAAGAUCACCGUCAAGUAUAGUUUUACUAUCCCUAGGAUUGAUGAACUGUUUUACAUGUUAGGAGGUGCAAAAAUAUUCUAAGAUUGACCUUAAGAGCGGAUAUCAUCAAACCUGUAUUUGACCUGGGGAUGAAUGGAAGACGGCAUUUAAAGCUAAAGAAGGAUUAUGCGAGUGGCUAGUUAUGCCUUUUGGGCUAGCCAAUGCUCCUAGUACUUUCAUGCGCUCCAUGAACCGAGUCUUGCGACCAUUCAUUGGAAAGUUUGCCAUAGUUUUACUUCGACGACAUUCUGAUCUAUAGCAUAAGUCCCAAAACUCAUCUAAAUCAUUUAAGACAAGUGCUUCACACUUUAAGAAAUAACCACUUAUACCUGAAUCUAAUCUUACGAAGUGUACUUUUUUGAUUGAUAGCCUUACCUUUCUUGGCUUCUUAGGAUAUAUGGUGUCCGCUGAGGGAAUUAAGAUAGAUCUUGUCAAGAUAGAAGCAAUUCAGAGUUGGCCAACCCUAAAGACCCUAACGGAAAUUCGAAGUUUUCAUGGACUCGCGUUGUUUUAUUCAAAAUUUUAGUUCAUUAAUUGCACCAAUAAGGGGGUAAAUUUAGUUGAACGCCCGAAGCUAAAAAGUUAGUUGGAUGCCUGAAGCUGAAAAAAGUUUUCAAUUUGUUAAGGACAAACUUACAAAGGCUCCAGUACUUGCCUUGCCCGACUUUGAAAAGGUUUUUGAGAUUGAUUGUGAUGCCUCGCAUAUAGGAAUUCGAGGUGUAUCGUCUCAAGCGAAACACCCUAUAGCCUUCUUUGGCGAAUAAUUGAACAAUGCACUAACAUGUCACCCCACUUAUAAUAUUGAAUUUUACGUGAUUGUGCACAGGGACGGAGCUAUAUGGAGGCCCAAGGUGGCCAUGGCCCCCUCAACUUUCAAUAUUUGCUUAAUGGUCCUUCAAAGUUUUUUUUUUGGUGGACCAUGGAUAGCUUUGGCCCCCCUAGUUUUUCAAUAUUUAAUAGUAUGGUGCCAACAUAACUCUCUCUCUCUUUCUCCUAAUCGGUAUAUUCUUUUUAUGGGUGAAAAUAUAUUAAAAGCUUUUUACUUAUAGAGUCUUUUGUAAUAUAUUUCUCUACUCUAAAAAUUUUAUUUAAUAAUUUUUUUAAACUUUUAUUUAGGCUUUUUUUUGCAAAUAGCCCCCUAAGCAAUUUUUAUUUUAAAAAUAGCCCUAUCAAAAUUAAAAUUGCAAAAAUGGCCCUGUNUAUAUAUAUAUAUAUAAUUUAUUCGGGUUUGAAUUCGGAUAAUAUUUCGGAUAUCCAUAUCUAUUAACAUCCCUACUCCUUAUUCCACUUUUCAAUAUACAAAAAUACGUAAUAAAAAAUACGUACUAAACACGGUGAACCAUUCACCGUGUUUGAACACGGUGAAUGGUUCACCGUGUUCAACUUAACAUAUGGGCCCAGCCAUGCCCGCGUGGCGCUGACGUGGCGCAUGCGUGGCAGGCCCAGGGCCAUUUUUGUAAAUUAAAUUUUGAUAGGGCUGUUUUUAAAAUAAAAAUUUGUCAGGGGUCUAAAUGCAAAAAAAGCCCCUUUUAUUUAUCUUAGGUGAGCUCUUUUAUUUGACUAAAUCAAGAAUUGUACUAAAUUUAAUAGCUAUGCUAAUUUUAUUUACUAAAAAACUAAAAAUUUACAGUUAAGAGUUAGUAAAAUUUUUAAGUUAUUUUAAUGUAAUAAUAUAAAUAAAAUAAUUAAAAGUUAAACAUCUGAAAAAAAAUAAAAUUCAUACUUUUGCAUUAUUUAUUUAAUUAAUAAUUUUUUAAUAAAAAUUUUUAAUUACGAAAAAUUUUGUUUAUUAUUUAUUACUAAAGUUUCUAUUUAAAUAUAUUUUGGUCCCCCUCAAGUUUGAAUUCUAGCUUCGUCCCUGAUUCUGCAGGCUUUGAAACAUUAGAGACCCUACUUGAUGCAUCAAGAGUUUAGUCUUAAUUUGGACCAUGAAGCAUUGCAAUAUUUAAAUUCUCAAAAAACUUGAGCAAAAAGCAUGCCAAGUGGACUGCAUCUGCAAGAAUACACUUUUCAUUUGUGGCAUAAACAACGCAUUGCUAAUCGUGUUGCUGAUGCGCUCUGCCGUAGAAACUAUUUUCUUGUCACUUUUUCCUCGCAAACUGUAGGAUUUGAGGUAGUUAGGACUAUAAAAUGAUCCUAACUUUUGUCCAUAGUAAAGUGUCUAUCUCCUAACAAUGAUUCAACUUCUGAUUACUGUUUAGAUGGCAGAUACCUUUUUAGAAAGUCCAAGUUGUGCAUUCCCCAGAAUAUUGAAAAGAGUUCUUUAUUUAGGAUUUGCAUAGUAACAUACUAGAGGGACAUUUUGAGAGAGAUAGAACUUUCGGAUUAGUUCAAAAGUUGUAUUAUUGGCCUAACAUGAGUAAAGACUUUGAAAGAUUUGUUCAGCGACGUCAAACACGUCAAUCAUUUAAAGGACAAACUCAAAAUGCCGACUUAUAUACUCCCCUGCCCAUUCCUACUAUACCCUAGGAGGAUAUUACCAGAGACUUUGUCCUAGGUCUACCCAAGACUGCAUGCCAAGUUGAUUAGUUUUUGUGGUUGUUGAUCUUUUUACAAAAAUGGUUCAUUUUAUUUCUUGUAAAACAAACUUCUGAUGCAUUACAUAGUGCAAAAUUAUUUUUCAAUGAAAUUGUACAUUUUCAUGGUAUUCGAGAAUUUUAUUGUCAAAAGUAGGAAGCAAAUUGAAUUUCAGUAGCCCAUUCCAUCCACAAACUGAUGGGCAGACGGAACUAGUGAAUCGAUCUUUGGGUAAUCUCUUAACAUGUUUAGCCGGAGAAAACUAUGGGAUUUAAUCAUACCUCAAGCUGAGUUUGCUUAUAAUAGUUUCAUAAAUUGAACCAUUGGAAAAUCUACUUUUGAAGCUUUAUCUGGCCGUCCUAUAGCCCACUUUCUUGAUCGAGCACCUAUAUUUUUCCCUGAUAGAGUUAGUGCAGAUGCAAAAUAUUACCUAAAACAGGUUCAAGAAGUGAAACAAUAGGUUUAUCAGAGGUUGCGGGAAUUUUGCUGUCAAGUACGUGUCAGUGGAUAAAUAUCGCCCGGAUAUGACUUAUAAUGCUGAGAUAUGACUUAUAAUGUAGGGGAUAAUGUUUUAAUCUAUUUUAGAAAAGAAAGUUAUAGCAAGUUAAGCAGGAAAACGUAUGGGCAUUCAAAAUCCUGAAGUUGGGGGCAAAUGCAUAUCUAGUUAAUCUGCCUUCGGAAGUACCGACAUGUCGGAUGUUCAAUGUCAACGAGCUGUACAAGUACCAUGGAGAGGCCCUCUCUAUUAUUGAUAUUGAUGGCUUGAAAUCUCGCACAAACGCUGAAACGCCAUAAGAUGAGGUGGAGGAUAUUCUGGAUAUGCGCGAGUCCGCGAUGCAUCGUGGUAUCCAUCGCUGAUACUUGGUACGUUGGUGUGGACAACCAUUGUUUGAUAGCAGUUGGAUUUAUGAGCCGGAUUUUCGCUAACUUAGAGAGGACUUGUACCAGAGCUAUCAGGAUGCCAUCUUGACGGGGUCGAGAUUUCUCCAACAAAGGGAGAAUUGAUGCAACAAAUAAAACUUUUUGAAUUCUUAAUGCAAUUUUCUUUUAUUUUGUUAGUUCGUAUUUGAUUUGGGCUUAAAUCAUUUACUUUUAGUUGGUUCAGCUAAACCAAACCCUUUUCUCCAUCCAAUAAACAUAGAAACAAAUCAAAAAAGACCUUUUGGCUUUCCAAAAACGUCGUCUUCUAUGUAUGAUCUUUGGGUGACCGUGCUUUAUUGAAGAUGAAAGGACAAGAAUUUAUUAUAGUAUAGGCUUUUAACACUAUAAAUACUUCGCACUUGAUGUUUUGAGGGUGGAUUUGAUGAGUAGGAAUUUCUACACUUGUUCUCAUUGUCAUGGUGUUCUUCUUUCCUGCGUGAUCUUCGACGCUUCUUCCUUGCGUCGAGAUCGUCUUCUUCCUCAACUUGAUCAUUAUCGCUUCUUUCUCGUGGCAAGAUCGGCUUUUUCUCUUACUCUUCUUUUGGGUCCUUGCCUCCUUUUCUUCUUUUUUCCCGUCGCUGAAGUUCUACUCAUGGUGUGCCGCCCUCGUCGAUCGUGGAUCCCACGCAAUCGUGUGAUCGGUGCACUUCUUAUAUCUUAUUUUCUCCCUCAUCUCCUGAUCUCAUUAUUUCUUUCAAUCUAGCUUUCUACCAUUACUAACCAUCUUUGCAAAAGCAACCAAAUCUAAAAGCUGUAAGUCCGAUAAAAACGAAUUUAUCUUUUUGAAACUUUUAUAUGUAUUUUUAGCUGGUUAUUAUUUUAUAGAGUUAAUUGCAUACAGGUUUCCACAAACAUAGUGAAUUGCAAAUAUAUCCCUGUAGAGUUCAACUUUCAUAAGUUAUCCCUGCAAAUGUCCUAAUAUUUUCAGAGAUGUCCCUGCCGUUAGAAUUCGUUAGAAAAAUUCAGUUAACCAUAGGUUAAAUAUUUUACCCGGAUUUAUCAUAACAAGUAAUGCUCCAACUCCAAUAUCAUCACAUAAAACAAUACCUGUGACAAUCAUCCGUCUCUACAUCACCCUCCAUCAGAUUUGUAGGCAUACGUCCACUAGGUGCCUUCCACAAUAAAGUUGGUACUGACGCUAUCGCCGACAUCGAAUUCCUCGGACACUCAAACCGAAAAUGGCUUGCUUGGCCACACAAUAAGCAUUUGCCUCCACACUGAGGGCACUGUGGAGGCACAUGCGGACCUCCACAAAUCACACAUCGCACUGGUUGUCGACGAUUCGAUGUCCUUCUCCCAGCUAAGGAACCACGUCCUUGAGGUUGAUUUCUUUUUGAAUGCCUUGAUGGUUCUGUUACACUUAAGUUGCCACCCUUGGUGGUCUCUUUCGUUGUCCCGAUGGUCUCCAUGCCUUUCCUCACUGAUAAGGCACGAUCUGUCGUCUAAUGAAAUUUCUUAAGGUCUGCUACCUGCUGAAUCAACAAAGUUUUCCAACCGCUUGAUUUACUCGUCUUGUCGGCACAGAGCCUCGGCUUGGAGUAAUGCCAUACACGACUGUCGCUCCACCACACCAACUAAGGGAGCCAGCUGCUCUCUCAACUCCCGAAUCUAACCGGAUCCGGAGGAUGCGGACUUGCCCGGCUCGGCCACCUCGGUCGCCACGGGGUGCGCCGUCAGUAUCCCAAGCUACAACAAACAUAACAGGCAUGGGCUAAAACAACUCACACCAACGUAUCCCCACUCAUAAACACAAUCCCAAUCAUGCGAAAGCGGUGAAGUGAACUCCUACUAUUCCCCGAUGUCACGUUGUCGGCCGCCAACGUGAUCCUCCAAGGAUAUAGAUGUUGUUCACUUCGAUCCAACUCCAACACUUUUGGAGCUAAAGACAUGACCUAAUCAUGUUACUUUCGCCAAUAAGUCUCAAAAGACUCCAUCUCUCACGCUCCUAAUCUUUAUCGGCUCCUAAUUCUUAUCGUCCAACCAGCCUAAGGUUUGCUAGAUCUACAAAGAUUCAAUCCUAGCCUCUGAUACCAAUAUAAUCUGUCACGUCCCGGGCUCCAGCUGAAGCCCACCCGACGCGUGCACAGACCCGCCGUGUACACCAACCACCCUCGGCGCACACAAGGCGGGCGUCUACAACAACAACAACAUAGAAAGGAAGUAGCAACAAAUUCUAAACAUGGUGAUCAGAGCAAGUACAUAAACUUCUACAUAAACAAACAUGAGUCUACUCCAAAAAGAAGCUUAAUAUCAGUACCUUAAAAAAAUUUACAACAUUGAACAUAAUACAAUUGUCAUCAAACUAGACUAAAAGAAAGAUGCCGAUAGGUCCCUCAAUAACAACACCGAAGAGAUUCUAGCUAGUCGCUAACCCCUUGCCACGAACCCUAGCCUCUCUCGCUGUGGAAGACUUUGAAACACAGAAAUAAACAACCAAUAGGGAUAAGAACUAUUAAACAAUAGUUUUCAUUUGGUAAGCCGCCGAGAGGCGAAAUACACCAUUAGGUCAACUGAGGUAUGGUAAGAUAUAAGAAGUACUAAACAUACAGAUAACAAUUAAUUGAACAAAUUCAAUUAUAGUCAUGCCUCUAUAUUAUAAUGUCAACUAACAUGUAUAUGAUUUUCCACUGUCACAUGCACAAGUAUUUGUAUAUGCAAGUUUAUAUGCAAGUUUACAUGUAAAAGUAUUUCCCUUUCAUUAUCAUCAUGUAGCUAUACUUCUAUACUAAUCAACAUGUGUAUAAAUUUACUACCACUAAGGUUGUCAAUACGAAUAAUGGCUAACAUGGAAGCCCAACUACUAUGUAUGCAUCAAGUAUUGCCACAGUAAUAACCCACUAGUAUGUCUAUCUACUUUAUAUGCACCGGCUAGUUGUGAUGUAUUAUGUUAAGUUUUCUUAACUCUUACCCAAUUAACGAGGGACUUACACAUGGUAAUGUCCCGACUUGUGCCGUGCUUAACGGUCCCGUGGUAGUCAGCAUUCCCCCUCUAGGAAUGAGCCUUUCUCACGGCAAUCCACUUCGGCGCCCAAUCCCGCACCGGCGAGCAUGUUGUCGCAAAGGCCAUUUUCGGGGUGCCGGCUUGUAGGGAGCGAUCCUCACAAGCUUGUGCGAAUGAGUACAAAGGUAAACAAGCAUGAUCAUAAGCAUCAUGUCCAAGGGCCACAUCUCAAUCAUCAUGUCUAAAACAUAGAAUCUCAAUCAUCGACUCAAGGUCGGAUAUUCUAACAUAAAUGUCAUGUUUCAGUUUCAAUAAACUCGGUGGGAUGUCUGUAUCAAUAUGCAACAUGUCUCAAGCAUGUAAAGGUUUACAUCUCUUGUAUUUACCUAACGGGUGACAAAUGUAUACUAUUUUCACUAUAGUAUGAAGAAAAAUAACUUACUAAUGCCAUUUUCAAUGAAUCAAGAAGAUGACCACAAGACCGUAGUUCAUAUUAUGCGUAUGCCUUGCUACAUAAACCUCUACUACAUGGAGUAAGAAAGUCACCAUGCAAGUAAUUACCUCUCACUUUACUAAGAAAUUAUAUGCCUUAGCCAUUUAUACAAUCAAACACAUGAAAACUCUUUCGUCAUGUUUAAAACAUGGAAUUGCAUCUAUCGACCUAGAGGUUGAGUAUAAUAUCGUAAUGUCCACUUUAGUUAUGCAUCUAAAUUAAGUGCAACAUAGUUUUACAUCAUGUCAUUAACAUGCAAUGGAUCACGUUUUUCAUUAUCUAUAAUGAGCAUAAAUUAUUGCAUUCAUGAUCAAACCCCUUUUGUUCUACUAGCCAUAUAGUAUUCCAUAUGUCAUUACUAAUCUCCAACAUGCACGUCCAUAUUUGCAUAAGAGGAACUUUGAUAUAACAUAUGAAACAAUAUGCAUAUUAUCAUCAUAAGCCUCUACUACAUGGAAUAUGUCAAAUUGCCUCUACUACAUAGAGUGUGUCAACUUCCAUAUAUAACAUAUAUGUAUCAUGCAUCCAAAAAAAUAUUAACAUGUCAUGAAUAGCAUAAAUAUGCAUCAAACAAUUCCUAUAACAAUAUAGAAGCCAUAGGGGGAGUUCAUCCAUUUUGGUGAGAUCAAAACCACCGGAUAACCUCCAAAACUUGUUUCUUUCUCCAAAUGAAGUUCCCCCUCGAACUUCUAGCACUCGAAGAAAAAUUCUCAAGAGGUUACAAGCUUCUAAAAAGCUUCCCACGAAAUUCACCAAAAAUCAAAUGGAAAUUAGUGAAAAUUACCUUAAUCCAAGGAAAUCGUGUCCAAGAUCCAAACCAAAGUGAAGGAUCUUCAAAUCCAACCUAAAAGAGUGUUUUACGCCCAUCAAUUCAACUCCAAAACUCAAAUUCAAGAAAUCCCAAAAUAAACCUUAGUUUCUACAAAACUAGGUUUUCCACCAAAUCCCUUGCAAAUCUCCCAAUAGAGGGUACAAGAAAGCUACUAACCUUAAAUUAAGCUCCAAACCAAGUCAUAAAGUGCUUUCCCUCCGAAGUCUAGAUGCGCGCAUCCAAAGAGGAGAGGAAGAAAAAGAGAUCAAACCGUAGGAUUAAAGGGUUAGAGGAAGAAAUCCAAGAGAAAUAAGGGGAAGAGCUCACCUCUCCUCCUCUAUCCUCAGCUAACAAAAGAACAAGGAGAGAGGUAAAGGGAUAUAUUACACAAUGUAACAAUAUCCACCAAGGUCCCUCAAAACUCAGAAAUUGCAAAACUGCACGAAACUGUCUCAGCAGCGUUGAAUACCUGUACUCGAGUUGGGGUACCGGUACUCGGCAGUUCCGGUACCAGGGACUCGGUCCCACAGAACCCGAAUGUUGGAAAUUCUGAUUUUCCACUGUGUUUCGGUACCAGCGCAAUGCAGUACCGGUACUCGGUACCGGUACACGUAGCCGAGUUCCGCAAAACUCGAGAGCUGUCCAAUUCAACACCCUAUUGAGUUUCGAUAUCUUAGUCCAAUAUCGGUACUCGACACAAACACAACAAUUUUGCAGAAUUUGAUCUCCGGAGUCCGUUUUUGCGCUUGUUAAGUCUCGAAAACACUCCUAAGCUCUUCAAACUCAAUCAAAUUCUUCAGAAUAGUAUAAAGUACUAUUCUCUCACUAGGACUGCGCAAUUUGUAGAAGUUCAGUGCGCUACAUUUUGCUUCCUUGCUUUAAUUUUAGUCAAGUUCGCUGGAAUUGAUAAAAUUGAACCUAGUUUAUUUUAAGAAGUAUCUCUAAAACGAAAUAAAGUUGAAAAUUCUGGUUUACCAACCCCUUGGUUUGCAUCAGUAGAUUAGUACAAUUGCAUGGAUAACAAUAUGUAGCUACUUUUUUCAGUUCUUGAAAUUUAUGACCAUAAUUGACAGGAGUUGCUUUACUAUAAACUUUAGGUAGCUAACUACUUAACUCAAAGUAGUUAAUUGGGAUACCUGAUUUUUUCUGUGCUCCUAAUUAACUCUCAUUACUGUUUGCAGGGUAUUAGAAUCUGGCCUCUAUGAUGCCAUUCUUCCUGUAAUUCCUACUAGGAUGUCUAUGUCAUUGAAAGGACCUGCAUUCCACGAGUAUUUGUCUUUUACAAGCCAAAUCGCCAAAUUAGAAUGUUCUCGGCUCUCAGAAAGCAAAGACAUAAAAUUACAACGAAGGUGAUCUAUCUAUAUUUGGUUUUUUGUUUUCAACUUAUCGCUUUGUGAAUUGUUACUUGUAGAACUGAGAGAGAACAGUCAGAACAUAUUUGAACAUAUUUUAACUCUUCACGACAUGAAACGUGGCCUCAGCUAUCGAAACUCUUUAACUUUAGAUCAUAUAUCGAAGCCCCUUUUUUAUCUUAGUAAAUUAUGGCAAUGGGAACUAUUACAGAACCUGGUUGAUUAACCUUUUUAGUCUUUCCCUUGAAUUUCCUUUUUUCUUUUCUAAUUAUGAUGGGAUUUUUUUUAAAAAAAAUUUACCUAUUUUUUCCCUAAUUUUUUUUUUAAAAAUUGCAUAUUAGAAAAAUAAUAACUCAAUUUUCAUCCAGCUCAUGUAAGCUUCACUUGAAAUAUGUUUUCAUUUGUGAUCCUAUAUCUACGUAUGAUGAUCUGCAUGAUUUUCCUACAAAUAUAUGUUAAGAAACAUGACAAAUACAUCCUAUUCAACUUGAAAAUUGUGAAUAAGUGAUUAAAUUGUAAUCCAGGGAAGUGACGAUUAAAAUAUAUCGGGAGCCUGGGCCAGCCUGUGCUAGAGGUCUGCUAAUGUGCCACAGGUCUGCACGGUCACGUAUCAUGCGAACUGUGGCUUGGCAAAAUGCUGUGCCAUGGCAGGGCAUUUCUUGCGUACUACCAUUGCUAAAUGAUGUUAUUUAUUUCAAUGUCUAGUCAUAAUUUAUUUUCUACUGUCGAGCAGGUCUCGUACUUCAAAGCAUUACUUAACUUUGGGCGGACUAUCCUUAUCUCCAGAAGAUGUGGGAUUGUUAGCUCGAAGCACCUGCUUUAAUGAUUCACAGCUACAUGCUCAACAUGACAAGGUUGCAAAUGAGAAAAUUUCUUAAAAUGUGCAUUUGCUGACGGUAACGUGCGAACUAACACAGCUAUUUGUUGAGGUGGCUAACAAGAACCGAAAGGAUUGCUUCUCUAAGGUUGUUGUAUCUUUUCCAAUAUUGUGUACAUCUCUUCUGGUCUCUAACAAUCCUUGCUAAAAGGAUUCUGUCCCAUAAAAGGGAGCAAUCAAUAUUUUUUUUCAUCUACUUAAUUGUAACAUCUUGGGGCAAAUUUCUGUAUCAUCCUGUGCUAAUUUAGGCCAUAGAGCUAUUAUUCUUUAGUAUAUAGAAAUGAGAUCCUCAAAAGCCAUUGCAAUGCUUGCGUGUAAAGAACAAUUAUGUAACAAUCGAGGGACUAAAGUAUAAUUUCAAAAGCCAGUGAAAUGAUAACAUUUCACCGACCUUUAAACAUCAUGUAAUAACUGAGGAAUUCAAACGCAAUUUUAUUUUUUGUAUAAUAAAAUGCAAGUCAAUUUCGGUAAAGAUUAAAUCCCUUGGCUUUCGAGGGUUCUUGUUGAAAACAAAGGAUAAUUGGAGAAGAAAUAUAUUUCUUUCUAAUUUUAUAAAUUACAAAAGACUUUUUUAUAUAAAGAGAGGUCAAGCUAAUACAUGGUGAAUUAUGAAUUGGUGAGGAAACUAAUAUAGUAUAUAAUAAUAUAAGGAAUGUCUAAUAUUUUGUAAAAAGAAAAAAAAUAUUUAUAUAAAGUAACACCCCCCCUCCCCCCCCUCCCCCGCAAACUCAAGGUGGAGUAAACACUGAGAGUUUGGAUAGAAGGUAUUGAUGUCGUUGAGUAGUCUGAGAUUUGGUGAAAAAUGGUGAGCAAAGGGAAUGAACGGUAGAGAUAUCGUUCCAUUAAUGUAAUGAUGGCGCACAAAGUGACAAUCAAUUUCGAUAUGUUUAGUACGUUCAUGAAAGAUAGGAUUAUUCACAAUUUUGAUAGCACUUCGAUUGUCACAAUAUAAAGGUGUUGAAAUAGAGCACUGGACAUCGAGGUCACCAAGGAGUCGGCGAAGCCAUACAAUUUCUGAGGUGGUAGAGGACAUAGCACAAUAUUCAGCUUUCGUACUAGAUUUGGCGACAAUAUCUUGUUUUUUUGAACGCCAAGAAAUCAGAGAAUCUCCAAAGAAAAUGCAAUAGCCAGUCGUAGACCGACGAUUAGUAGGAUCUCCAGCCCAAUCAGCAUCACAAUAUGCACGAAGUUGAGGCUUGGAAGAGGAAGAGAAGAAUAGACUUUGAUGAAUACUUCCUCGCAAAUAGCGCAAGAUGCGUAAAAGAGCAGCAUAGUCAACAGAAGUAGGCGCCUGCAUAAAUUGACUAACAAUAUGAACAUCAUAAGUAAUGUCGGGGCGAGAUAUAGUGAGAUAGACUAACGCACCAACUAGCUCACGAUAACGUGUAGGAUUAGUGAGAGGUUCGCCCAUAGUUGGAGUUAGUUUUUGGUGGAGCUGCAUAGGAGUACUCACAGUGUCAGUAUCAGUGAGCUCAGCACGAGAUAACAAGUCGGUAGUGUAUUUUUGUUGAGACAAUAUAUAUCCUCGAGGACUAUAUGCCACUUCAAUCCCCAAAAAAUAUCGAAGAGGGCCAAGAUCUUUCAUGUCAAAUUGUUGCUGAAGAUAGGAUUUAACAGAACGAAUACAAUUAGGAUCAUCGCCGGUAAUUAUCAUAUCAUCAACAUACAAAAGUAAGGUAGUGAGCCCGCGAGCAGAAGUAUGAAUAAAUAAGGCAUGAUCAUUUUCGCUUUGAUGAAAUCCAAAGGAAAGAAUAGCAGACUGAAAUUUUUCAAACCAAGCUCGGGGAGCUUGUUUAAGGCCAUAUAAAGCCUUGCGAAGCCGACAAACAUGAUCGGAUGAAUGGGAAAGACCAGGAGGUGGUUGCAUAUAAACUUCUUCAUGAAGAUCCUGUGAUACACUGAACUUCUGCAAAUUGUGGAGUUCGAGUAUGUGGCAUGAGUUGUGGAACUACCCUACAUGUUCUAAAGGGUUUAGAGACAUUAUGGCUAAGUUUGAGAGUGAUCGGAGUGUGGGAAACGAGAAAGUGCAUUGUAAUUUCGAACUUGGCCUUUUCUGCAUUGGUGUACCGGUACAAGCAUGAUGCUGUACCGGUACAGCAAGCAGCAGCAGGAGCUGCGUGGCAGCAGGGAUUGUUUGGUCUUUUUGGCUUAUGAUCUUAUCCCCAGAGAUGGCUGGUCGACCUCUGAAGCUCCUAGAGGGGCACUUGAGCUCAGAGAAAGGGAUUUUACAUCUUCUUCACUCUCUCUCUCUCUCUCUCUCUAGGUUUCUUUUCUCUACAAAAAUGGAUGAUUUAAGUGGAUUUUUCUCCCCUUGUUGAUGUUAGCUUAUUAGAAGCACCUUGGGCUGCUGAGGGAGUAAGGAACAGAAGUUUUGAAAGGUACUUCACAGUCCUGAACCUAGCUGUAACUCGGGUGGAGCCUUGGAGUGGUAAGCUAGUAGUUAUUCUUCAGGUUGAGUUUUAGUGAUGUAUUAAUGUAAUGUUUGAGUCUUGUGCUUUCAAGCUGUGUGGUGAGAGUUCAGCAACCUUGGAAGGAGGUAAGGGCUGUGGAGCUUCAAUUUGAAGUUGGAGAAAGGUACUACUCAAGCUGUAAAAGGUAUACUAUUUAAUAAUGUUCAUGGGUAAAGGGUUUAGAACUAUUGAUGCAGUUUUGAUAGUUGAGUUCGCAGCAGGUUUAUUCCGUUCUUUGAGCUGAGUUGACGAAGUGUGAAGCUGAAUUUGAGUACUCCUAUCUUCAGCAAAGCUAAGGGUUCAUGUGGGGGGGAUUUAAACAAGUAAGUUUCAGCUUAUAUUAAAUAGUUCUAUAAGAAUAAUAGGACUGUUUUGAGACUAAUUCGCAGCAGGCUUGCGACAGGGCAUUGGACAGCUCUCGACUUAAAUUAGGAGCUUGGAAAGGGUAAUUUAGUGUCUUCAUUGAAACCGAAGUAAGGGUUAAAAGCUGCAGCCUGGCACAAGGUAAGAAGCUCGCUAAAAUUUGAUGUGCGAUACUAGUUUCCAUGCAGUAUGAUGAUGUGAUGCGCGGCUGUGGUGCAGCAGGUUUGGUGCUUAUUUGGAAACAAUUGGUGAAACCCCUGAAGCCGAAUUUGGGCUGAUCUGAGAAGGAUCCAACUUGGAUUAGGCUGAGGUUUAGUUUAAACUAAACCUAGGUGAGAAGCUAGUUCAAACUUUGUAAUUAGGCGAAGUGUAUUUAUAAGUCUUGAAAUUCAGCUUAUUGCUGAUUGUGGUUCAUUCCUUAGGGAUUUUGGAUGCUUCAGACUGUCUACAAUCGUGGAAACAAGGAGAAUCGUCGAUUAAUAGGUGAGUUUGACCUAACCAGAGCAGGUGAAGCUCCCCUAUGUUCUAUAUGUGACUAUAGAAUUGAUAUGGUGUGUGUAUUUGGGAUUAUUGUGAUUGGUAAAGUACUUGGAGCAUGUCACUAUAAUAUUUGAUGUAAUUGCCAUAGAGCCUCUAUGAAGUAGAGAGCAUUCAUGCAUAAAAGUACUCAUGCAUAAUAAUAAUCUUGUUUGGUUUAGUAGAACAACCAAGGGCUAAGUUUAUAACGCUUUUAUAAAGUAGAGACCAAUGAUAGUGCCAUGAUAGUGGAUACUAGUUGUUGUCAAUAUUCUUUAUAUGGAGAAUUCCGAUCAAUAGAUCGAGAGUAGAACAUAGCAUACUAUGCCAUGAUGUUUGAGGUAUGUUGGAAUAGGGAUUUUGCUUGCUUGCCAUUGUGCUCAUUCGCACAUGCUUGUGAGGGUAGCUCCCUACAAGCCGGCACUCCGGAGUUGGCCUACGCGACAGUUGCUCGCCCGUGCGGGAUUAGGUGCCGAAGUGGAUUGCCGUGGGGAGUGUAUACUACCACGGGGCCAUUAGGCGCGGCGCAAGCUGGACUACCUUGGGUAGGUCCUUAGGAAUGAAAUGAACGUACUAAAUGACAAAUGACAAUAGUGAGUGCUUACUAGUUAAAAAUGUACAGUGGUUACUCUCAUAUUCAUGUUUAUGUUCAUGAUUAUAAAAGUUGCUAUAUCUCUCUUAUGCAAAUGAUUCAUUAUUGUAGAAAGUUCCUACAUGUUGAUUACAUGCUCAGUAUCAUGCUUACUAUCUUGCAACUAUCGUUUUACUUUCAUUUAGUACAUCAUGAGCCUAGUGGUGUAAUUCGCCGAGGCUGGCGGCUUACUCACUGGGAACUAUUGUUGAUAGUUCUCACGCCCUUUUUGUUGUUAUUUUUACAGAGCUAUCUACAGGAGAGGCUAGGGAUCGUGGCAAGGGAGUCGCGUUUAGCUGGACAUUGCUAGGGGCAUGCUAGUUGAUCACCUUGCUACUCGGGAUACUGCCGAGGGUGAUGUCCAGUGUAUAGAGUGACUACCAUUGUACCUACUUUUUGUUUAACCCGUGAUGUAUAUGUACUAUUGGGACCAGACUCUAUAGUUGUGAUACUUUUCUUUUAGUUGAGAUUUUGGAUUUUAUACUCCCUGUUCUCUUGUUGUGAGUAUUGUGGACGGUACUUUGCUCUGAUAUCAGGAUAGGAUUAUUUUAUAUUUUUACUCCUAUCGACUUGUUUCUUGUAGACGCCUUAUAUACUGCAGGUGUAUGGCGCGUCUGUGCACGUACCGGAUAUGCUUCCGCUGGUACCCGAGCGUGACAGAUCCCCAUGUAAGAAGGCAUUUUUAACAUCAAGUUGGUAAAGAGGCCAGCUACGAGAAGCAGCAAGAGCAAUAAGGAUGCGAACAGAGGUCAUCUUAGCAACAGGGGCGAAUGUCUCCUCAUAAUCAAUGCCAUAUUCUUGAGAGAACCCUCGAGCAACUAAACGAGCCUUAUAGCGAUCAAUUGAGCCAUCAGAAUUUGUCUUGACUUUAUAAAUCCACUUACAACUAAUUGCAGUCUUGCCAGGCGGGAGAGGAACUAGUUCCCAGGUACCAGUACGAUGAAGGGUAGUAAGUUCUGUGGUCAUUGCAUCUCGCCAUUCAGGAAUGGAAAUGGCUUGGCGGUAUGUACGUGGUUCCUGGAUAUUAGAAAUAGCUGCAAGAAAAGCAUGAUAUCGUGGAGAAAAAGGAGAGGCAAGACAACCAAAAAAUUGUGUGGGACGGUGAGUACGCAGUGAAUAGUGGCGCUCAGUAGUCGUCUGAUUGUCGGAAGGAACAAUAAUUGGUGGGUCAUCAGGUGGUGCCGGUACUAUAGAAACUUCUACAGAAGACGAAGAUGCAGUGGGCUGAGAGACAAUGCGUUGGGGCUCUUCGGGAGAAGAUGUGGUGGUCGACGAAGAAUUAACAAAAAAUGAAAGAUCAAUAACAGAAGGUGAAGAAACUGCAGAGGGAUCAACACUUAACUUAGAUUGAGCAUAAUAUGAUAAAUGUUCAAGAAAAAUGACAUCUCGAGAGAUUCGCAUGUGACGAGCAGUAGGAUCAUAACAUCUGUACCCUUUUAUGCUCAAGACUAUAUCCUAAGAAAACACAAAUUGACGAUUUCGGAGUUAGUUUGGUUCGUUCAUGCGGAGGCAAGAGAACAAGACAAGUACAUCCAAAAACACGCAAAUGAGUAUAAGAUGGUGAUUUAGCAUACAAUCGCUAACUAGGAGAAAAGCCAGAGAAAAGACUGGAGGACAUAAUAUUAAUCAGAUAAACUGCGGUAGAAACAACAUCAGCCCAAAAUUGUUUAGGCACGGACCCAUCAAUUAGAAGAGAGCGAGUAGUUUCAAGGAUAUGUCGGUGUUUAUGCUCAGCAACACCAUUUUGUUGAGGAGUAUAAGGACAAGAGAGUUGCGGCAAAGUACUAUGUUUAGCGAGAAGUUGGCGAAGUUCAUUUGAAAGAUACUCACCACCAGAAUCAGAGCGGAAAGUUUUAAUGGUGGCACUAAAUUGAGUUUGAACCAUGACAGAGAAAUUUUGAUAUAAUUGAAAAAGUUUAGAUUUGUUAUGCAUAAAAUAAACCCAGGUAAAGCGUGAGUAAUCGUCAAUGAAAAUAACAUAAUAUUUCUUUCCAACAUGGGUUGAUGUAGGUGCCAAUCCCCAAACAUCAGAGUGAAUAAGAUCAAAUGGUGCACUUGCAACAGAAUUGCUAACAGGAAAAGGUUUAAUGGAAUGUUUAGCAAGUUUGCAUCCAAUGCAAGAAACAGAUUCAGAAUUAAAAACAGGGUCUAAUACACCACUACGAACUAAAAUAGUAAACUUAUCAGAAGAUAGAUGACCGAGACGACAAUGUCAUAAAUCAGAAUUUGAAAUUGUAGCAAUAUUUGCUGAGUUAAUUUUAGGAGGAAGGUGCAGAUAGUCCAUGUAGUACGGGCAGUCACGUCUAUGACCCUGUUCAAUCAAAGUCCCGAUCCGACGAUCCUGCACAAGACAAGAAGAAGAAUCAAAGGUCACUGUGCAAUCAUGAUCAGUAAUUUGGCUAACAGAUUGUAACACCCCAUACUUUUAAUUUCUUAUUUUGACUCCAAUUUACUUUAAGUUUGGACCUUUUCAUAAUUUCGGAUCUUCGAGGGACUCGGUGGCAUUUUGUUGCUUAAUUAGUCCCUAACUAAUUAGGCCCUUUCUAUUGAUACGAGCCCCCCACCCAAUCCAUCUCUCUCUAUUUCGCUCGAUCCCCCUCUCCUCUGUACGCCCGUACGACCUCCGCCGCUCCCCUUGUGCACGCGCAACGUCAUCCGUUCCCUAUCGUCGUCGCCGUCAUCCGUAGCCGCCUCCAGCGCAUUUCUCAUUGGCCAUUAUUUUAUUUUGUUUCGUUAUAUCUUCGUACCCACUUUUGUCACUUAUAGUAUUUCCGAACCUCUCUUGUGAUUCGUAGUAAGCUUUAGUUCUAUAGAUGUUAGAAUUCCAUUUGAUUUUAGUUAAAAUUCAAUUUCUUAGUCUCAUCCUAUGAUUCUUUGGAUUUAGUGAAAAAUUUGGUAAUCAUCUUUUCUGCUAGCUUCCGUCUGAUUGUGUAAAAAUCUUUGUUUUGUAGAAUUAAAAAUUAAGGGUUAAGCGUACAUCAAAUAUUUUUGCAAACUGAGUUUCAAAUGUGAUUGAAGGGCUUUCUUUAACAAAGAAUUUUGAAAGUUGAUUAUCUGUUCUGUAAGUUAGUGACUGGAUAAUUUUGAAUUAAAAUAUCUCUUGGUAUUCUGCUAUGCUAAUGUUGGCCAUGUCGACAUGUACUUUGUUAUAGAAGCAAGCUUCGUCUUUGUUUGCGCCUUCGGGUGCCUGCGCCUAUCCGCGCCUCUAUUUUGUUUGCGCCUUCGGGUGCCUGCGCCUUCGGGUGCCUGCGCCUAUCCGCGCCUCUGUUUUGUUUGCGCCUUCGGGUGCCUCUGUUUUGUUUACGCCUUCGGGUGUCUUUGGAUCUCGCCAACGGAUCAUAAGAUAUAGUUAAGUGCCGGAGACAAUAUUUAUUUUGUUUAUAUGUCGAAAGGGAAAUGCUUUGAAAAAAUAUAGUUUCAAUCCGAUCCGAAUUUGAAGUUUUGAUAAAUUCUUGUUUUCUUAAAUUUUGCAAAUUAAAACCAGUCGCUUGAAUUAAUUUGUGUAUCUAUUUAUUUGUAUGCUUAAUCCGACUAAUGUGGUGUAUGGUUGCUUACCCAGGUACUGAGACCGAUUCGCAGGGCGGGGCUGGGAGCGAGUGAACGUUAGAUGUAGCUAGAUUUGAUUCUAACCUCUUCGUCUUAUUUCUUUUGCAUUUAGACAUGAACUUUGAACUUCGUAGAUAAUCAUUGUCUAUCCGUUUCUACCUUGUUAUUUCAUCGUACCCAUAUUUGUUAUUUAGAGCACUAGUUAGACUAAAUUUUGUUUGAUUGGCAUAAUAAACGAUAGUUCUGCUUAUAUGUGAUUUUCUUUGAUUCUAGUUGAAAUUAAAUUGAUGACCUCAUCUUUCGACAGUUUGGAUUUCUAUUUUUAUGAUCAUUUUUGUAUGUAAUUUGUCUGAUUCUGUAGCCUUGCAUAUUUACUAAAUUAGUAGAUAUGCGGCGUUUGUUAUGCCUCGGGUUUGGGGCGUGACAUAGAUAAUAAGCUAAGGGAGAGUCGUGGUAUAUGUAGGACAAAGGGAAUAGUAAAGCGUCCUGAAGUAUCAGAUUUAGGUGAAACAAAGCCACUAUUAUUGACAGAAAGAGAGGUACCAUUAGCAGUAAAAAUGUGUGAAUGUGAAUUUAAUUGAAAAGGUGAAGAAAGUAAAGAAGCAUGUGGUGUCAUAUGAAAUGAUGCGCCUGAGUCUAAAAUCCAGGAAUGUUCCGAAGUACCUCCAGGACCAGUCAUACCAAAACCUGAUGGCGUAGAUGAAAAGAUAGAGGAGGACUGCCCUGAUGAAGUGGAUGGAGUCAACUUGUCACGCCCCGAAAAUGCCAAUUUGGUCGAUUCGGGCCUGUACACAGACGCCGAAUGGACAGCACCUCUCCUGUCCGCCCAAGGCUCAAUAACCACAAGUACAUGUAUAAAGAAAGAAAUAAUCCGAGGAUAACAUUUUAAUAUACAUGGCUUACACGAGGGUAAGCAACACAAGUGCAAGUGAAAGUAAACUAACUAAACCAUUCAUACAUUGUAUCUUGAUUACUUUAAAUUAAAUACAAAGUUUGCAUAAUUAUUACAAUCACACAUUCCUCAAUAUAUAUAUUUGCCAUCUCUCAAACGAAUAAUUUCAUACAUUACACUUUGCUUUUAUCAACGGUAAAUGUUAAGGAUUUUUCUAAGUUGGCGGUUUUCGUGAAGUUCGAAUGGAGUCUUGAAGUAUUAAAGAUGAAGGUUGAUGAGAAGAUUGGAUUUUGACGAUUAAAGACUCAUUCGCAAUGCUCGGAAUCUCAGGUAUGAAUGAUAAAUUGUUUGUGGUGACUUUUUAUAUUCAAAAUAUGUUUGGAUGACUUAGAUUGCAUUUCUGUUGCACAAAUCUGGACAAUCUGAACCUAUUAUGGUUCAGGGACCGGUCCCUAAACAGAGGGACCGGUCCCCGUAGGUCUUCUCUGCGUAAAGACUACAAGAGACUGGUCUGUGGUAUCAAAAGACCGGUUCCCGUAAGUUGUUUUUUCAAAUACAUAUUAAGGAACCGGACCCUGGAUUGAAAGACUAUAACCGUACACUGGAUUUCUUGUUACGCAGGGAGGGACCGGUCCCCGCAACAAAGGACCGGUUCCCGUAGCCUGUAUUUUUUGUGUACGCAGAGAGGGACCGGUCUCUAGAACGAGGGACCGGUCCCCGUAACUUGGGUUUUUCUAUGUGCAGAGGAGGACCGGUCUUUGGAAUGAGGGACCGGUCCCCGAAGCUUAUAUUUUUGGCUACGCAAAGAAGGACCGGUCCCCGUAACCUAUGGUUUUUGCUACGCAGAGAGAGACCGGUCCUUGACUUGAAGGACCGGACCUUGGAAGACCGGUCCCGUCGGGAAGACCGGUCCCUGAGACCGUAUUUGUUUCCAAAAUUGGGUUUUUGCAAUCCUAGUUUACUUCUAAGUCUUCUAAACCUAUAUAUAUGCUAUGAGGGUUAUCAUAUGGGUUGAUGCUUAGAGUUUAGACCAUUAAGAAACCCUAGAAACUUGUUUUUGAGCUUUAUGAUCCAUGUCUUAAAGCAAGUUUCGAUUUGUUGAUCGUCAACUUGAUUCUUAGACUUUUAUUCUAAUGUUCCUUCGAGAAUCGAGUUGAUGAUUGACUAAAAGAGGAUUCCUCAUAGCUUAUGGUUUUUUAAAGUUUCAAUCACCACAAAUCAUAAUCUCUACGAGCUCCGGAUGGAGAAUUGGUGCAGGGAUUACGCGUGAGGCUGAGGAUUCGGUGGACGCAUCAAGGAGUCGAGGCGUUGACGUUGCGAGGAUUUGCGGCGGGAUCGAUCGAAGGACUUUGAUCGAUUGAGGACCGACGAAGGCGAUCUAUGACAAAGAUUCGGUAAAUUGGGUCGUGUAAUUAGUAAAUCACUUGUACUCAAUUGUUUCUAUAGUGGAUUUUUUGCGUGAUCGGUCCCGUGGGUUUUUUCUCCAAAUUGGAGUUUUCCCACGUUAAAUCUCGGUGUGUUGGUUUUUUAUUUCUGCUUUUACUUUAAAUUUGCACCGGGAGUUUUGAUUUUGCCGUUUACACCUAUUCACCCCCCUCUAGGUGUUAUUUACCUUUUAGAUCUUUGGAAUCCAUAUAUCACAAGUGGUAUCAGAGCGGGUAUAGGUUGUAAACUAUGGCCGAGGGAGGUAACAUUAACCAACCCCCUUUCUUUGAUGGCACUAAUUACGGUUAUUUGGAAAGUUCGCAUGAGAGCGUUUCUUAUUGCCAUUGACGAGUGGGUUUGGCAAGCAAUUGAAUUCGGAUGGAAACAUCCUACCGAACUAGUCGGUGAUGUUGCCGGUCCUAAACCUAGAAACAAAUGGACGAAAGAGGAAAAUGAACUAUCUUCGUUCAAUGGGAAGGGUAUCAAUGCUUUGUUCAAUGCUUUAAAUCAAACCGAAUUUUCUCGAGUUUCGGCGUGUGAAACCGCCAAAGAAAUUUGGGACACUUUACAAGUUACACAUGAGGGUACAAGCUUGGUAAAGGUUCAAAAAUUACAAAUAUUGACUAGUAGAUUUGACUCUAUUCGUAUGGAAGAACAUAAAACCUUUACCGAGUAUUAUACUCGUCUUCAAGAUAUUGUAAACACUUGUGCUAACUUGGGUGAAAAGAUUUCUGAACCUAAGAUUGUUUGAAAAAUUCUAAAGACCCUUCCCGAACGAUUUCAUCCUAAGGUUGCGGCCAUAGAAACGGUAAAACAUCCGGACGAAUUAAAAGUUGAUGAAUUAGUUGGUGCACUUCAAACAUAUGAAAUGACUUUUCCCUCUAAUACAUCGUCUUCCAAGUUGUUGUCUAAAGCUUCAGGUAUGGCACUUAAAUCAACAAAAGCAGGCAAUUUGGAGUCUUCAUCUACAGAUUCGGAUUCGGAUUCGGACCCAACCUUGGAGGAGUUCUGUCACGCCCCGAGACCGCUAAUAAUUUGGUCCGGUUCGGGCCCGUCGAACAGACGCCGGACGGACAGCACCUCCCCUGCCCGCCCAAGGCUCGACAACAAAAUCAUGUACAUAGAAUUGCCCAGUAAUUAUUCAAUUACAUACAUGAUAAGCACGGAGCACCACCAAUGCCAACAAGUAAGAGCAAGAUACAAGCAUGUCAUACAAGUAAAUACAGAGAGAUAUGUCUAUCUAUUACAUUCAUUCAACCAUUCAUUCGCAUCAAGUUUACAUUUUGUAACUUCAAAAUGGAUGUACACAUGUUUCGAUCUCCAAAUACAUAAGUAACUCUCAAAAUACAUCACAUCUCUAGGUACUCGAGGAUACUCUAAUGCAAAAAGGAAAGCUACUAUCUGACUAGGGCGCUAUGCCCUUACCACGGUCCUCUGCUGGUGUUCUCUCGCCGGGCCCUGCAACAAAGUGGGGUGAGAACUAUAUAAAUAUAGUUCCCAGUGGGUUCGGCCGCCGACUCUGCCGAUCUCCCCACUAGGUCUAAGCAGGUAUAAGUAGAUAAAUAGAUAGAUAGAUAUAUAUCUAAAGCCGUAAAUGAUGCAUAUCGAAAGAAUUGUAUUAUACUACUAUGCCUUGAGAUUCAAGAAUGAACAAGAUAGCCAUACAUUCACUAACAUGCUAUAAACCAACAUCGAGUAUGGAUACAACUCUACUAUGCCCAAUAUGCACAAUAUGCCCAAUUUACAUAACUCUCUUGAGUUUAUUACCAAAUCAUCUGGCUGGCCCAUAGGCGCGCCCUCAACUCACAUCUCAAAUCCGUCUAUGAAGGGGGACUCGAACCACCCGAGGGACUGUCUGCGGGACCUCACAUAGGCUAUCUCUUGGAAUCCCACAUAGGCUAUCCUAAUCGAUUCACGUGCCAAACUACGGAGCACACUACCUGUGCGGAGUGACCGCUACAAGCGCUGAAUAGACAAUGUGAGUAUAAUCAAAUCCUCGUCUAAUGAGGAUACCCUGUGUCACGUCUCGAGACCGCUACCAAUUUGGUCCGGUUCGAGCGCGUCGAACAGACGCCGAACGGACAGCACCUCCCCUGUCCGCCCAAGGCUCAACAACAGAUCGAGUACAAGAAUUUACCCAGGAAUUUAAAUUCUAUAUGUACACAAUCAACGAAGGGCACAACUUGUGCCCACAACUAAGAGCAAGUAAUCCACAAGUAUCAACAAGUGAAAAAGAGAGAGAACUACUAACUAUUACAUCACAUUUGUAUUCUUUUUAUAAUUACAUCUUUCCAAAAUGAAUACAUGUUCAUCUCAAUUACAUCAUUAGCUCUUCCAAAAACAUAAAGCAUCUAGAUACAAAAUGGUACUCUAAUGCAUAAAAGGAAGCUACUAUACUACUGCUCGGGCGCAAUGCCUUUGCAGCGAUCCUCGCCCGGCGCGCCCACACUCGGCCCUGCAGUGAAGUGGGGUGAGAACUAUCUUCUAUAGUUCCCAGUGGGUUUGGCCGCCGACUCCGCCGAUCUCCCCACUAGGUCCAAGUGGAAGUAACAACUAGAUAGAUAGAUAGAUAUCCAAAGCAGUAAAUGACAUAAUAGGAAAACUAUGCUACUCUGCCCAUAAUCACAAGUAAUGAAUGCAUGCAUCAUUUAGUAAAGGUUUACUAUCACGCUACUAUGUCCAAUCAUGUCCAAUAAGCGAUGUUCAAUGACAAUGCUAUUCUUUCAUUUACCCAAUCCUUGGCAAAUCCCUUGGGUUCGCCCACGACUCACAUCAUCAUCCCGUAGGGUAAGGAGUCUCAACUCGCUCUCGAACUCGGGGUUGUUUGCGGACAUCAACUCUGUCCCGAUCGCUCGACACUCCGGAGUACUCGACGACAUGAAUGGCUAUACCACCCCGGAUGGCUAUACCACCCCGAAUGGCUAUACCACCCCAAUAACGGACCAUGAGCUUGAUCUAUCCUCUCCAUUUGAGGACACCCUACGAACUAGGGCCAACAACUCUCUCGGAACUCACCUAUUCCGACAUUCAUGCAUAAGUGCUUAGCUAUACUAAGUUCUUUGUUCACGAGUCGUUUACUAGGGAAUCCACCUAUCCCUAUGUUCACGUACCACUAGUGUCGUAAUACACUACAUUAGAUGCCACUCGUUUUGUUCACAUAUCAAUUAUACGCCACUGGUUAUAUCAUUAAUUAUCAUCGAGUUCAUCUCUUUCCUUUAGCACUAUAGGAUUCAAUGUUUCGACCCAAUCUUUACCUAUCCAAUUUACCAAGUAUUCAACUCACUAGGUUAUUAUUUAGAAAGCAUAAGGAAAAGGUAUUACAAUGCAAUUCUACAAUGCAUAUGCAAGAGAUGAAAUUUCAUAUGUUCUAAGACAUAAUAAGGAGCCUGGUUACUUCGGGAUGACAUCCCCAACCUUUCGAAGGUUCCCGGCAUUGUAGAGAUCCUAAGAACACUCCUCGGCACUUGCUUCGAUGAUGCUUCGGCCUCCUAGGUCGAAACGAAGCUCAGAUGGCCUUAUUUUGCCAAAAGCUUCUCACCCGCUCGACGAAUCGCAAAUUCGACUUCGCGAAUGUGUUUAAACACAUAUCAAUUAGGUUAAGAGGCCAUCAAUUGAGAUCAAACCCCUCUAUUUAACAAAGCCCCAAAUUGAAGCCCUAGGUUUGCAACUAUGCAAAACCAUUCAAUCAAAACCCUAGAUUCUAGCUCUAAACACUUGUUAAGCAUGUUAGGGGUCUAUUUGACCCAUUUACAAGGCUAGAAAUCCAAAACCCUAGGUUCUACUAUGCUAGGGUUUAGUAGCUUACCUCUUGAGCUACUCCAAUGGGAUGAAGGGGGAGAGAGGAAGGUGGUGGAGAUGAUCUCCUCUAAGCUCUCCUCUUUCUUCUUCUUCUCCUUCUUCUACUUCUCUUUUCCUUCUUCUCCUUCUCUUUUCUUUCUUCUCCUUCUAGAGAGAGAGAGAGGGAGAGAAUAUGAGUGUGAGGGUGGAAAUGAGAGAGGGAGAGAGAGCCCUUUGCUCUCUAUACUCUCUAACUAAGGCAUAAUUGCAGCCAAGCCCCUCAACUUUAUCCAACUCAACCUGCCCAGUUUGGGCAGUUUUCGUGCACGGGGACCGGUCCCUCUACGGGGGACCGGUCCCUCUACGGGGGACCGGUCCCCAAGAGCUUCUCCCACAGGCUGGAGUUCCCAGCCAGCUUCUACGCACACGGGGACCGGUCCCUCCCGCCAGGGAUCGGUCCCCGAGAGCAAUGCUCUCGCAGGACAUCUACGGGAACCGGUUCUCCACUGGGAGACCGGUCCCAACUGGGACUCCAUAUUGCUUACGGGGAUCGGUCUCUCCCGCUAGGGACUGGCCCCUGAGAGUAGACUUGUGCGCAGAGGAUUUUCCCUGCGCAGCAAGCUUACGGGAACUGGUCCCUCAUGCCAGGGACCGGUCCCCGAGAGCCUGAUCAGCAGAAGUGCAGAUUUGCACUAUUUGCUCUCGUGGACUACAGUUCCAAUGCACUUUUUGGGUUUUAGACAUCUUCGGCUUUUUCGAAGCAUACCUACUCGACAAUUAGUCGAUUCUGGACGAAGUACAACUCUCGAAUUUCGAGAAUUCACUUCCUUACAUCCUCCCUUCCUAAAACGGAGUUUCGUCCUCGAAACUAAUCCAAUUCUCAACUCAAACUUAAACUUCUACCUCAAUCCUCAAAUAGAUGAGGAUGAUGCUUUUUCAUUAGCUCCUCGAGUUCCCAGGUGGCUUCGUGAUCGUUAUGAUUGCUCCACCGUAUCUUCACAUAGGGAAUUUCUCGAUUUCGCAGUUUUCGCACUUCUCGGGUGAUAAUCAUCACCGGAAACUCCUUGAAGCUCAAGUCUUCUUGAAGUUCCGGCGGUUCAUAUAACAUCGCGUGCUCUGGGUCAUGGAUGUACUUGCGAAGAUUGGAGACGUGGAAUACAUUAUGCACAUUGGCGAGCUUCGGCGGCAAGGCAAGCUGAUAGGCCACCGUGCCUACUCGCUCCAAUAUCUCAUAAGGUCCGAUGUACCGGGGACUUAGCUUUCCUCGUACUCCAAAUUGCUUCACACCCCGCAUCGGUGAAACUUUCAAGAACACGCGGUCGCCCACCACGAACUCUGUGUCUUGACGGCGCCUAUCUGCAUAACUCUUCUGUCUCGAUUGUGUCGUGAGCAAUCUCUUGCGAGCAAGGCGGACUUUCUCCUCCGCUUCUCGCAAAACAUCGGGGCAGAACUCUGCAUGUUCACCCACAUCACUCUAGUGUAUAGGAGAUUGACACUUCCGCCCAUAAAGAGCCUCGAACGGUGCCAUCUCCACACUAGCAUGAUAACUAUUGUUGUAGGCAAAUUCAACCAUUGGCAGGUGAUCACACCAAUUUCCCUUAUAGUCGAUGACACACGCUCGCAACAUAUCCUCCAGAGUUUGAAUGGUCCUCUCUGUUUGCCCAUCUGUCUGAGGAUGAAAUGCGGUGCUGAAAUCGAGCCGUGUGCCAAGGGCUUCCUGUAGGCUCUUCCAGAAGUGUGAGGUGAAUCGCGGGUCGCGAUCCGACACGAUCGACUUUGGCACCCCUUGCAACCUCACUAUCUCAUCGAGGUAAACCUGCGCCAACUUGUCAUCUGCCCACGUAGUGUGGAUCGGCAAAAAGUGAGCCGACUUCGUUAAACGAUCCACAAUCACCCAAAUUGCAUCGUGGCCGCCCGUUGAACGAGGCAAGCUGACCACGAAGUCCAUUGACACAUCCUCCCAUUUCCAAAUGGGGAUUGGUAGGCUUUGCAGUUUUCCCGCUGGAAAUCAACGCUCCGCCUUCACUUGUUGGCAUACUAAACAUCUCGCCACGAUGCGUCCAACAUCACCCUUCAUUCCAGGCCACCAAUAGUGCAAUUUCAAUCCUUGAUACAUUUUGGUGCCGCCCGGGUGAUCACAAUAAAGCGACCAAUGUGCCUCUUACAAGAUUAACCUUCGAAUCUCCUCAUUGUUCGAAACACACCAUUGAUUUCGGAAUCGAAGUGCACCACCGGCGUCUAUCGUGAAAUCGCCACCACAACCCUUCUCGGUGUCGCGUCACACUUUUUGGAGAUCUGGGUCCGCAGGUUGCAGAUUUUUAAUCCUUUCCAACAAGGUCUGUUGGACAACGAGCGUUAACAACUGAGCCGGAAUCUCGGGAGCAACUACCUCAAGGUUCAUUUGCUCCAUGUCCAGCCAUAGGGGCGUUUGAUUUGUAACCCACAUAGCGAGGUUCUCCACCGACUUCUUGCUGAGCGCAUCCGCGACCACAUUCGCUUUCCCGAGGUGGUAAAGGAUGUCAACAUCAUAAUCCUUUAGUAGUUCUAACCACCGCCACUAACGCAUGUUAAGCUCCUUUUGGGUGAAUAGAUAUUUCAGGCUCUUGUAGUCGGUAAAGAUCUCGCAAUGGGCACCAUACAGAUAGUGCCUCCACAGUUUCAAAGCGAAGAUCACCGCUGCCAGCUCCAAAUCAUGGAUGGGGUAGUUUUUCUCAUAGCUUUUCAGCUGACGGGACACAUAAGCGAUUACCUUCCCGCCCUACAUUCUAGUCUCGGCAGUUUUCCAAAAUCCACCCUUUUAGAGAGAGAGAAGAGCUAAUCUAGAGAGAGAGAGAGAUAGUGUUUUGGUGUUUAGAAUAUGAGGGAGUGAGAGAGAAGGGCUCACAUCACCUCCCUUUAACCCCUAUUAACACCAAAUUGCAAGAAACCCCCUCAACUUUGUGUUUUUGUGCACAGCCCACGCGGGGCAUUUUUUGUGUAAGGGGCCGGUCCUUGGACUUGAGGGACCGGCCCCCGUAGGUCCAGAAAAACAGUAUUUUAGGACGUAGCCAAAUUUUCAACUUUUUCAGCUUUCGGGGUCCGUUUUCACUCGUUUGGCCUCCGAUUCUUUUCAAAUCGAACCGAGACUCUCCAAACAUGUUUUCGAGUGUGUUUUCAUCAUGUUUCAUCCACGCUAAAGCCGGAUUUAGCUCUCGGUCCAACGUAGCCUUUCGGGUUUCGUUUUCGCGCCUACGCGCACCGAAAUGCCCGAAUGCUCCCGAACGAACUUCACCGAACUUCACCGGAGCCGUUCAAAUGGCUUUCCAACCAAAUGUACACCGUAACUUCAUAAUUUUAGAAGUCCGGUACCUUACAUCCUCCCCUCCUUAAAAAAGUUUCAUUCUCAAAACUCACUUCUAAUCCAACUUAUACCUCAACUCUACUUAUGAAAUAGUCAAGGGUUCCAAUACACUUUUGCAUCUCGGAUUGACCUUUCACUCAUUGUAAUCAUUCAAAGGUUCACUACGGAGGAUGUGAGGCCUAUUUCACUCACAUUUGCCACGUAUAAGUCCAAAAGUGCAUUACCACCAUGCAAGGAAUUACUCUUUGCAUUAUAUACCCAAUUGGGAAAUUCGUUCCGAUUCGAUCACGGCAUUGCUUAUAAGCAAUAUUGUUGGUGACUCGACCAAUCGCGAGUGCUUCAAUCACAACCGGAUCCUUGCUCUAUCACGAGAUGGCACACUCCGGCACAUCCCCAAUCUCAAUCCACAAAGAGCAUUAUCUUCAAGUUCCCAUUCUCACGUGGCUUCCAUUAGCUCAAUGUCUCACAAGAGCAUUUCAUCCUUUGCCAUCAUAAGCCACGGCCAACUCGGCUUCGUUCUUGCAACGAAUUCACACGAACCCUCCGUUCGCGAACCCAAGCCAAACUCACCAAUAGAGUUAUCGGUUAAACCGAUUACGUCGGUUUCCACAGGUGGACCAAUGGUCACCAAUAUUACGUAGGUCUACCGCCUAAACCUGUCUCACUACGCGUAGCAUCUCUCGUUCACUAGCGUAGACCCAAUCAUAAUCGGGCGAAAUUCUCACUUGGGAAUUCGCAUACACUCCAACCAGGAGCAACCAAGACCCCAAACCACGUCAAGUCCUCCGGUUGGGUCACAACCGCACUCUUAGUGCAUCAUCGAUCUCAUGCUCUAAUGCAUGGCAUUCUACGCUCCCGGGUCCAAGCUCGGACUACCGUCCUGAACAAAACUCUGCCCUACCCGUAGGUACCGGGCCACUGUCUCAAACAGCCGACUGUGCCUGUCCAAGGGCCUAGGCUCCACAGUCCACAAGUGGUCCAGGCACGGGUCGUCCACAAGUGGUCCAGCCACUAGCCUUACGAGUGAUCCAUGGCCCGCUUCAUACUUAGCAAUGCUGAAGUGCUACUGCCAACACACUCUCCCGGCUGAGUCAAUACCGCACACUACGAAUUCCUAUACUCGAGCGCUCUUACGCUUUCUAUACCAAAUUCGGCAUAAGGCGACCUUGCCUAUGCGCAUCGGCUACAAGAGCACAACUGCCUACCUCACAUUGAGGUACUACUAGGCCCACAGGCCAAACUUGGCGCUAAUCAACCGUUUUCUCAACAGUGAUCUACUUUCACUGUUCGAUCUACCAAAACCGUAUUCGAACUUUCUGGGAUUACUCGGGCAUCCGCAAGUAUUAGUGCUCGACUCUCGCAAUCUACCAACCACAUUGCCUUGAGAGUUGCCUCACCAUUUCAUCUCUACAACGAGAUUCAUUUCUUGUCCAAGAACCAUUACUAGCAAUUUGUUAGUGCCACAUGGCUCUCUACUUGCUCCAGCAGGCGCCAUACUCUCACCGCAUAAGCAUGCUCGGGCAUCUACACUUACCCGUCCACUGGUCUCUACUAUACUGAUGAAUAAAUAGUAGCAACUGACCACUCAUUAAUAUGCAUGCUACGCAACAACUUGAUAUUAUGCUUGCUUAAUUAACUCACACCUGCCAUGACAUCGUCAGUAGUAGCAGGUUCCUCCACCUGCUUCGCGUAUCCACGGCCAAUGCCCGCCGUGAACCCCUCGGUGGCAUCAACCUCAACGGUCGCUCUUCCGACCAUGCUGUAGGUGGCACACCUGCAGACUAUCCUGGAGAGGAAAAGGCUGUCGCCAACGUCACGGCCCGAUAACCGCCCACACGAAUGCAUAUCUCAUCGCGCAACGUACCCCGCCGCGCCUGAUGAGAACUUCUGCAAUCCCGUAUCUUGAAGAAGUUAAUAAAGGACGCCUCCGAGGUUUGGGAUUGCAGUUGCACUCGAGAACGUACACUGCCCAAACUGGACAAAUUUCGUGUACGGGGACCGGUUCUCACUCGAGGGAUCGGACCUUCAGGGACCGGUUCUCCUACGAGGGAUCGAACCCUGAGAGCAAAUAUUGCGCGCAGAGAUUUUCUACGGCGCACCCUGCUUACAGGAACCGGUCCCUCACACCAGGGGCCGGUCCCCGAGAGCAGAAAUUCUGCAACUUAGCAGAAUUUCCAAUCUUGCUCCCCGAGGCCCUUGCCAAUGCACUUUUGGGUUCUUGACGGCUUCGGCCUUUUCGAAGCGUACCCAAUCGAUAAUCAGUCGGUUCUAAACGAAGUCCAACUCUUGUAUUUCGAGAAUUCACUUCCUUACACGCACAACCUCGACCACGUCCGGCCAAGGUCUUCGCAGAGGCACAUCGGCCACUUCCUUGUCAUUCCGCACUGCGUUUGGGACGCAACUCAUGAUACGAGAGAAUUCCCGCUCGUAUUCCCUCAUGGCGCGGUCUACCUGCCGCAGCUUCGGGAACCUUUCCUGAAGCUUUCCUUUCCCACCACCCGGAAAGUGAACAGAGAAUAUUGAUCCCUGAAACUCAUCCGAAGUCAUAGGAGAGAGAACAGGCGAUCAAUUUUGCUUGACGCCUUCCACCACACCUUUGCCGACUGCUUGCAAGCAACGCACCGCUAGGUGUACCUUGUCCCACUCUACAGUGCACAGAUCCCCAAAGGGAGUCUCCAUGAAGUAGAUCCACAACUUCACGAUCAAUGGAUCCGCAUUCUCUCCAUCAAGGGUAGACUUAUCAAACCGCUUGAAGGUCAUGAGGGCCGCCAAAGCUCGCUCCCUCACCGCCUUCACUUCUGAAGCGCUAGAAGUCGGAUUACCCCCACCCCGACGGAAACACCUCCGCCUCAACUCCCGGCCGUACUCAAUGAGUCGGAACUGGUGCGAUCACUACUGAUCCACCAACUCUUGGAUUCUCUUAACUCGCUCCUCCUGGCAUAUGGCAGCCUUCUGCUGACACUGCACUAAUUCAGCUCGUUACCCCGCCACUCCCACGAGAGUGGCCAAAUGCUCGCGAAGUCCUAAGUCCCCGCUUGCCUCGGACUGCUCAGGGACACCACUUGUCCUAUCCCGCGCCGAUCUAGAUGAAGAUCGUCUACGCGGUGCCAUCGCUUCCUAAGACAUGACAACUCGGUCGGCUCUCGACCCUCAAGGUCGAGCGCGAAACAACCGACAUCGACUUAAAUCGGGCGAAAGUCACGCAAGGGCAUCUAUUCUGAUCCCUCGGUUUCAUGUUGUCGAUCGCCCAACAUGAACACACUUGGUCGAGAAUAAACCACGCCUCAAGUCUACCUCUAAUAUCCGUCUUAGAGGUUUACAACUCUUGACCCAAUCAAUUAACCUUUCGCCAAUAGUCACAAGUCCUCGUCUCUCACGAGCCUUAUUCUUCUAUGGUUCGCUAUCCUAGGGUCUCCUAGGUCUGCCUAAACCAUUCCCAUUCUCUACUUUAUGCUCUGAUACCAUCUUAUCUGUCACGACCCGCGACCCCUGCCUAUUUGGCCGGAUUCAGGUCAUCAACAGACCGCCGAACGGAUAGGGUUUCCCCUGUACCGCGAACAGAGUCUCUUCUGUACGUUCUAGGCAUCGCAAUCAAUAUAAUACAAGAGGUUCCAACCAAGAACAGUAUUCGACAUACAGAUUGCAUAAGGAAGUAUCAAAAACAUAACACAUCCUAUGUUAUUACAAGCAUUCACAUGAGAUUCAUUUUUACAUUACAUUCAACUCCCAAAUGCAAUCAAGGUUAUUACAACUUUUACUUAUUUACAAGUUUGAUACAUCUUGUUGUUUUCAUUUCCCCUCUACCCCUAGGCUAUGCCGACUCGGGGUACCGCUAUCUCUGGUCUCUGGGUAGGGUGCUAUCUAUGGAACUACGCCCUUGCCUCGCGCCGCCGCGCCGCUCACGUGCGAACCUGUAACACCCCAAAAUAACGUGGGGUGAGAACCAACUCCAUGGUUCCCAGUGAGGACGGCCACCCAAGGAAAUAGCUCGACCAAUAGGUCCAAGGAGGCACUGCAACAUGUUAGUCCAAAAAUAUACAACAGAUAUAUAUUCAAAUUGAAAUACAUGUCAUGCCUCACAAUAUGCAAUAUGAAAUCAUGCAACUAUGCAACUAAGUAGUUCACUAGUAGAUCCAUCGAUACUACUUUCAAUCCUGCUAUUCAUAGCUCAUCCAAUUGACUUCUAACUUUUCCUCUGUCUUGGAUUCAUGUCAAUUACCAUUCUGAUCAUAAGGUUUCAUUGACCUUCACUGUUUGUUCACGAGGUUUUAUCUACCUUUACAAAGCUAUCCACCCGACUCGGUCUUCAGUCAAUCAUCUGCAGAAUACCGCGCAAAGCCAAGCUCGAGGCGAAGGACGUCUCACUUGCACCUCAGCCUUAGAUCCACUCAACUGGGAUACCAAAUCCACUAACAAUGUCUAAUUAGCAAAUGUUCAAUAAACAGUGCUAUUGUCAUGCCCCAAUCCCCGCCAAUUUGGUCGGGUUCGGGUCACGUCAACAGACGCCGAAUGGACAGAGCCUCCCCUGUCCGUCCAAGGCUCUAAAACAUGUAUAAUAAAGCAAUCAAAUAAUGAGAUUAGCAUUUAUACAAGGCUUGCACGAGAGCAAGCAACAACGGAAGCGAAAGCUCUAAUCUAUCAUACUCAAGAUACAUAGUACUUGAUUGCUUUUGCACCAAAUAAAAGUAAACUGAACUAUUACAUUUCUUGCUUUCAUUCAUAAUUCUUUACAUUUAGCUAUUCACCAAAUUACAUAUUUGUUAUCAACUUUACAACUUUCUCAAUCAACAAAAGAAGUUGAUACAUGUAAACCAAAAAGGGAAAUGACUACAAAAUGUGAAAAAGUCCCGGUGGCCGCUAUCUACGGCGCUAAACCCUUGCCUCGGUCCUCUGCCGCCCUGUCGUACUAGGACCUGUAGGGUUAGUGGUGUGAGAACUACAACGAAGUUUCCAGUGGGUUCAGCAUCCGACCUCGCCGACUUACCCACUAGGUCUAUCCAGGCAUAAGUAUGACAAAGGAAGAAAAGUAACCAGUACUAAUGCAUCUAAUACUAUGCUUGCAAAAGAAUGUCAGUGGAUAUAGGUAAUCAACAAUAUAUAUUAUGCAUGCAUGCAUGUUCUUUAUCAUUCCUUUGUCUUUCUGUACCCAAUCUUACCGGUUAACUUUGUUAAUCCCAAUAGCUCACCAUUCCAUCUCCCGUCUUCCGAACGUUACGAACGCCGAGUCCGCGUCCUAUAGUCAAAAUAGUGCCAAAUUAGGCCCUUUGUACAUGAACUACUCUUAAACAUUUUUGUAAUGUUAAACGGAGUUGUCCCACGCGUCGAGGUCACCCCCAAUUAGGUUUCUACGAGGUCAAUUCGUCCCCAAAAAAUUCUAGGGCAAAAGCCCCAAAUUUGAGCCCUAAUAAUGUCACAAUGAGAUUUCUCCUAAAUUGAUCUCAUUCCUAAGCAAAAGAUAGCUUAGAAUCACCUAGGAAGCUCUCUAAUACCUUUACAAAGCGAUUCUGCACAUUCCUAGGGCAUCUAGUAUGAACCCUAGGGGUUCACCAUGAGAGCACCUCAAGAAACCAUGGUUUCAUGGUGUCUUGAGCUUAACAAGGUUUCUAAAGCUUGAAACAACCUCAAAACUCUAAAUCUUAGGGUUUAAAACCAAACUCUAGAGUUCUACUUGCUUAAACUCACCUUGGCCCAAGCUCUUCCUAAGAUCCUUCUUGCAGGAGAGCUCUUAGAUCCACCAAAGCUUCCAAAACCCACUUCUCCUUGCUUCUUCUCUUUCUUCUCCAAGCUCUAGGGGAUGAUCUCUAGAGAUAGAAAGGGAAAAAUGAGAGAGAGAAGAGUGGAAAUGGCUGUGGGAGAGAGGGUGAGAGGGGAUGGGUACAUAAUAUGUUGCAACAAUAGCAACAAGACCCCUCAACUCCAAAUAUUUGCAUCAGCCCUUACUUGGCAAUUUUCGCAGUCGGUGACCGGUCUCCCCGACUAGGGACCGGUUCCCGAAAAGCUGUUUUCCAGGACUUAGCCAAUUUUCGGGGUUUUUGGCUGACUGCACAACGAGGGACCAGUCUCUCCUUUAGGGACCGGUUCCUCAGGGACCGGUUUCACUGCCAAGGACCGGUUGCCUCAGGAUUCCUAGCAGGCUACGAGUACGGGGACCGGUCUCUCCUUCAGGGACCGGUCCCCGAGAGCACAAAAUCUCAGACUUAGCCAGAUUUUCGAAUUUCACUUUCUCGGAUCCCUUUGUACUAUAUAUAGGCUCCAAAACACUUGUAGCACACUGGACCUUUGCAAAUUGCGAGGUUCGAGUGUUCGAUUUGUAUUCCGAACUUUUUCACACUUGGUGGCGGGCCGUCGAUGGUAUACCGGCCUAAAAGUUCGAUCUCGAGAGUUUUGGCAGAGUCCUGAGAGUUUUUACUCUCGGGGACCGGUCCCUGAUAGGAGAGACCGGUCCCCCAGUGAACAGUGCUGCGCAGCCGGCGAGGCAACCGGUCCCUGGCAGUCGAGACUGGUCCCCGAGCGCGUCUGCGCGGGGAGAGACCGGUCCCGCGCAGGGAGAGACCGGUUCCCGAACGUUGGAUUUUCGGGGGCAGGCUGAGAGACCGGUCCCAGGUCGGGGAGACCGGUCCCUCUGGGCGAAAACUGCCCAGACCGGNNNNNNNNNNNNNNNNNNNNNNNNNNNNNNNNNNNNNNNNNNNNNNNNNNNNNNNNNNNNNNNNNNNNNNNNNNNNNNNNNNNNNNNNNNNNNNNNNNNNUGGAGGAGAGAGAAGAGAGUUGGAUCUGGGCUAUAUUAGUAGCCAAAAUCCCAUUAUUGUUACCAGUUUUUUGGCUUUGCCGAUCAAUCUUUUCGAUUAUUUCUAACCAUUGCAUUAAAUACUAGGUAGCCCAGUGGGGACCAUUAACCCUUAGGCGGACCACUCAACUUCCUAACCGACUGUAAUAUCAUCCUGAUCCUACAAUUUUUCAUCCAACGGUUAAAAACUUGAUAGCAAAAAGAGCGUUUUACUAUUAAUAGUAUUCCAGCCUAAUUCUAUAUAUAUAUAUAUAUAUAUAUAUAUAUGGAGAGAGAGAACUAUGCUAGAAUAUUAUUAAUAGCACUGUUUUUGACCAUUGGAUGAAUAGCAUGGUAACCGAAUAAUAUAUAUAUAUAGAGUCCGGCUGGGAUACUAUCGAUAGCACCAAGCACUUGGUGCUAUCGAGUUUUUCGCUAUUAGAUUUAACCAUUUGACUAUUUUCACCCGUUAGAUUAUACUAUUCCACCAACAACUGACUCAAUUCUAGGGGGCCCACAUCAUCCUAACCGUAUAUUUCUUCAAUGAAGGGCUGAAAACUUAAUAGUACCAACAACUUGGUGCUAUUGAUAGUAUUCCAGCCUAAUUUUAUAUAUAUAUAUAUAUACACGCCCCGGGGCCGAUUUUAAAAGCCUUUUUAAAAUAGAGUUGCGGAAAACGUGCCAUUUUUUUUUUUUUUUUUUCAACCUGGCCCACGUGACGUACAGACCCGCCACAAAUACAAAGUUCCUCUGUCCACUCGGACGGAGUCUUCUUUGUAUUUGCACGGCGUACCAACAAUAAAACAGGAUCACAACCACAAUCUACAUUUACCAAUCAACAACCAAGGCAUGAUAUGCAUUUCCAUACAGCUAACAAUCCUUAGAAUGAUGCAUGCCUCUAAGCACUCCUUAGGCGCUGGAUGAUGCAAUGCACAAUACAACAAACAUCCUAUUUAAAAGUGCUCCCCACACGGAAGUUUUUGUUUUUAAACUCUAAUUCAUUCAUUCAUAAAAACCAUUCAAAAAUUUUUUUGAAAUUGUUUCCCACACGGAAACUCUAUUUUGAAAACCGACUACCUCGAGGGGUAGAAAACCACGAUGCAUAACUACAAGAAAACCAAAUCUCCACAGAACCAAAACCACAGAUCGAAAACUCCAAUCUCAUGUAUAAUAAAACAUCCAUAAUCUCAUGCAUAACGGAAAUCACCACAUUCAAACAUCUAACUGAACCAUUUAUUUAAAUGACUACUAAAGGCGGAAAGAAAUAACCAGGGUGACGGUCGCUACUGCCGUCUAGCUAGAUCGUUCUCUCGUCGAGCCCAAAAUCCAACUCCUCGUCUCUGUCACCUGGGGGGGAAAGGGGGGUGAGAAACCGCAACCAUGAUUUUCUCAGUGGGUACGACAGAGCCACGAAGGCAAGCCGUAAUCACCGGAAACCAAAGGAGAUAGAUAAACAAAUAUAUAACUUAAGCUGAUAUGAAAUAGAACUACAGUAGCUACAACAGAUAAAUAGGAAGCAAUAAAUAAACCUGCUACUGUAUAGAAAACAAUGCAAAGAAUGCCUCAAUGUACUGAACCAGAAACUGUACCCAAUCUGUGCCUGCUGUAUCGGUCCGCAGACCUCAAGCGCUGCCUGUCACUAACUGCACCGACCUGAUCCAUCCGCCCCGCAGGACAACCUAUCCGGAUAAGUACACCUCCGAUCGGUGGCCAAACCGAUCCGGUGUCAUGAAUACCCCCAAGUGCCGUGACUAAGUCAUGCUGGUAUGCUUAAACAAAAACAAACCCGGCUAAAGCCGGUGCCUAGGCCGAAGCCAACAACGAGGGCGUACAAUGCCAAACUGAAAUAGAAGAUAGGGCGUACAACGCCGAACUGAAAUAGAUGCUAGGGCGUACAACGCCGAACCUCGAUCAACCAGAUCGAGACACACGACAAGAGAGUCGAUGUGUUGCCUGGACCCAAGGUCCACAGAGAUACUGAAAUACAAAUGCAACCUGCUCUACAUGUCUAUCAACUACUAACCAAAUGCAAUCAAAGAGGUACGAUAUACGAAAGAUAAGCAAGCAAUGACAUGUAGAGACUAAAAUACGGGAAUAGAAAAACAGGAGAAGGAGGUGAAACGCUCUCACCGACUACCAGCUCGAAGCACCCACCUGUCACUAUCGCGUCGGAANNNNNNNNNNNNNNNNNNNNNNNNNNNNNNNNNNNNNNNNNNNNNNNNNNNNNNNNNNNNNNNNNNNNNNNNNNNNNNNNNNNNNNNNNNNNNNNNNNNNNNNNNNNNNNNNNNNNNNNNNNNNNNNNNNNNNNNNNNNNNNNNNNNNNNNNNNNNNNNNNNNNNNNNNNNNNNNNNNNNNNNNNNNNNNNNNNNNNNNNNNNNNNNNNNNNNNNNNNNNNNNNNNNNNNNNNNNNNNNNNNNNNNNNNNNNNNNNNNNNNNNNNNNNNNNNNNNNNNNNNNNNNNNNNNNNNNNNNNNNNNNNNNNNNNNNNNNNNNNNNNNNNNNNNNNNNNNNNNNNNNNNNNNNNNNNNNNNNNNNNNNNNNNNNNNNNNNNNNNNNNNNNNNNNNNNNNNNNNNNNNNNNNNNNNNNNNNNNNNNNNNNNNNNNNNNNNNNNNNNNNNNNNNNNNNNNNNNNNNNNNNNNNNNNNNNNNNNNNNNNNNNNNNNNNNNNNNNNNNNNNNNNNNNNNNNNNNNNNNNNNNNNNNNNNNNNNNNNNNNNNNNNNNNNNNNNNNNNNNNNNNNNNNNNNNNNNNNNNNNNNNNNNNNNNNNNNNNNNNNNNNNNNNNNNNNNNNNNNNNNNNNNNNNNNNNNNNNNNNNNNNNNNNNNNNNNNNNNNNNNNNNNNNNNNNNNNNNNNNNNNNNNNNNNNNNNNNNNNNNNNNNNNNNNNNNNNNNNNNNNNNNNNNNNNNNNNNNNNNNNNNNNNNNNNNNNNNNNNNNNNNNNNNNNNNNNNNNNNNNNNNNNNNNNNNNNNNNNNNNNNNNNNNNNNNNNNNNNNNNNNNNNNNNNNNNNNNNNNNNNNNNNNNNNNNNNNNNNNNNNNNNNNNNNNNNNNNNNNNNNNNNNNNNNNNNNNNNNNNNNNNNNNNNNNNNNNNNNNNNNNNNNNNNNNNNNNNNNNNNNNNNNNNNNNNNNNNNNNNNNNNNNNNNNNNNNNNNNNNNNNNNNNNNNNNNNNNNNNNNNNNNNNNNNNNNNNNNNNNNNNNNNNNNNNNNNNNNNNNNNNNNNNNNNNNNNNNNNNNNNNNNNNNNNNNNNNNNNNNNNNNNNNNNNNNNNNNNNNNNNNNNNNNNNNNNNNNNNNNNNNNNNNNNNNNNNNNNNNNNNNNNNNNNNNNNNNNNNNNNNNNNNNNNNNNNNNNNNNNNNNNNNNNNNNNNNNNNNNNNNNNNNNNNNNNNNNNNNNNNNNNNNNNNNNNNNNNNNNNNNNNNNNNNNNNNNNNNNNNNNNNNNNNNNNNNNNNNNNNNNNNNNNNNNNNNNNNNNNNNNNNNNNNNNNNNNNNNNNNNNNNNNNNNNNNNNNNNNNNNNNNNNNNNNNNNNNNNNNNNNNNNNNNNNNNNNNNNNNNNNNNNNNNNNNNNNNNNNNNNNNNNNNNNNNNNNNNNNNNNNNNNNNNNNNNNNNNNNNNNNNNNNNNNNNNNNNNNNNNNNNNNNNNNNNNNNNNNNNNNNNNNNNNNNNNNNNNNNNNNNNNNNNNNNNNNNNNNNNNNNNNNNNNNNNNNNNNNNNNNNNNNNNNNNNNNNNNNNNNNNNNNNNNNNNNNNNNGGGCGCGCGCAGGAGGAGCAGGGGAAUGUGGGGGAGGCGGCUAGGGGGCUAGGGCAAGGCUAGGUUAGGGUUAGGUGAAACAAAACCCUAAAGAGCAACUAUAUACAAGGUGCAACAAAGCGAGAAAGCCCCUCAAACGUCGGAAUUUCAAUCCGAGUCCCUCACAGCGUGUGUAAAACACGCGAACACCCCUCUACGAGCGAUCCCACACGAAACGAUACAUAAAAUAUCGCGACUUUCGCGAAAAUACCGUUUUGCCACUACCGACCUCUCCUCGAUCAACGCGCGAUCUCCGCAGAUCCGUCCGUCAGAUUUGCGAACGGAUUGCACCAGUGCAGUCAGCACGAUGGAGACAACAAAGCUGCGAUUUCGUUCGUCUUGAUCGACCACGGAUUCACGGCAAAAUCCAACCUUCUUCGAAUAGAAGAAAUCACACAAAAAUACAUAUAAAACAUGUAUUUUUGGAUUUUCUCGAAAUCCGUGCGUCAAACUCAAAAUCCGUCCGUCAAACUCAAAAUCCGUCAGCGUCAUUAGUUCCAGGAUAGCUGACCCGGUCAAAACGAGCUAUUGGACUGCUAUGAACAGAGUCCGGUACGAGCCAGAAGCCAACUUCUCACCGCGGCUUCUCCGGAAAAUCGAGUUACUAUUCACUUUAAGUGAAACUUGGAAAUUGCGUAGAAUUUCCGUUUUAACUCGUUUUCGCCCGAAACUUGACGAGUGCUUUUGUAAUUAAAGUACACACAAAAACAUCGUCAACUGAGAGUUUAGCUACACUGCAAAAAUCUCAGUCCUUACAAUAUAUAUAUAUAUAUAUAGGGUCCAGCUACUAUACUAUUAUGAGUACGGUCGCUCUCGUACUCAUAAAUCGUUUUCGAUGAUAGAGCUUCCGAAUCGACAAUCUAUACUAUUAAACGUUAUUUACAGCAUUUAAAAUUUCUAGAAAUCAAAUUUUAUAAUUUUUUGAGAUCAUUUACCUUACGAUCAAGAGGUCAUAAAUUUGACAAUUUUUAAUGACCGGUAUGGGAUACUUGCUAGUUUAACGGUGUAAAAGAAUCGGAAUUUGUUAAAUUUUUGAUAGAAAAUUCUAUUCACUACCUAUAUAAAAAUCAAUAACUCUGAUCUUGAAUUGAAGGAUCUGAUCAUCCUUUUUUAGGACGUCGUUCGAUUUUGACUGCUCAUUUUAUGCCCGUUUGAUAGACUUUAUUAUGAUUUCGAAAAUUUACGAAAUUUAUUUUCUAGAAGUUUCAAAUACUCUAGAUCAUAUCUAAUGGAGUGGAUCGUCGAUUCGGAAGCUCCAUCAUAAAAAACAACUUAUGAGUACGAGGGCUCCAAUACUCAUAAUAGUAUAGUAGCCAUGGCCUAUAUAUAUAUAUAUAUAUAUAGUCCAUCUACUAUUCUAUUAAUAGGAUUGAAGACAUUGUCCUAUCAAGUCAAUUUGAAUGAUUGGAACUUCAAAUUGAUAAUCGGUACCGUUGAAAUUGAUCGACACAAUUAGAAAUGUUUAGAAACCAAAUUUUGUAAUAGUUAAAAAUUAUUAUCAAGUUCAUCUUAAGAGUUGAAAAAUAAACGGUCAUAAAUGAAUAACCUUCUUAAACAAGCAAACGACUCAUAUAGGCCGUCAAAUAUUGUUGAUUUUACGACACUUUGAUCACCAUGUAAAUAAUAUUUAAAAUUUAUGAAAUUUAGUUUCUAGAUAUUUCAAAUACUCCAAAUCAACUUCAACGGCUCUGAUCAUCGAUUCGGAAUCUCUAUCAUCAAGAAUAAUUUGAUAGGACAAGUGCUACUAUCCUAUUAAUAGGAUAGUAGCCCUAGCAUAUAUAUAUAUAUAUAUAUAUAUAUAUAUAUAUAUGAGUCUGGCUACUAUACUAUCGGUAGCAUGGAACGCUCCGUGCUACCAAGUUGUUUUCGAUGAUGCGGCUUCCAAAUCGACGAUCGGCUCCGUUAGACUUGAUCUACACUAUUGAAAAUAUUUGGAAAUUAAAUUUCAAAUUUUUUCGACAUCAUUUGACUAGUGAUCAAAAGAUCUCAAAAUUGACAAUUUUAAUGUUUUCUUAGCCUUAAACAAUUUAAAAACUAUCUUUUAAGAUAAGUGAUGGAUAUAUUUUUAGUUAUUGAGACUAGAACUUAACUUCCUAGACUAGUAGGCAAUUUGAGAGUUUGUGUGGUGUAGCACGGUAAUUUUGACGAGUUAAAAUUCUGGCAAACUAUGUGAUCAGUANNNNNNNNNNNNNNNNNNNNNNNNNNNNNNNNNNNNNNNNNNNNNNNNNNNNNNNNNNNNNNNNNNNNNNNNNNNNNNNNNNNNNNNNNNNNNNNNNNNNNNNNNNNNNNNNNNNNNNNNNNNNNNNNNNNNNNNNNNNNNNNNNNNNNNNNNNNNNNNNNNNNNNNNNNNNNNNNNNNNNNNNNNNNNNNNNNNNNNNNNNNNNNNNNNNNNNNNNNNNNNNNNNNNNNNNNNNNNNNNNNNNNNNNNNNNNNNNNNNNNNNNNNNNNNNNNNNNNNNNNNNNNNNNNNNNNNNNNNNNNNNNNNNNNNNNNNNNNNNNNNNNNNNNNNNNNNNNNNNNNNNNNNNNNNNNNNNNNNNNNNNNNNNNNNNNNNNNNNNNNNNNNNNNNNNNNNNNNNNNNNNNNNNNNNNNNNNNNNNNNNNNNNNNNNNNNNNNNNNNNNNNNNNNNNNNNNNNNNNNNNNNNNNNNNNNNNNNNNNNNNNNNNNNNNNNNNNNNNNNNNNNNNNNNNNNNNNNNNNNNNNNNNNNNNNNNNNNNNNNNNNNNNNNNNNNNNNNNNNNNNNNNNNNNNNNNNNNNNNNNNNNNNNNNNNNNNNNNNNNNNNNNNNNNNNNNNNNNNNNNNNNNNNNNNNNNNNNNNNNNNNNNNNNNNNNNNNNNNNNNNNNNNNNNNNNNNNNNNNNNNNNNNNNNNNNNNNNNNNNNNNNNNNNNNNNNNNNNNNNNNNNNNNNNNNNNNNNNNNNNNNNNNNNNNNNNNNNNNNNNNNNNNNNNNNNNNNNNNNNNNNNNNNNNNNNNNNNNNNNNNNNNNNNNNNNNNNNNNNNNNNNNNNNNNNNNNNNNNNNNNNNNNNNNNNNNNNNNNNNNNNNNNNNNNNNNNNNNNNNNNNNNNNNNNNNNNNNNNNNNNNNNNNNNNNNNNNNNNNNNNNNNNNNNNNNNNNNNNNNNNNNNNNNNNNNNNNNNNNNNNNNNNNNNNNNNNNNNNNNNNNNNNNNNNNNNNNNNNNNNNNNNNNNNNNNNNNNNNNNNNNNNNNNNNNNNNNNNNNNNNNNNNNNNNNNNNNNNNNNNNNNNNNNNNNNNNNNNNNNNNNNNNNNNNNNNNNNNNNNNNNNNNNNNNNNNNNNNNNNNNNAUAUUUAUUCAAAAAUUUAGAAUAAAAUAUUUUAUAAAUUUAUAUGUUAUAUUUUAUUAAAAAAUAUCUAUAAUAUCAAUUUUAAAUUUUAAUAUAAAAUAGAUUGAUAGAUUUGAUAUCCAAAAUCAAAAAUUAAAUUUAAAUCACGAUUUAAACUCAAAUUUAAAUUUUAAUGUAAAAUAGAUGGAUAGAGCAUAUUGAUAUUCUGACAAAAAUUUGGAUAAGCAUGAAUUUAUUUCUAUUUUAGAGAUAAAAUGAAAUUAAACGAAUUUUGAAUUAAAAUAUAGAUUCACAAUAGAUAUCUUUCGGUUGGCAAAAUUUGAAUAAGUAUAUAUAUUUUUUUAUUUUAGAGGUAAAGAUAAAUUAAAAGUUUGUUUUAUUAUCUAUCUAUAAACCUAAAUGAAAGCACAACAUUUCUUGCCACGUGGCAAGUCAUCCUUCAUCCCUUCAUCCUCAUAAAUAAAUAAAUAAAUGAAACCACUUCCUCUAUCUAAAUAUCAAAUUAACAAAAUAAUUAACUCUCUCUAUUUACCUGCUACUUGAGUUUAUUGCUAAUAAAUUCAUUCCGUUUAAUAUGGACGAUGUAGAUUCAUUGAACCACUAAGCAAUAGUGACAUUAAAUAUCAAAUUCUUUACUCUUGGACUUUUAUCUUAUGAAACCAACCCUUCGCCUUCCCUCCACAUAUAACGCCUAAUUUAACCCUAUCUAAACCGUAAAUCUAGAAACCCAUCCAAAAAGCCCAACCCUUUGCCUUCCCUCCGCAUAUAACGUCUAAUUAAUGUAUCCACCCAUUUUAACCCUAAUAUAAUCGUAAACCAUAAAAACUCACGCAAAAGCCUCAUUCUCUCCUAUGCAUGUCAUGAAAAUGAAAGCCUAUUUUGUUUCUUAUAAUAAAUUACAACCUCCUUCAUUUAGCAAGAGGUGUGAGAUCUAUUUACUUUUUUUUUUCUUUUUUUUUUAAUUCCUAAUUUUGAUGUAUUAUCCUCUUCUCAUUUAGCCUAAGGAGUGGGCGAUGCUUCAGGUCAUAGCGAUGGCGGAGGUGGUGAAUGUUAUGGCAGUGGAGACUAAGACGGCUGCGGAAGAAAGCAUGGGCAAUGACAGUGGAGAUCGAGGUAGCAGUAAAAGCAAUGGCAAGCCUCGCCCUCUUAGAGACUAAUAUUAAGUAACAGUUUCUCUAUCUUUUCUUUUUUUUCUCUCUCUUCUUAUUUUCUAUUUUUUUAAUCUAUUUUUAACCUAUUUUAUAGUAUUUUUUGGAAUUAUUUGAUAGUUUCUGUUUAAGAUGAGUUGGAUUGGAUUAAAAAUCUAAUACUCUGAUAAUACCUGCCCGCCGCAUCACGCGAGUAACUACACUAGUGUUAUUUAUUUUACGUAAGGAAAGAGAAAUCAAAAAUUUUUUUCGCCUAAAAAUGGGUCUGCCGACAUAUCGAAAUUUGAAAUACGUGCUAGAUAGUUUAGAUAUUAUAUUACAGUUAGAGAUAAAAACGAAUUAAAUUAAAAUUCACAGUAGAUAUUCUCAGAUUGGUAAAAAUUUGGAUAAGCAUAAAUUUUUUUCUGUUGUAGAAAUAAAGAGGAAAUAAAAGUUUUUUUAAUUCUAUUAUUUAUUUUACGUAAGGAAAGAGGCAUCAAUUUUUUUUUCCGCCAAAAAAUGGGUCUGUCGACAGACCGAAAUUUGAAAUACGUGCUUUUAUAUAUAGUAUAUAUAUAUAUAUACAUAUAUAUAUAUAUACAUAUAUAUAUACAUAUACAUAUAUACAUACAUAUACAUAUACAUAUACAUAUAUACAUACAUAUACAUAUACAUACACAUAUAUACAUACAUAUACAUAUACAUACACAUAUAUACAUACAUAUACAUAUACAUACACAUAUAUACAUACAUAUACAUAUACAUANUAGAAAAUGAGAAUCUUAAUUUAAUAAUUAAAAUUUACAAAAUAUGGGUCUCUUCACAUUUGGAUUGGUCUAAAAUCCAAAAAGAAAUUUGUAAUAUAUAUAUAUACACACACACACACACACAGAAUUGAGCUCUUAUUAAAAGCACAAGUCGUUGGUACUUGUAGGUUUUUGGCCUUUGGAUGAUGAUUUGUACAGUUAGGAUAAUAGUGGCCCCCUGGGGUUGAGUGGAUGGUUGGUGGAAUAGCAUAAUCUACGGAGUGGAAUUGGUCAAAGGAAUAAAUCUAACCAUGGAAAACUUACAAGCACCAAGUGUUUGGUGCUUUUAAAAGCACCAUAGCUGGACUCUACAGAAAUAUACACACACGCAUGUGUAUAUACAUAUGUAUAUACAUAUAUCUAUGUAUAUACAUACAUAUGUAUCUAUGUAUAUACAUAUACAUGUAUACAUAUAUAUAUACAUAUACAUGUAUAUAUAUAUAAAGUUGGACUGGGCUACUAUUAGUAGCAAAAUACCAUUGUUGCUACUAGUAUUUUAGCCAUUGGAUCAACUCUUUUCAUUAUUUCUAACCAUUGGAUUAAAUACUAUAACCCAGUAGGGACUACUCAACCCUAGGUGGACCACUCAGCUCUAACCGACUAAUAUCAUCCCGACCCUACAAUUUUUCAUCCAAGGGUUAAAAACUUGAUAGCAAAAAGAGUGUUUUACUAUUAAUAGUAUUCCAGUCUAAUUCUAUAUAUAUAUAUAUACAUAUACAUGUAUAUAUAUACAUAUAUACAUAUAAUUAUGCUACUAUACUAUCAAUAGUACCAACCCUUGCUACUAUUGAGUUUUCGGUCGUUGAAUGAAAAGAUGUGCGGUUAGGAUGAUAGUGGUCCCCAGUUAAAUUGAUAGUAGUCCCCUAGGGUUGAGUGAGUGGUUGGUUUAAUAGUAUAAUCUAACGGGUGGAAAUGAUCAAAGGGUAGAUCUAACGGUAGAAAACUCAAUAGUACCAAGGGCUUAGUACUAUCGAUAGUAUAGCCGGACUCNNNNNNNNNNNNNNNNNNNNNNNNNAGAUGAGAGAGAGGAAUAGAGAGAGAGAGAAGAGAGAAGAGAGAGAGAGAGAGAGAGCGAGAGAGAGGUGAUUGACUGGCUAUCUAUAGUAGCAAAUACCAUUGUCUUACAUUUUUAGCCUUUGAUCAACUCUUUCAUUAUUUCUUACCAUUGGAUUAAAUACAUAACGCCAGUGGGACCAAUGUUAAAUAUUAUAACCCAGUGGAACCAUCAACCCUAGGGGACCAUCAACUCUAACCCGAAUAAUAUCAUCCUGACCCUACAAUUUUUCAUCCAAGGUUAAAACUUGAAUAGCAAAAAGAGCGUUUUACUAUUAAAUAUUUCAGCCUAAUCCUACUAUAAUAUAUAAUAUAAUUUAAAUAUAUAUAUAUAUAUAUAUAUUAUAUAUAAUAUAUAUUAUGAGUACGAUCGCCCUCGUACUCAUAAGUUGUUUUAUAUAUAUAUAUAUAUAUAGGGUCCGGCUACUAUACUAUUAUGAGUACGAUCGCCCUCGUACUCAUAAGUUGUUUUCGAUGAUAGAGCUUCCGAAUUGACGAUUCACACCAUUAAACGUUAUCUAGAGCAUUUAAAACGUUUAGAAAUCAAAUUUUAUAAUUUUUCGACAUCAUUUACCUUGCGAUCAAAAGGUCACAAAAUUGACAAUUUUAACGACUGAUAUGGAAUAUUUGCUAGUUUAACGGUGUAAAAGAAUCGAAAUUGGUUGAAUUUUUGAUAGAAAAUUCUAUUUACUAUAUAGAUAAAGAUCAAUAACUCCGAUCUUAAACUGAAGGAUCCGAUCAUCCAUUUUUAAGACGUCGUUCGAUUUUAACCGUUCAUUUUAUACCUGCUUGAUGAACUUUAUUAUAAUUUCAAAAAAUUAUGAAAUUUAUUUUUUAGAAGUUUCAAAUACUCUAGAUUAUAUUUAACGGAGUGGAUCGUCGAUUCGGAAGCUCCAUUAUUGAAAAUAAUUUAUGAGUAUGAAGGGCUCUAUACUCAUAAGAGUAUAGUAGCCCUAGUUAUAUAUAUAUAUAUGUAUAAUUACAACAUGUGCAGAAUCUGUCGUAUGAUGAUCAUCUAUCUUAGUGUAAUUAAGAUCAAACUUAGUCUUUUUCUCUCAUUAGUAGGUCCCGGUUCAACUGUUGGGCUUGGGUUGUGAAACAGUAAAACUAACUAGGUUUGAAUUCUUUUUAAUUUUAUGGGCUUAAUUAUAUUUCAUUGCAGUUUAAAGUUUUUAAUUUGUUGUAUUACUAAUUUUACGGGCGGGCUCGGCAUGGCUCCAGACUGGGCCAUUUUACGGCACAAGUAGUAUAGCAACCGCCGGCAGUGCAAGUGCCAACCCAGCCCAUAAAAUUAUAGUCUUGCUGGGAAGAAGGGUUGGUUAUUUUGGUCCAAAAAUAUCCAACCCUUAGGACUAGCUACCUCAUCGCUUCUUCUCUGAUGAAGGAUUUUUGCCUGUUGCGGAAAAAAAAUGGUCCAAAUAAAUUUUUUUAAUUUAAUUUUAGAAUUUUGUAAAUGAUUUUUUGCUAAUGCUUUUGUACAUCUUUAUUUUUAGUUAAAAUACUAAUUAAAGAGGACUAUUUUGGUCUUUUACUUUUUUUUCAAAAUUUCAUACUUUUAAAAAAAAAAUAAAAUAAAGAAAAACUAAAGGCCCGGUCGGAACACGGCCCAGCCCGGCCCGGUACGGCCCGGGCUCGCUUCUUGCCCGUUCGCCUGAACUUUGUGACUGUAAACAGCUUUUAUACUUUCGCUCAAUUGUGUAUAAAAUAUAAACAAUAUUAUACAAAAGUAAUAAUAAUAAUGAAUAGUAGGAUAUUUUUAACUUAAGACUAAAGUUUCUUUUGUUCAUCUGAGUUUGACGCAUGACACGUGGUGUCAUUUAGGGCGGCCUCAGGUCAUUACACUCAACACCUCAUCAUUUAAAAAGCUCCAAGAAAAUAAAUAAAAUAUAUGCAAUCAUCUAUAGUGACGAAAACAGUCUCGAUGUGGUCUCCAUCCGAAGCUUCCGCCGAAUAUUACCCAUCUCCUCUUUGCAAGCACACCACGUAUACCUCAGCUCAAUUAUUUUGUUUUUGUGGAGUACGUACCAUUCUGCCUGCUAUUAAUUCGAGUGUAUCAUUUCACAAAAAUAUCAAACCAUUUUCAUCAACAUUUAUUAAAAAUAUAUAUUAUUAUACAUAUGUGAGAUAAGAAUAUACUAUACGUGUGGAAUUCCAUUUUUGCUUUUCAGGAUUGAGAAUACACUUUGACUGUGAAAAGCCCUUAGGCUUUCAGAAAAAUAUAUAAGCGAUCGGAUAUGUCAAACAGUUAGUAGGUGUCUAUGGAAAUCAAGAAACAUGUCAAAGAGAAAUUUUAGCUAACACACGAGUUACGUACAUAUUGCCUUAAAGAUAUUACACCUUUUAUGCACCCCUACUAUAUAUACAUAUCUUAAUCGGAUGAAGUACAAGUUUAUACUUUGUCAUCUAAAAUUUGCAAGUUCAUACUGUACAAAUUAAUUACUGUGUACUUUAGAUUUUGUUUCUAAUUCUUGACAUUUUUUAUAUUUUUUUGUGAUUGUAAUGGUAUAUAUAUAUACUUGUCGCAUUAGCAGCUUACAAUGAAAACUAACAUUCUUAUGUGCAGUAGUUAUAAUAGUGCUCCUUACUCAGAAAAUAAUAAUAAUAAAAAUCUUCUAGCUAAUUAAUUCUUGUUAUUUUUUUAAACUUUUUUCCGAAUGUUCUAGAAGAAGAGCAAAGCAGACACUAAAGCGCGGCAACUAAUUAAUUAUCCUCCAUUAAUUCCCCUAGCUAGUGAUGUUGUUGGACUUAAUUUUGUCCAACUCCCAAAAUGACUCGGUUGAGACAAAGCACAGCAAAGGUGCUCAGGAACCAUGUUGGCACCCUUUUUGGAACAACUCAACAAGCUUAGCCAACAUAGUGAUGAGACCUAGCAAGCUAUAGGCAUAGACCAGAUUCCCCUUGUCCAUUGGUGCUCCUAUGCCUCUCUCCACAUCUUUAUGAAACUUUCCUAUUGUGUCCUCUCCAUUCCCAAUUGUGUCCACUCCACUAUAUCAAUCAAGGAAAAGGAAUAAGUGCUUGUUGCGGAAAUUAAACAACUUAUAUACUUGUGGUGCUCAUCAUAUAUCUCCCAAUUGGCUUGAUAACAACAUUAUUGUUAAUACCAUUUUGAUGUUGAGUGCGCUUAGCCAUUUAUCCAUAAAUAUCUAAAAUACACAAUUGUAAUUUGAAGUAUACAUAUAUAUAUAUAUAAAUAUAAACGAGUUUUUUCUGCUUGAAUAAAGGCGAUCGAUGUGUACGCACGGUUUCUAAUAUCAGUUUCGCCUAGGGCGAUCAAUUGGAUAAUAUUCAGUAUAAAGUCACUUCGCAAUAAAAAAUAUAUACUUAAUUGGGAGCUUGAAAGCAAGAGAAAGGAGGAACGGGGAGCAUUAGGUUCUGUUUUUUCUUUUUCUUUUUAUUAUUUCCCCCUCCUUCAUGCAUGCAUCCCUUUUCGCCUUUUGUCUCUUUAGUGUUUUUUUUUUUUUUUUUUUUUUGCUUUGCCUUUGCUACCUUCUUUUGCCUUUGCCUUUGUAAUGUCUCAGCCUUAUUAGUAAUGCAUUGCUAAUGGGAUGUGCACUAAUGGGCUUGUUGCNAUAAAAAAUAUAUACUUAAUUGGGAGCUUGAAAGCAAGAGAAAGGAGGAACGGGGAGCAUUAGGUUCUGUUUUUUCUUUUUCUUUUUAUUAUUUCAACAUUAUGGAUCAAGAAAUGAUUUUUUUUUUUUUGUCUCUUUUUUUUUUUUUUUUUUUUUUUUUUUAGGCUUUGCCUUUGCUACCUUCUUUUGCCUUUGCCUUUGUAAUGUCUCAGCCUUAUUAGUAAUGCAUUGCUAAUGGGAUGUGCACUAAUGGGCUUGUUGCUCAUUAGAUUCCCACUUCCUGUUUGUGGCUUUCUAGUUAAGCCUUACUAUUACUACUACUACUACUACUACUACUACUACUACUCACCACUGCUGCUAUUGCUAUUGCUAUUGCUACUGCUAUUGCUACUACUGCUGCUACGAAUAGGCCGGUAUCGUUGUCCCUGCUAGUCUCGCCAUAGUAGUAGGCAAUUCCCUUAGUCCUUACGCAAUCCUCCCCUAUUUGUCGUGCAAUCUCUUUCAUUCAAUUUUACAUUAUUCUCUUGACUAAGAAAUGUGCAAUAUCGCUGGGCUAGCUAUUGUUUUUUAUUUAUUUAUUUUAUUUUAUUUUUUUCUUUCCCCUUUUCCCUUCCACUUUUUCUUUUCCUUCCUCUUUAGAGGGAAUAUGGUCCAUGUUACUAUCGCAUCAACAACCGUCGGAUGUAUUUUAUAAAGCAAAAAAAAGAUUAAUGCCCCACUCAAAACAUAGAGAAGAUCCUUUGACUUGUGAAAAAGUCUAAGGCACAAAAUAUAUUUGUUUAGAAAUUAACACUCUGAAAGCCGAGCUCUAGUGUGUUUAGAACAGGCCCGGGUUGAGCCACGAUUUAAAUUUUUAAGAUGGAAACGAAUAAAAUUAUAAAAGUGUGGUGAUUUUACUAUAUAUAGAGAGCUUCAAAAAGCUCCUGUCAAAAUAAGCAUUUAUAGUCCCACUUUUGUUACUACAUUUUUCCUUUUUCUCUCUCGCACUCACACACACACACAACAUUAGCCAACUAGUUUCACUGGAUGAUUAGUAACUGCUAUCUAUUACUUAAUUAUUUACCGCACUCCGAAUGUGUAAAUCUAUUAAUGACCAAAUAUUUAUUAUAAACUUCGUGGUGUUUAAAAUAUGAUCAACAUUUUAUUUAGUUCGUUCUGAUGAAUGAUAAGGAUGCAAACAUUUUCCCCUAUUUAUUAUUGGGAAAAUGUUUUUCUUUCAACAACACCCUAGAAAAGGAAACCCUAAAAUGUGUAAUCAAGAUCUUUAUCUAAUACUUCUGGUUGACCAUUUUGUUUGCCAAUGAUUGAUAUCUGAGCGGAUUUGUCUACUACUAAUGUCCGAGCUAAAACCAGACUAGCUAGAACUAUAUCCUCCUUGAUCAGUAGUGAUUACAGUGGAUCGAAUCAGAUUGGUCUCAGGUCGAAUCAAGGUGUGGUAAGAACACAGAAGGCUGAGUUGAAUCCAACUCAAUCGGCCAGCUAGCAAGACGGUCAAGAGGCUCGACCUAAAUCUGACUUUGCAAUAGGUCGAGCGGAUCUAACUUGCCUAUGAUAUUUAUGUUUGAUUGUUCAUAGCAAUUAGUUCGAUUUUGUUUUGCUCAAUUUUCAGUACUGUUAAUGGUAAUAGCUAGAAAAAUAAGAAAAUUACAAAAGUAGACAAAAGGAUUUAUAAGGAUGAAAUAAAGAGAAAUUGAAACGCGACUUCUUUGAGGAACUCCUCAAUAAGAUCUUACUCAUCAGACAGUUUGGUAAGAUGUGCUAUUCAUCUCGUAUCAGAAUUUUAAAUUUUCAUUCCAAUAUAGAAAAUCUCCACUUGAACCUCAACACCGUAUUAUUGGACCGACGGGUGAAUUUAGAGAAGGCUCAACAAUCAGCAAGAAGGAAUUGUUACUCACUUAGUUGUUUUUUUUUUUUUUCUUUUUUCACCCCAGGAGAAUAGAGGCUUAAUUAAAAGUACAAAAAAAAGGCAAAGGUUAAAAAGAAAGUAGGAUGAUAGAUUACCAUGAUCCAGUACUGGGUCAAACGUAAAAACUCUGGUCCCAUAUUCUAACUCUAUAUUUGACAAUUUGAGUGAAAUUGACCAAAUUUAGUCGAUCGAAUAAAAUAUAUAUACUACUGAAAGAAAUAUUUGGUAAACCUGAUUUUUAACUAAUAGAAAUUAAUCAGAAUAAUAAAUCUAAUCUUUGCAUAGUAAAAAUAAGUCUGAUAAAUAGUAACAAAAUCGAUCCUAAAUUUAGUUCUUUUGAAAUUUCUAAUUUGAAGGACUAGAGGCACAGAUUUUUUAUAUAAUCCUGUGUGCAAGAAUAUUAUUCUAUAUAUAUAUAUAUAUAUAUAGAGUUGGACUGGGCUACUAUUAGUAGCAAAAUUCUAUUGUUGCUACCAGUUUUUUAGCCUUUGGAUCAACUCUUUUCAUUGUUUCUAACUAUUGGAUUAAAUACUAUAACCCAGUAGGGACCACUCAACCCUAGGGGGACCACUCAACUCUAACCGACUAAUAUCAUCCUGACUCUACAAUUUUUCAUCCAAGGGUUAAAAACAUAAUAGCAAAAAGAGUGUUUUACUAUUAAUAGUAUUCCAGCUUAAUUCUAUAUAUAUAUAUAUAUAUAUAUAUAUAUGCAGAUGGUAAUCCCACCGUCCAGCCAAAGUGCGAUCAACCAGGACCAUUCACACCGGCUUAUCAUCAAAUGGCCUCGAGCUUCGUGCGGAGAGAAAAGUUCUGCACAUAGAUCAUGAUAGAAAUUUGCUUCUUUUCUGUGCACAAGAUUGUGGGAAAUUUACUUUCCUCUGGGUAGGUCUCUUCCACGCGCACAUGAGCACCAGCUGAAAAAUUACUGCCAACGCUCAGUGCUAGUGCUGGGGUUGUCAACGAGCUGAAUAGGGGCGAGCUAGCUAGGAACCGCUCGUCUUCGUUUCUUUACAAAACGAGUCGAAUAUAAGCUGAUCGACUUGUUAAAAAAUUUGAGCUGAGAAUUUUACUUUUUGUUAGGCUAGGCUUGCGUAUAGCAAAUUAGAUUAUCAGCUCUAGUAUUGGAUGUAAAGAUAAAAAAAAAUUAAAAAAAUAGAAUAUUUAGUUUAGUAAUUAAAAUUUAUAAAAUAUAAUUUAAUUUUUUAUAUUUAAGUUAGCCUAAAAUCUAAAUAGUAAAAAUUUACAAUGUUUAUAUAUAUAUAUAUAUAUAUAUAGAGUUGGACUGGGCUACUAUUAGUAGCAAAAUUCUAUUGUUGCUACCAGUUUUUUAGCCUUUGGAUCAACUCUUUUCAUUGUUUCUAACUAUUGGAUUAAAUACUAUAACCCAGUAGGGACCACUCAACCCUAGGGGGACCACUCAACUCUAACCGACUAAUAUCAUCCUGACUCUACAAUUUUUCAUCCAAGGGUUAAAAACAUAAUAGCAAAAAGAGUGUUUUACUAUUAAUAGUAUUCCAGCUUAAUUCUAUAUAUAUAUAUAUAUAUAUAUAUAUAUGCAGAUGGUAAUCCCACCGUCCAGCCAAAGUGCGAUCAACCAGGACCAUUCACACCGGCUUAUCAUCAAAUGGCCUCGAGCUUCGUGCGGAGAGAAAAGUUCUGCACANGAGCAAAAGCUACAACGCUGAAAGCUUAGCAGCUAGCCGAGGCACUGGAAGCACGGAAGGCUCCGUGCUUCCGAUAGCAUAGUAGCCUCACUCCAUAUAUAUAUAUAUAUAAACAUUGGCCUACUUCUUUCCGUCAAAAUCAAGAGAACUACAAGAGUUGGCCUAGCAAUAAGAUUGGAGUGGAAGAAUCAGAGUUGGAGCCCCUCUCCUCUAUUAAAGCUAAAUUUAAAUUAUUCAAAAAUAAUCAUAAUUUUAAAACUAAAUUUAAUAUUAUUAAAUUAAAAUAUAUACAUAAUAUAAUUUAGUUAAAAUUAGACUUUUUUUAUUCUGAUAAUACUAUAAUUAAUUUUAAAAAUAUUAAUAUCUUUUAGUCAAGAUCAUCGAUGUUUCAAAGAAAGAAAAGAUCAUAAUAAGGGCCAUGAGAAAGAAAAUGACAUAUAGGAAUAAAAUAAACAAGGUUCACAGGUAUACUUAUAAGGGCUUUUUUUGCAAAUAAUCCUCUGACAAAUUUUAUUUGUAAAAAUAGUCCCGUCCAAAAAUUAUUUGCAAAAAUGAUCGUGCCCCUGCCACGCCAGCGCCACGUCAGCGCCACGCGGGCAGGGCGGGCCCAGAUGUUUAAGUUGAACACGGUGAACCAUUCACCGUGUUCAAUACAAAAUUUUUGUAUUGGACACGGUGAAUGGUUCACCGUGUCCAAUACAAAUACCCCAAUAAUGACUAAGUUGAAGGUAUUUGUAUUAGACACGGUGAACCAUUCACCGUGUCCAAUACAAAUUAUUGGACACGGUGAAUGAUUCACCGUGUCCAAUACAAAUAUUUCGAUAUUAACUAUUUUGUAUUGAACACGGUGAAUCAUUCACCGUGUCCAAUAUAAAAACUUUGUAUUGAACAAGUGAAUAGUUCACCGUGUUCAACUUAACCAUCUGGCCCAGCUCCGUCCGCGUGGCGCUGACGUGGCGCUUGCGUGGCGGGGCCAGGACCAUUUUUAUAAAUAAAUUUUUGACAGGACCAAUUAAAAAAAAAAAAUUUGUAAGGGAUUUAUUUGCAAAAAAAAGCCCUACUUAUAAUGUAGCAAGUACAGGAAAAAUUUUCUCAGCGUUACACGUGACAUUAUUGACCGACGUAAUAAUGCCAAGGUUUUCAUUCAAAUUGGCAAAUAAAUUGUACUAUUUAUUGUCCUGAGAAUCUUUAAAUGUAAACAAAAAAACAGAAGAGAGAAAGAGAGAAUCUUAAUAUUAAUCUAUUUAGAUGCGCGAGGGACUAUAAAAAUAUGAGCUCCUUUGUCCUCUUAGGAGGAAAAAGGGACACUCAUUAUGCCCCCCCACAACCACUUAAAAUAAUGCUUCAGCUUUUAGGUCCAACUUGCUGACUUUCGGCUAGCUGUUUAUUUUUAAUUACAUUAAUUUAUGCAUGGGUCCCACACUCCUUUUUUAAUUCCCACUUUAAUUAGAAUUUAUAUAUUCAUAAGGUGGUAUUCAAUACCAGUAAAAAGAUCGUCGGUCAUAACCACUAAUAGACUAUUUUAAACUCAUGUGCUGAUAAAAAAAAAUAUAUAUACUCAUCACAUUUAAAGACUCAGUUAUAUCGAUAACGGAAUUUCGUUAGGUCUGUUAUAGACUACACUUCCACUCAACUUGUUAAUUUUCCGAGAAUAAAAAGUUGAUCAUGUUUCAUAUUUGGGUGGGGUUAAUAUAAAUGAAGGAUGGUUUAGGAACGUACCAAGGAUCAUUUUUAAUUCUUAAAUUGAUGCGUUUGUACGUGGGUCCUACUUGAGGCAUAUUCUUACUCUAAUUCUGACUUUAAUUAAGUAAUAUUUAUAAGGUGGCCAUCAAUAUCAAUGGAAGGAUAAAUUAAUUUGGGUGGGGUUAAUCCAAAAGAAGGAUGAAUUUAAAAAGUAACAAGGAAUAACUAUGACAACAACACAAACAUAUGUAAAUGGGUAGUAGCUAGUAACAUUAAUAGCACGCAUUGAAUCUGAUUCUAUAUAUACGCUGAACAAAAUCACUAUAUUAAUUAAAUAUGAUCUAUACAUAAAGUAUAGAUGAGAUGAUAUAGUCAACUUGCCAAAAUUAUGAGCCAAAUUUGAUUAGUUUGUAGUGCCUUUAUUUUUAUCUUCGUUAUCAUCAUGGAGUGUCUAACAAAUGUAAAAAAGAAUCUGAAGCUUUUGCUACAACCAGAAACAACAAUAAAAUGUUAAAUCUUAAAAGCAAAUAUUUUAAUUUGGAGAAAUUAAAGAUAAUAACAGAGCCAGAAAAGAAAUAUGGCCAAUUUGCAUAAAAAAUCCACUAGCUUUGUGCUUUCGCAAAAGUGGGCCACCUUUUUCGAUUUUGCAGAUUCAGACUGGAUUUUUAGUAAACUGACCAAAAUACCCUUAUACCUUUUUCUCUCUCCUUUUUUUUUUUUUUUUUCUCGCGUUCUUUUUUUUUCUCGCCGAAGAAGGCGAUGGAGGCGAAGGCAGAAACGGCCCCCAUCGUCUCUGCAGCUCACGCCCUCACCCCAACCCUCGCCAGCGCACCCCUCGCCCUACUUGCCUACAACCCCGCCAAAGCUGCGCUGCGACCCUCUUUUUUUUUUUCUCUCCGUCCCUCCUCCACAGCCUCCGCGACCCUCCGCGAUGAUAACGAGGACGGUAACGCGUCCUCUUUCUCCGCCUUCGCCCUCCAUCUCCACUGCAGCGGAUUUUCUACCCGCCAAACAAACUCGCCGUCCACACUGCAGUUGUCGGCGAGGAAGAGGAAGUGCUUCUCGGGGCCGAGAAGCUUGCCGGCGAGAGAAGGGGCACGCGGCCCACCCAUCUAUUCUAGAGGGCGGCGGCAAGCGCGGCCUUGACCGUGUCGGAGGCGAGGAGGGCGAGAAAUGCACGGGAGAAUCUCUGGAUUAGCAUUUUUGUUUGUUUAAAACAGAAAAAAAAAACUAAAAGGCCAAAAAUUAGAGAAUAAUAAAAAAAACCAGGGAAGAAUGAAGAAGAAGAUGAAUUUGCACUGUUAAGAUUAAAUUGCACUGUUUUAAAAGAACGUUGCACUAUUAUGGAUGUAAGUUGCACUCUUUUAAUGUAAACUGCAUAGUUUAAGAUAAAAGUUAUACUUUUUAAAUAAAAGUUGUACUCUUUGAGAGAUAUUUAUACUGUUUCUCUUCUUGUUGCACUCUUUAAGAUGAGAUAUUUAUACUAUUUCUGCUCUUGUUGCACAAUUUUUCUUGUUAAAGGGUGCAGUUUAUAUAUCAACACAUCAAAAGAGAAAUAGUGCAACAAGAGGAGAAAUAGUGCAACAAGAGGAGAAAUAGUAUAAAUAUCUCAUCUUAAAGAAUGCAACAAGAGGAGAAACAAUGUAAAUAUCUCUCAAAGAGUACAACUUUCGUUUAAAGAGUGUAACUUUUCUCUUAAAGGGCAGUUUAUAUUUAAAAGAGUGCAACUUACGUUCAUAAUAGUGCAACGUUUUUUUAAAACAGUGCAAUUUAAUCUUAACAGUGCAAAUUCUUUUUCUUCUUCUUUCUUCUCUGGUUUUCUUUAUUAUUCUCUAGUUUUUGGUCUUUUAGUUUUUUUUUUUUUUUGUUUUAAACAAACAAAAGUGCUAAUCCACAGAUGCUCUCGUGCAUUCCUCGUCCUUCUUGUCUCCGACACCGUUGAGGCCGCGCUCGUUGUCGCCCACUGGGGUAGGCGAGUGGGCUGCAUGUCACGCCCCGUGACCCGUCUAUUUGGUCGAAUUCGGGCACGCCGACAGACCGCCGAACGGAUAGAGUCUUCCCUAUACGUCCUAGGCAUCACAAUCCAUACAAACGCGAGGUUCCAACCAAGAACAAUAAUCAAGCAAGGAUUGCAUAAGGAAGUAUCAAAAACAUAAAUGCAACUAUACUAUUACAAGCAUUCGUCCCGGGUUUUACAUUUUUAUUACAUUUGUUUCAAUCUUCCAAAUACAACCAAGUUAUUACUGUUAGAAAAUUGCGUACGGUAAAAACGCAGCGGAAAAAGAAAUCAAACAAAUUUGAUUUUGAAAACUCUCGAGAUCCAAUCUCAAAUACCACGCAAUUAGGAUCCCUCGUGUUCUUUAAGAUUAAAGAAGAAAAACAAAAUCGAAUCUUUACCUUUUUCGUGGAUAGAUCUUCACCUCAAUUUGAUAAUCGUGGAAUUGGAUUCUCUUGAAGCCGCACACACGUCUGGCCUCUAUAGGUAUCCACAUGAGGUCCUUGAUUUGAUCGAUGUCCUCAGCGGGGUGCUAGCUCCCUUGCAAAGGGCGUCAUUUUUUGUUAGAAUAUGGAAGAGAGAAGAGAGGAAAGAUGACGGUUAGAGUUUUCUUAAAACUCCCGUAUAAUUAUAUAGAGGAAUAUAAUCAUCUUUUUAAUAAUAUAAUAACCAUUAAGGAUAAGUACAAAUCUAGAUUUAAAUUUAUUCUUUUCUUAAUUAGCUAGAUCGAUCAAAUCUUAAUUUGAUUCGACUUGAACUUUAUAUUAACUUGAUCAUAUCAAAUUAAUAAAGCAACAUUUGCAUAUAAGUCCUCUUAUAAUUUACUAACUAUUAGUAAGUCCUCUCUAGUAACAUUUACACCUUAAUACCGCUAAUUUGUAAUAAUUACAAAUUAGUCCAAUUAUCAACAUAUUGACAAUUAGGUCCUCCGGCGAUUCAAUAAUCACGAUCUAGCUAUCCGAUCAAUCACAACCUCUUAUGUGUGUGACCCUAUAGGUUCUAUUCUAUCUGGUAGUGAGAUAUAUUUUGAUCACUAUCAACAAUAUCACUGAAACUCUUUUCAGUGGAUCGGAACAAUUCCAACUCAGCCCAAUGAGAAUUAUCGAUCAUCUAGAUAAUUCUCAUGAGUCUCACAAUCCACCAGUGACGCCUAGCAACAUGUAGUGGCAUUCCAGUAGAAUGGAAUACUGAACUUCUUGGUGCAGUUACCGUAUGAUACAGUCCUUCUAUCAUGACUCCCGACUAGACGCAGGUCAUGGAAUAACUCGUCAAAUCCCAUCGUCUGUCAUAUGCUAAAUUUAUUCAACUCGAGUUUCUAAUAUUGGAAACCCUUUUCCGCUAUUAACUCUGCCCUGACCAAGGUCUUCUAAACUCGGUCUCAUAAAUCACAUAGGACUAACACCCCCUAUCUACCAAGGGAGAUAGAUUCCAUCUAAGUGCGCACCCUAUUCCUACAAUGAACCCACUGCAGCCAACAUGCACCGCAAGGACCCGAAUGGCUAGGGACCAAGUGUAUGUACAGUCAAACUAUAGUAACCUCAUUGUGAAUAGCCGAGGCACCGUAGGUCAAAGGACCAGUCACACUACUGCAACAUUGAGUAAGUCACUGACGAGUGAGUAAGACAUCCAAGUGACUUCUCGUAUUGGUCACGCUCGGUACCCUUGUUCUCUAACAACCACCUGCAUAUUCGCUUCAGUGUCCCCACACUGUCGACUCGAGACCCGUCUACCCAAAAGGGAAGCGACCUAUGCACCAAUCUCAUCGGAUCAAUCACCGUCCCCGUGAUGAUCCAUUGAUCGGGAGCAUUUAGAAAUUAACCACCAAUGAAACAUGCCUCAAAUUCUCAACUCUUGAGAAUAUAUGUCAUCAUCUUAUUAAUUCCUUGGACGAUUCAUGGACACAUACACAACAUGAAUGGUAAUAAGAACCCAACUUUAUUCAUAAGAUUUUAAAGUCAAAUACAAAUUUAUGUCCUAGAAAGAAUACAGGUUUCGGCCUGGUUGGUGUCGAGUACCGAUACCUAUUGGUAAGUACCGGUACUGGGACUGGGUUCCGGUAUUGCAUCGGGCUAGCACCGGUACACAGCACGCGAUUUCGCGUGUUGAGUAUUGGGUACUGGUACCCAAGUUGAGUACCGGUACUUAGGCGACAGAAUUGAGUUGGCUAGGGGUCUUUUGGUCAUUUUGGUUGUUGAUAUUAUCACCAACCGACCCCGACUUAUAUAUCAGCCUAAGAAGCUUGGAGAAUGUCGUAGUUUCUCCUCCUCUUCUCUCUCUAGCUAAUUGAGGGUAGAUCUCAGUUCUUUCCUUCUUUGCUUAGGAGGAUCGUACGUGUGCGUGGGUUGUUCCCGGUUGAGCUGUAGGAGGUCGGGCGAGCACGGGGUUUCUCCUAUCGACUUCUAGCUAGUGUUGGACGAGCGUUCGAGGUGGGUUAAUGUUUACGGAAAUCAUCGGAAUUCCUUCUAAGUCGUAGAAAUGGCAGCAUAUAUUUUCUUGUCUUGCUCAUCGUGUUUAGUAGCUCGAAUUCGUAGAUUUGCAUGCUUUAUAUGAAAUCUGAAUUUGGAGCAUAAUUUUAUGAUUUUUGAUGAAGUGAUAUAUGUUGAACUGGGAUUUGACUUAGGAGAAAACCCAUUAAACCUACACUGUCAUUUUCAAAUUGUUAACAGAUUUAGCUUUCAGAAGCUAAUUUCUUUAUUGUAUCACCGCUAUUAGUGCGUCAUGGAUAUUUAGAUUAGUGUAGGUUGAGAUUACGCUCGUGCUGAGCAGCCAACUCGUUUUACAGUAGAGUUUGUACUGUUUCGUACUAUCGGGUGCCGUCGGGGCGGACGGUGGACCCAAAUGUUUACAUAUUGUAUCAGACUGUGUUGAGGGCACGUGAGUCUUGGUUGUUAGACCAGUUUGACCCAUUUGUUUUGACUAUAGCCUGUGUGAGAUUAAUUGAGCUCGACAGAGACACGCUUGCAUACUCGGUUGGAUCGCUCGACGAGUGUCGCUUCGGAGUGAGGCUGUCACGCCCCCAUCCCCGCCAAUUUGGUCAGGAUCGGGUCACGUCAACAGACGCCGAACGGACAGCAUCUCCCCUGUCCGCCCAAGGCUCCAACUACAAGUAUAAUUAAGCAAUCAACCAAAGUAAUUUGCAAUUAUACAAGGCUUGCACGAGGGCAAGCAACAACGGAAGCGAAAGCUCUAAAUUAAACAUACAACCAUACAUGAUAUUUGAUUAAAUUUAAACCAAAUACAAGUGAACUAAAACUAUUACAUUCUUUUCCUUUUUAUUCAUAAUUUCUUUUACAUCUUAAUCAUUCUCCAAAAUACAUGAAUUGUUUUCAACUUUUACAUCUAUAAAUCAACAAAAGAAAGUUGAUACAUGUAGACAAAAGGGAAUGACUAAAUGCAUAAACUCCGGCGGCCACUAGCUAUGGCGCAAUACCCUUGCUUCGGUCCUCCGCCGCCCCGCUCGCGCUCGGACCUGUACGGUUAGUGGUGUGAGAACUACAAAGAAGUUCCCAGUGGGUUCGGCAACCGACCUCGCCGACUUACCCACUAGGUCUAUUCAGCCAUAAGUAUUUCAAAGGAAUAAAAAUAACAACCAUACUAAUGCUAAUACUAUGCCUGCAAGAAAACUGUCAGUGGAUAUAUAUAAUCGAAUAAUGAAUGCUCAUGCAUGCAUGCUUGUUCCAUACUUUACUUUGGUUUUUACCCAAUCUUGCCGGUUAACCUUGUUAACCCAAAUAACUCACAACCCAAAAUCCCUUAAUAACGGGGGACUCGAACUAACCUAGGGACCGUCCUCUGGGCGGACUUUAUCACGCCCAGUGGUGACUAACUCCGGAGCGCACUACCCGAGGGGGAGCUACCUCCCUCAAGCGAAGACUUAUCAUGAGUAUCGAUCCAAUCCUCAACUUGAGGAUACAUAGCCACUAGUCACAAUGCUAUUGUCAUAAUAGGUUUCUACCUAUUUAUUCAUGCUACUUUCCAAAUCAUACUUGUCACAAUGCCUCUGUGGUUAAACUAGGUUUAACAAUCGAUUUCUCAAUGCCAAUCAUGUCUCUAUUGUCAAUGUCACCUUUGUUUACUAUUGUCUAAGUCCAAGUCCAAGUCUCACAUUCAUACAACUUUAAGGUUCUACCAUAUAUGUCCAUUAUGCUUCUAUCAUUCUCUAUGUUCAACUAUGUUAGAAGCAUGUAAAUGAAAUCAAACCAAGGUUCACAUGUAAUUUAACCCUACUAUGCAUGAAUGACUAUACAACAAUAUACUCAAUAAAAGGUGAAAUAGGCAUAAAGGGAAAUCUGAUGAUUCCGGUGUGCACCCCCAACCUUAAAUAUUGUAGAUGGGUUGUAGUUCGACUCUCGUGAUUUUAGCAUGCCUCUUCCGCGAACUAAACCCAAAAUAAAGCCAAAUUAGGUCCUAUAUACAAGAUCUCUUACUUAACCUUUUCGUAACGUUAAACGGAGUUGUCCCACGCGUCGAGAAUAUCCCCAAUUAGGUUUUCAAGAGGUCAAUUUGCCUCGAAAAUACCCGGAGUCAAAAGCUCCAAAAUCCAUGCCCUAACAAUGCUAUAUUCAAAUUUCUCCUAGAGUGAUCUCAUCUCUAAGUAAAUGAUAGCUUAGAGUCAUCUAGGAAGCUUUCUAAUACUAUUACCAAGCCUCUAGAACCAUUCAUAGGGCAUCUACUAUGGAUUCUAACAAUCCACCAUGAGAGGGUUCCAAGAAAACCAUAUUUUUAUGGUGUUCAAAGCUCAAAAGAGUCUCUAAAGCUAGAAACAAACUCAAAACUCUAAAACUUAGGGUUAAAAUCAAACCCUAGAAGCAAUCUUGCAAGAACUUACCUCUAGUCCCAAGCUCUACCAAGUCUUCUUGUUGGAGGGCUUCUAGAACCACCAAAACCUCCAAAAUCCACCUUCAAUGUCUUCUUCUCCUUCUUCUCUUUGCUCUAGGUCUAGCUUUCUAGAGAGAGAGAGGGAAAUGAGAGAGGGAGAGAGUGGAGAGGUGUUUGGGCUGUUGGCUGUGAAGGAGAGGAGGGUUGGGUUAUUAGCAUGUUGUGACAUUUGCAACUAAGCCCUCCAAAACUUCUAAUUUGUAACAGACCUUAAUGUUGCUGCCAGACCAAAGUGUGCCGGAACACUUUGGGCUGUUACCGGUUACACGAUUACGCAGAGGCAACCCGAGAGCAUUUCCCUCGGAUUUUACCAAAGUGUAGCGGUACACACUAGGGGUGUACCGGUACAUUUUCUACGAAAAUCUCAAACCCGAGAGCUUACUCUACUCGGGCUGCUGGGCUGUUACCGGUGACAACUCGAUGAUUGUACCGGUACACUUUGCCCAGAAUGCAGUUUUAGCUCCGAUUCGACUCUACUUCGCGCCGGUCGAUGCUAAAACCCUUCUAAUACCUCUUAAACUCAUUUUUAGCCCUUCUAACAUUGUUGGAAUGCUAAAUGCAACUCGUCCAUCCAUCUUUUUUGCAUACUUUAGUCAAUUUGGUUAAAGUUCGAUAAUUUCUUCCGGGUUUCAAUAUGUUACAGAGGCUUUUCUUAUGUUGAUAUCACAGUAGUCCUGUUUGGACAGUGUUCUUGAACCAGCCACCCCCGUGGGUGGUGUGCGGUGUAGCUUUGAUACAGGCUGGAUGGGCCAGUCGGCAAUCCCUGGAGAUUGGGUCAGUGUGUAGCUAGUGAUGCAUUUCUAUGUCUAUAGAGAGUAUGGUUGGAUAGCAGUAGUUUAAUAGCAUAUAGCUGUAGAAUUACUUUCAGCUUACUUUACUAUCCUUUGCAUACCUUACUGUAGACUUAGGGCGUGUUUGGUUCGCUUCUUUUUCACCCUAGAAUCGGAAUCGAAAUGAGUGAAUCCGUUUGUAGAUGUUUGGUAUGUGGGAGUCCCAUUCCGAUUCCGAUUCCUGAGUGGAAUGAGAAUCCCCUAAUCACCUCUUUUUCCAAUCCGGUCUAGGAGGCCGGAUUGGAAGUUGAAUCCGGACGGAAUGGAUAUUUAUUCGAAUUAAAUUUAUUUUUUCAACUUUCUUUAAUUAAAAUAUAGUUUAAAUUUAGAAAUUAAUUUUAAAUUUUAAUUUGAAUUUCAAUUAAAAAUUAAAAUUUAAUCAAGUAUUUUGAAUCUAACUUAUAAAUUUGAAUUUAAAUUAAAUUUUAAUUUAUAUAAAGUUUUAUUCAAAUUUUAUUUAAAAUUUAAAUUAAAUUUAUGGAUUCAAUUUAAAAUUUAAAUUAUAAUUUUAAGUUUGAUUUUGAAUAAAUCAAAAUUUAGUUUUAUAUUUUGAAUUAUCCACUCUACUUCAAAGUUUAAUUUUUUUUAAAAAAAUAGAUUUAAAAUUUUGACAUUAUUUCAAAAUUUUGAUAUAAAUUUUUAAUAUUUAAUUUUUAGUUUGAUAUAACCAGAGAAGGAGUACCGGAACUCCUCUGUAUAAACCGAGAACUGAAGCCCUCGGGUUUGAGCUUUGCGAGGUAGAGUACUGGUACUGCAUUGCCCAAGAACCGGUACUGCAUCGCGUGGGUACCGAUACCCUGCGUGUUGUUCGCUUGGCAGAGGUUUGGGUUGUGCUGUGAUGUGACGCCCCGACUUCCCAGGGGGUCACCCAUCCUAGGGCUACUCCCGUCCUAGCACGCUUAACUCUCUUAACCUCUUGGGCCUAGCCACCACCCAAAAUGCUUAAGCCGGGUUAAGAGUUUAGCCCUAUUAUAUCUCAUAUAUAGGACUAUCCAGGGUCUCACAAUCUCCGAUCCGUUAAGUCCUGACGUACUCGUCAGGCUCAGACCCACAAGUACCAGGUACAAAGUGCAAACUUAACUCGCUAGCCCGUCAUCCAGACCCUGGCUCAGCCGAGACUCAUCUCACACUUCCGGACGGGAUAAUUGGAGAUCUGAUACAUCAUCUUAUCUAUAACACCCCAAUCCUCCCCCAAUCAGCAUCGGGUUCGGGUCACGUCAACAGACGCAGAACGGAAAAAGUCUCCCCUGUAGGAUUUUUCUCCAUUUUUCUCUCUAGAUUUCUCUCCCAACUCCUUUUAAUUUGAGGUGUGAUCUCUUCCUUAUCUUCCUCUUCAUGGUAGCAAGCUUGGGGAUCUUGGAGUGUCACGCCCCGUGGCCUAUUUUAAAAGCCUUUUUAAAAUCCAUUACCAUUUUGAAAAUAGAGUUGCGGAAGAUGUGCCCUGUUUUUUCCCUCUUUUUUUUUUCAACUUGGCCCACGUGACGUACAGACCCGCCACAAAUACAAAGUUCAUCUGUCCACUCGUACAGAGUCUCCUUUGUAUUUGCACAACGUACCAACCAUACAACAGGAUCUCAACUACAACCUACAUUUAUCAAUAAACAACCAAUUCAUGAUAUGCAUUUUCAUACAGCUAUCGAUCCUUAGAGAUGAUGCAUGCCUCUAAGCACUCCUUAGGCGCUGGAUGAUGCAAUGCACAGUACAACAAUCAUCCUAUUUAAAAAUGCUCCAUAUCCGGAAGCUUUGAUUUUAAACUCUAAUUCAUUCAUUCAUGAAAACCAUUCAAAAAUCUUUUGAAAGUGUUUCCCACACGGAAACUUAAUUUUGAAAAUCGACUAUCUCGAGGGGUAGAAAACCACGAUUCGAAAAUUCAUAAAUACAAUUCCGAGAACCACAAAGUACACAUACGUCCCAAAACUGAAGAUCCAUAAACCAAAUCCACAAAUCCAUAAACUCCAGUUACAUGCAAUGGAAAACCAAUUCAACCAGCUCACAAAAUUCAAACAUCAAGUAUGAUCGUCUAACUGAACCAUUUAUUAUUAAAACUACUAAGUGCAGAAAUGAAAGUAACCAGGGUGACGGUCGCUAUACCAAACUAGCUAGAUCGUCCUCUCGUCGCACCCAACACCAACUCCGAGCCCGAAUCACCUGGGGAAAUGGGGGGUGAGAAACCGUGUCACGCCCCAGGACCGAUACCAAUUUGGGCCGGCACGAGCACGUUAAACAGACGCCGAACGGACAGUGUUUUCCCUGCCCGCCCAAGGCUCAUCACUUGUACAUUUUCAAGUAGAGAAAAGCACUAGCGAAAACAGACACAAACGGCUUACACGAAGGUAAGCAAUAGCCAUGGGUGAAAGAAAGGAAACUAAACAUCUACACAAGUACUAUGAUUCUCUUUUGAUCACAUACAUUGCAUUCAACUUGUACAUUCAUAGUUCUUUACAUACUUUUCAUCAUUUCUUUUUACAUCACAUUAUGCUCGAGAUAAACAUUACAUUCUUUUUCUUUUACAUCUCAAUUCAUCAAAUACAAAAGAUGAAGUAAGGGAAUACUACUACAAAAUGUAAACCCGACUUGGUAGUCACUGUCUAUGGCGCGAUACCUUUACUGCGGUCGCUCGCCGGCUCGCUCGGUCCCGGCUCUGUGGAAAUAGUGGGGUGAGAACUACAACGAAGUUCCUAGUGGGUUCGGUUCCAAUCUCACCGACUUUCCCACUAGGACUAACUCAGACAUAAUAGAAAGGAUAAGCAAGAUAGUAACCAAACUAUAAUCAUGAUGCUAAUAUGCCUGAACAAUAAAGUAAGGAAUAUGCUCAACAUAAAUCAUGCAAGUAUGCAAGUUCUUUGUUCUUUACUCUUUAUUUCUUAAUCUUUGUGCUUUGUUCUUUAAUCUCACGGCUAACCCGGGGGUUUCACCACAUUAACUUGCCCACAUUAAGUCCAUCAUCGUGGGCCCUCAGCUGCGCCCCGCUAAGACCGUCCUCGGGUUUACUCCAACCUAUGAUGCAAAACUCCGGAGCGCAUCGCCCGAGGGGGAGCGACCGCCCUCGAGCACGGAACUCAUUGCAAGUAUGAUCGAUCCUUAACUCUAAGGAUAUAGUUCAAUCAUUGUCUUUACACUAACUCUAGUGUUCUUUAUAUCACUUUAUUUUGCUAGCUCUAGCAAUCAUUGUUCUUUAACUUUACUCGUUCUUUAUGCCACUUUCAUUUUCUUUACUUAUCUCUACUCAUUUUCAUCGUUCUUUGCGCCACAUUUUUCUUUGAUGCCACACACUAACUCUAGUGUUCUUUAUAUCACUUUAUUUUACUAACUCUAGCAAUCAUUGUUCUUUAACUUUUCUCAUUCUUUAUGCCACUCGAUCUAUAUUUUAUUGUGUCACUUUGUUCUUUCAUCUCGUUGGAGACUCACAUCAUCUCAUGCAUACAUAUAGGGUUGAAUAGGUUCUCAAACAUUUCGAAUAGCACGUGUACUCACAUCAUGCAACACUCACAUAUAUAUCAUCACAUCUACCCUAUAAUGCAUGCAACAAUAUACAUAUAUGCUCAAUUGAAUGACACAUUAGGCAUAGAAGGAAUUCCAACAAGUUUGGAUAGCACCACCAACCUCGUAGGCGUACUAGGAUGCUACAAUGAUUUUCCUGGGAUUUUUAGCCUCUUAGUUUGCUACCUGCGGCAAAAUGAAGCCCUAUUAGGCCAUUUUGCUCAUAUCUUUACAUUGACUUUUCAUAACGUUAAACCGAGCACACCAACGCGUCGGAAAUACCUCCAAUUAGAUUUCUAGAGGGUCAAUUUCACUUUGAAAUCCUCCAUAACAAAAGCCUAAAUUUGGGUGCCCUAGCUCUUAGCAUAUCAAAACCUAGGGUUUGAUCUCUUAGAGAAGCAAAAGUAAGUUUCAAACCAUGUAAAGGUUCCAUUUGAAUCAUCCUUAGCUCAAUCAAAACCCAUUUUAGGGUUUCACCAUGAGAGGGGUUGAAGCUUACCUUCAAGCUUCACCACCGCCACCCAAUCCAUAGUUUUGAUCUCUAAAGAAGCAAAAGAAAAGCUUCAAAUACUCUAAAGGUCCUAUAAAAACCAUUCUUAGGUUAAUUCAAACCCUAGUUUCGGUUCUACAAUGAUUAGGGUUCAAGCUUACCUCUAAGCUUGCUCCUAUGUUGCUCCAAAGAGGAAGAAGUGGAAGUAGCUCUACUCCUUGGCUUCUUCUUCAUAUUCCUUCUCUUUUUUUUCUUCUUCUUUUCAUUCUUUUCCUUCUCUUCUUUCUUUUAUUUCUUCUCUUCUUUGUCUUCUAGAGAGAGAAAGAGAGGUGAGAGUGUGUGUGAGAGGGAGUGAAAUAAGAGAAAUAUCCCAUUUGCCCCUUAACAUAACCCAUAUGAUGCAUAAUUGCAUUUGGGUCCCUCAACUUUGAUCUUAUUAAACUGCUUGAACUGGGCAGUUUUCGUGCUCAGGGACCGGUCUCCCCGACUUGGGACCGGUCCCAGAGAGCUUGCCCCGCGGGCAGCCAGGGCCCCAGCGCAAUGCAACCGAUCUCUCCCAGAGGAACCAGUCUCUCGGGGACCGAUCUCUCCCCGCAGGGACCGGUUCCCGAGAGCUGGUGUUCUGGGACUUAGCUGAUUUUUUAGCUUUCCUCAUUUCUCACACAUUCGGGGACUGGUCUCUCCCACCAGGGACCGGUCCCCGAGAGCACAAAACCUGCAGAAUGCAGAUUUUUGAUUCUUUAGCUCUUGAAAACCUCCCACAAUGCACUUUUGAUCAUUUUAACACCUUCGGACUUUCGAAGCGUACCAUCCUCGCACUUUGGUUAAUUUGACUAAAGUUCGAUAUUUAUGCUCCGAAUUCUCGGUAUAUUGCAUUCUCCACCCCUUAAAAUAAUUUCGUCUGCGAAAUUACACAUACUUAACUCGUCGACUCAAAUAAGUGCGGAUACUCUCUUCGCAUAACCUCCUCAAGCUCCCAAGUGGCUUCUUGCGCAGCAUGGUUGCUCCAUUGGACUUUCACAUAUGGAAUUCUGCGACUCCGCAGCUUUCUUUCUUCUCUUUCGAGGAUGCACACCGGGUACUCCUCAUAAGACAUAUCCUCACGUAACUCCACGGGCUCGUACUCUAAUACAUGUGUUGAGUUUCGAAUAUACUUUCGGAGAUUUGACACAUGAAACACAUUGUGAACUUCCGCGAGUCUCGGUGGUAGUGCGAGCUUGUAUGCAACCGCACCCACGCGCUCCAAUAUCUCAAAUGGUCCGACAUAAUGGGGACUUAGCUUCUCACGGACCCCAAAAUGUUUGACUCCUCGCAUCGGCGAUACUCUAAAAAAUACGCGAUCUCCAGCUGCGAACUCUAAGUCUUUCCUUCGCUUAUCGGCAUAACUCUUUUGUCGAGAUUGCGCCGUCGCUAACUGUUGACGGGCAAGGCAGACUUUCUCCUCCGCCUCCCGCACUACAUCUGGGCCAAAAGCCGCUCUCUCGCCACGUCGCUCCAAUGGAUAGGAGAACGACACUUCCGACUAUAUAGUGCCUCAAAUGGCACCAUCGCUAUACUCUCUUGAUAACUGUUAUUAUAUGCGAACUCCGCCAUCGGUAAGAAAUCAUGCAAUCCUCCCUUGUAAUCUAGUACACACGCUCAAAGCAAGUCCUCGAGGAUCUGUAUUGUCCGCUCUGACUGUCCGUCACUCUGAGGAUGAAACGCUGUGCUAAAGUCGAGCCGUAUGCCUAGCGCGACUUGCAAACUCUUCCAAAAGUGGGAUGUGAAUCUGGGGUCUCGAUUCGAUACAAUUGAUACCGGAACCCCAUGAAGUCUCACAACCUCGUCGAGAUAAACUUGAGCUAACUUGUCUCCCGACCACGUAGUAUGUAUCGGCAAGAAGUGUGCCGACUUUGUCAAUCGAUCCACUAUCACCCAUAUCGCAUCGUGUCCGCCUUGUGAUCGAGGCAAACCGGUAACGAAGUCCAUCACUAUAUCUUUCCAUUUCCAAACGGGUAUUGAUAGACUUCGUAGCUUUUUCGCUGAAAAUUGGCGCUCUGCUUUCACCUGUUGGCAUGUUAGACAUUGUGCCACAAACUCCCCAAUAUCUCUUUUCAUACCCGGCCAUCAAUAAUGCUCUUUCAAGUCCUUGUACAUUUUAGUGCCGCCCGGGUGCAUGCUAUAAGGGGACUGGUGUGCUUCUUGCAUAAUCGCCCUUCGCAACUCAUCAUCUUUAGGCACACACCAUCGAUUUCGAAAUCGAAGUGCGCCAUCGGCUCCAACGCCAAAGUCUUCGGCAUUGCCGCUUUCAACUUCAUCUCAAACCUUUUGGAGAUAAGGGUCCGAAGCUUGAAGCUCUUUAAUCCUCUCAAACAGGGUCGGUUGCACAACUAAUGCGGCUAGUGUAGCCGGCACUCCCGGCGCUACCACUUCCAACCCAAGCCUUUGCAUUUCCUUGUGCAAUAGCGGUUGAGGCGUAAUUGCCAUCGCUAAAUUCUCCGCCGAUUUUCUACUUAAAGUGUCGGCCACGACAUUGGCCUUCCCGGGAUGGUAUAGUAUAGUGACAUCAUAGUCCUUUAGCAACUCUAACCACCGCCGCUGCCGCAUGUUCAGUUCCUUUUGGGUGAACAAGUACUUUAGACAUUUAUGAUCUGUGUAGACUUCACAAUGUUCACCAUACAAGUAAUGCCUCCAAAGCUUUAGCGCGAAAAUCACCGCGGCUAACUCGAGGUCGUGAAUCGGGUAGUUUUUCUCGAAACUCUUCAAUUUGCGCGAUGCAUAAGCAAUGACCCGCCCGUUCUGCAUCAAUACACACCCGAGACCAACAUACGAGGCAUCACUAUACACUACAAAGGUCUCCCCCGGAGUCGGCAAGGCAAGCACCGGGGUCGACGUCAACUUGUUCUUUAACUCUUCGAAGCUCUGAUCGCAAUCGUCGCUCCAAACAUACUUUACUCCUUUAUGCAUGAGGCGCGUUAGUGGAGUGGUUAUUUUGGCGAACCCCUCCACGAACCACCGCUAGUAGCCCGCAAGUCCAAGAAAACUGCGGACCUCCGCUACGUUCGUCGGACGAGGCCAAUCCUUUAUUACCUCUACUUUCUUCGGAUCUACCGAAACUCCGUCGCCCGAUACCACAUGACCCAAGAAUGUUACCUCCUUUAGCCAAAAGUCACACUUCUUUAACUUCGCGUAGAGCUGUAUUUGCAACACAGCUCUCAAAUGCUCUUCGUGCUCCUCUUCACUCUUCGAGUAAACCAACAAGUCGUCUAUAAACACCACGACGCACCGGUCCAACAACGGCUUGAAGACUCGAUUCAUCAAGUCCAUAAAUGCUGCCGGGGUGUUAGAAAGCCCAAACGGCAUUACCUUGAACUCAUAAUGGCCAUACCGCGUACGGUACGCUGUCUUGUGCACAUCCUUCGGCUUAAUCUUUAAUUGAUGAUACCCUGAUUGGAGAUCGAUCUUCGAAUACACCUUUGACCUUUACAAUUGAUCGAAUAAAUCGUCAAUCCUUGGUAAUGGGUGCUUGUUCUUUAUCGUUACUUUGUUCAACUCGCGAUAGUCUACGCAGAGUCGAAGUAUGCCAUCCUUUUUCUUCACAAAUAGCACCGGAGCUCCCACGGUGACACGCUCGGCCUCACGAAGCCUUUAUCGAGCAAGUCUUGUAAUUGGCUUUUCAACUCCUUUAGCUCCACCAGUGCCAUUCUAUACGGAGCCUUCGAAACUGGUUCCGCCCCGGGAAUCAAGUCAAUAACGAACUCGACCUCUCGGUCAGGUGGCAAUCCUAGUAACUCCGCCGGAAAUACAUCCGGGAAUUCGCAUGCUACUCGAAUAUCCCCCAACUCUGGGUACUCCUUCCGAGCAUCUACCAUGGUUGCCAAAUAGGCCUUACACCCUCCUUUGAUCAUUUUCUUCGCCCUUACAGACGAUAUGGUCGCCGCGAAGCGCCUACUUUUGCACGCUUGGUACACCAUCUCUUCUUGAUUAGGCUCACGAAAAGUGAUCACCUUUCUUUCACAAUCUAUAACCGCAUAGUACUUGGAGAGCCAGUUGGUCCCCAAGAUGAUAUCGAAUCCCCACAUCUGAUCUAGCACUAGCAGAUCAAUCGGCAUAAUCCAAUCGCCUAUUUGCACUGGACACGCCAAACACUCAUUAUGGACACUGAACGAAUGUUCCGGGGCGUUCACCCACCAAUAGUCCUCGUUGUAUUCCAUCUUUAUGUCAUGCGUUUGAGCAAAUGAUGCGCUAAUGAAUGAAUGAGAUACGCCUGUAUCAAAUACUGCUAUAGCUCUAGUGCCUUUAAUCACAAUUAUACUUGCCACGACGUCGUCGGGUGCUGCAGGCUGUUGCUCCUCUACCUGAGCGGCGAAAACCGAGCUGCUAGGUGCUCUCAAUCCCUCUGGCUUACGCGGUGAUGAUGCGCGCCCAGCCGACAUUGCUGGUGGCAACCCUGCAAGCUGUCUCGGGGUAGACGGUGACGAUGCUGCCGCCGGUGCAGACGAUGUCCACGUCGGGCACUCCCGGAUAAGAUGUCCCGGUUGACCACACUUGAAACAUUUGCCGUCGCGCUGAGGGCAAGUCGACACUCGGUGCUCUCUGUCGCAAAUAACACAUCGAGGAGGUCUCCAGUUCCUCGACUGCUGUCGGGGAUACCGAGGGGGUUUCUUAGCAUUUGGCCGUCCCCCGGCACCACCCGCCGUCCGCUUUUUGCCUUUGUCCUUACUCUCGGCCAUAGCCUCCCGUUCUUUACGUACAUGGGCGCUACCGUGCUUCGCCCAUAAUGCUCUAUCAAAGACCUCCGCAAAGGUCAUUAGCUUCAGAAUCUGCACCUUCUCGUAAAUUCUCGGCUGGAGUCCUCGUAAGAACCAAUCAGCCCGGUCCCGAUCAUCUCGAACAACAUCAGAAACGCAGUCGAUAAUGUGGGAGAAUUCCUGCUCAUACUCCCCCACCGAUCGAUCACCCUGUCGUAACUUGCGGAACUUCUCUUGCAACCUAUGCUUUACCGUAUCGGGGAAGUAGUUCGCGAAUACCGCUCUCUUGAACUCCUCCCACAGCAUAAGCGGAAGAUCGGUAGGUCGAUCCCGUUUAACUCGCUUCCACCACACCAUCGUCGCCUUCUCAAGACAAUGGGUGGCAAGGUAUACUUUGUCCUUCUUCGAGGUAUUGAGAUCCUCGAAGAGCAUCUCCAUCGAGUCAAUCCAUGACUCCACGACCGCUGGCUCCACCAAACCACCUUCAAAGGUAGGUGGGUCGAACUUCUUGAACUGAAUAAGAGCCGCCAACGUGCGCUCUCGCUCCGCCUCUACCGCCGCACUAUCAGGAUUUGAGGUUCCCGAUCCGGCCGGUAGUACCGUAACUAGGACAACCGCCGCUGCUGCCGCUCCCUCGCCUACGCUCGGCACUACCACAUGGGGCGCGACGUGCUCGACACCCACCUGGGCCGCCGCUUGCUGACGCUCCAAGGCCUCCUGGAGCCACUGAAUCUGCUCCCCUUGACGUUGAACAGACUCUGCCUGUUGCCGCACUACACCGAUAAGCGUGGCCAUCUGCUUCCUAAGCUCUCCGUCGCUACUCGCUCCGAAUCGCUCGGGUGCCGCAUUCGACUCCUCAGGCAUCGACCUUGUCUGCGGUCGACCAUGAGGUGCCAUUGCUUCCUGAAAAGAAGCAAUUCGCAUUAGCUACUUGACCAACAUUACUUGACUAUACCCAAUCCAGCGAAAGCAACAUGCACAUUCAUCCUUGCCUUAAGCGUCAUGUCGUCGGCCGCCCGACACAACACCAGAAGUAGAGGACAAACGAAAAUUAAACUUAGCCUCUAAUCACAUUAGAGCUGUCCCAACUUAACCCAAUCACAAGCUUUCGCUAACUUUGAUUCUACGUCACUCACGUUCCCUAGAUCCUUAAGGUCUUCCAAUCCUAAGGGUCUCUAGGUCCAUUCCUAUUCUUUCACUCUAGGCUCUGAUACCACAAUAUCUGUCAUGCCCCGGGACCGAUAUCAAUUUGGGCCGGCCCGAGCACGUCAAGCAGACGCCGAAUGGACAGAGUUUCCCCUGCCCGCCGAAGGCUCAUCACUUGUACAUUUUCAAGUAGAGAAAGCACUAGCGGAAACAUACACAAACGGCUUACACGAAGGUAAGCAAUAGCCAUGGGUGAAAGAAAGGAAUCUAAACAUCUACACAAGUACUAUGAUUCUCUUUUGAUCACAUACAUUGCAUUUAACUUCUACAUUCAUAGUUCUUUACAUACUUUUCAUCAUUUCUUUUUACAUCACAUUCUCCUCGAGAUAAACAUUAUAUUCUUUUUCUUUUACAUCUCAAUUCAUCAAAUACAAAAGAUGAAAUAAGGGAAUACUUCUACAAAAUGUAAACCCGACUUGGUAGUCACUGUCUAUGGCGCGAUACCUUUACUGCAGUCGCUCGCCGGCUCGCUCGGUCCCGACUCUGUGGAAAUAGUAGGUGAGAACUACAACGAAGUUCCCAGUGGGUUCAGCCCCAAUCUCACCGACUUUCCCACUAGGACUAACUCAGGCAUAAUAGAAAGGAUAAGCAGGAUAGUAACCAAACUAUAAUCAUGAUGCUAAUAUGCCUGAACAAUAAAGCAAGGAAUAUGCUCAACGUAAAUCAUGCAAGUAUGCAAGUUCUUUGUUCUUUACUCUUUAUUCUUUAAUCUUUGUUCUUUGUUCUUUAAUCUCACGGCUAACCCGAGGGUUUCGCCAUAUUAACUUGCCAAUAUUAAGUCCAUCAUCGCGGGCCCUCAACUGCCUCCUGCUAAGACCGUCCUCGGGUUUACUCCAACCCGUGAUGCAAAACUCCGGAGCGCAUCGCCCGAGGGGGAGCGACCGCCCUCGAGCACGGAACUCAUUGUAAGUAUGAUCGAUCCUUAACUCUAAGGAUAUAGUUCAAUCAUUGUCUUUACACUAACUCUAGUAUUCUUUAUAUCACUUUAUUUUGCUAGCUCUAGCAAUCAUUGUUCUUUAACUUUACUCGUUCUUUAUGCCACUUUCAUUUUUUUUACUUGUCUCUACUCAUUCUCAUCGUUCUUUGCGCCACAUUUCUCUUUGAUGCUACACACUAACUCUAGUGUUCUUUAUAUCACUUUAUUUUGCUAACUCUAUCAAUCAUUGUUCUUGAACUUUACUCAUUCUUUAUGCCACUCGAUCUAUGUUUUAUUGUGUCACUUUGUUCUUUCAUCUCAUUGGACGCUCACAUCAUCUCAUGCAUACAUAUAGGGUUGAAUAGGUUCUCAAACAUUUCGAAUAGCACGAGUACUCACAUCAUGCAACACUCACAUUUAUAUCAUCACAUCUACCCUAUAAUGCAUGCAACAAUAUACAUAUAUGCUCAAUUGAAUGAUACAUUAGGCAUAGAAGGAAUUCCAACAAGUUUAGAUAGCACCACCCACCUCGUAGGCGUACUAGGAUGCUACAAUAAUUUUUUUGGAAUUUUUAGCCUCUUAGUUUGCUACCUGCGGCAAAACGGAUCCCUAUUAGGCAAUUUUGCUCAUAUCUUUACAUUGACUUUUCAUAAUGUUAAACCGAGCGCACCAACGCGUCGGAAAUACCCCGAAUUAGGUUUCUAAAGGGUCAAUUUUACUUUGAAAUCCUCCCGAGCAAAAGCCCCAAAUGUGGGUGCCCUAACUCUUAGCAUAUCAAAACCUAGGAUUUGAUCUCUUAGAGAAGCAAAAGUAAGCUUCAAACCAUGUAAAGGUUCCAUUUGAACCAUCCUUAGCUCAAUCAAAACCCAUUUUAGGGUUUCACCAUGAGAGAGGUUGAAGCUUACCUUCAAGCUUCACCACCUCCACCCAAUCCAUGGUUUUGAUCUCUAAAGGAAGCAAAAGAAAGCUUCAAAUACUCUAAAGGUCCUAUAAAAACCAUUCUUAGCUUAAUCCAAACCCUACUUUCGGUUCUACCAUGAUUAGGGUUCAAGCUUACCUCUAAGCUUGCUCCUAUGUUGCUCCAAAGAGGAAGAAGAGGGAAUAGCUCUACUCCUUGGCUUUUUCUUCACCUUCCUUCUCUUUUUCUUCUUCUUUUUUUCCUUCUUUUCCUUCUCUUCUUUCUUUUCUUUCUUCUCUUCUUUGUCUUCUAGAGAGAGAAAGAGAGGAGAGAGUGUCACGCCCCGAGACCGCUACCAAUUUGGUCCGGCCCGGGCGCGUCGAACAGACGCCGAACGGACAGGACCUCCCACGCCGAACGGACAGGACCUCCCCUGUCCGCCCAAGGCAACCAACAGAUCAUGUAUAAGAAUUUACCCAGGAAUUCAAUUCAUAAAUACACGAUCAAGAAGCACCACCAGUGCGACAAACGAGAGCAAGAUACAAGUAUAGAAACAUCUACAAGUACACAAAGAGAGAAGAGCUAUCUAUUACAUUCAUUUGACUUAAUACAUUCAAUUACAUCUUUUACAUUCAUCCAAAAUAUAAAUACAACCACUCGAACCUCACCCUAUACAUCAUCUACUCUCAAAUAUAAAAGGGUGACGGCUAGUGCAAAAAGGAAGGUAGCUAAUGCUACUAAAACGCCGGGCCCUUACCGCGAUCCUCACGCUCACCGGGGACACCCGAACUGGAACCUGUAGUAAAAUGGGGGUGAGAACUAACUUCCUUAGUUCCCAGUGGGUUCGGCCGCCGACUCCGCCGAUCUCCCCACUAGGUCCAAGUCGGGCACAAGUAGAUAAUCGAUAGAUAGAUAGAUAAGGAAAGCGGUAAAUGACAGGAGUAAAGCUACUCUACUAUGCCCAAUCAUAAAUAUAUGAAUGCAUGUACAAUGAAAUAGGUAAGCAACUAACCUGUUAUCAUGUCCAAAGGUGAAGCUAUUCACUCGUUCAUUAACCUCAUUUACUUGUCCAUUAAUCUCAUGGCUUACCCGAAGGCUCGCCUACAGCUCACUAGCCAUCUCGACACGUAGGGAGAAUUAACUCACACUACGGACCCGAGACCGUCUGGCGGGGCCAUAUAGGCAAUCCCUGGCGUGACCAACAUCCGGAGCGCACUACUUGUGUGGGGCUUCCAUCACAAGAUUUAACAGACCGUGAGCAUGAUCCCAUCCUCUAAGCUUGAGGAUACCCUGUCCUCUAGGGUCACAAUCAUCAUAUAGUCCAUAGGUUUCAUAUACACUAUGACUCACAUAUGUGUCAUUUGUUCUUUUGCUUACUAUCAACUAAAUGCCACUCGUCCAUUGUUUACUAUCGACUAGAUGCCACUCGUUCUUUGUUUAGCAUUAGACCAACCAUUGAGCCCAUCACUUUCUCUGCACUAUAGGAUUCACAAGUCUCGACCCAAUCCUUAUCAAUCCACUACGUCAAAUAUCCAAUACAUGCUACGAUAUCAUCAAGGAAGGCAUAAGGAAAGGCAAUGCAUAAUCAUCCUAUAAUGCAAUAAUACAAGAUGCAAGAAUCGACAUGUACUAAGACAUAGAAGGGAGCCCGAUUGCUUCGGGAUGGACACCACCCACCUCUUGGCGAUGCCGCGAUAGUAGAAAGCUCGACGUUGCGGUUCUUGCACGCCGCUUAAACUCCUCGGGGCAAAGCGAGCCCUCGAGUACCCGAUUCGGCGAUAACUCCGCACCCGCUCGUCGGAUCGGCAAACCGUCUUCGCCGACGCGUUCAGAGACCUAGCAAUUAGGUUAGCGACCCAACAAAUUAGAUCAAAACCCUAGAUUUCCCAAAAUCCCAAUCCGUGCCCUAGAAUGGCGACGAGAGGGAAAUCCAUGGUGCGAGCUUCGAUUUUGAGCUCGAACCAUCUAUUCAUUCCCAAUAGGUUCCAUUUGAACCAAUUCUAAACCAUAAAAACCCAAAACCCUAGAAUUUCCAUUAAAGGGUUGGAAGCUUACCUCUAAGCCAAGCUCCAAGCUUGCCCUAGGUUGAAGGAGAGAGAGAAGAAGACCUUCUUCUUCUUCUUCUUGGACUUCUCCUUCUACUUCUUCCUCUUUUCCUUCUUUUCUUUCUUCUCUUUCUUCUUCUUCUUUCCUUUCUUUCCUAGAGAGAGAGAGAAAGAGUGUGAAAGAGAGAGAGAGAGAGCAGCUGAGAGGGAAGGAGAGGGGUCCCCCACCUCUAAUAAGGCCAUUUUGCAGUUAGCCCCCUCAACUUUUCAUUCCUUGAAACAGCCCUCCCUGGGCCAUUUUCGCAGUGAGGGACCGGUCCCAGUUCGGGAAGAACGGUCCCCGAAGGCUGCCCUUUCGAGCAGAGGGGAUUUCACGUUCGGGAACCGGUCCUUACCUGAGAGACCGGUCCCCGGGAGACCGGUCCUCGUCCGAGAGACCGGUUCCCGAGAGCUGCAUUUUCAGGACUUAGCCAAAUUUGGCUAAGUCUCGUCGGGCCAACGUUCGGGAACCUGUCCCUGCCCACCAGGGACCGGUCUCAUCAGAGACCUCCACAACCCAACCUGAUGGGACCGGUCCCUCCCUGCCAGGGACCAGUCCCCGAGAGCAUUUCUGCUCCAGUGCAAGUUUUGCACUGGUGCUCUCGCGGACCUCUUCUUAAUGCACUUUAUGCAUUAUAAACACCUUCGGACUUUCCGAAGCCUACUCACUCGACGAAUAGUCGAUUCUGGUCGAAGUCUAAUCCUCGAGUUUCGAGAAUUCACUUCCUUACAGAGAGUGUGUGUGAGAGGGAGUGAAAUGAGAGAAAUAUCCCAUUUGCCCCUUAACAUAACCCCAUAUGAUGCAUAAUUGCAGUUGGGUCCCUGAACUUUGAUCUUAUUAAACUGCUUGAACUGGGCAGUUUUCGUGCUCGGGGACCGGUCUCCCCGACUUGGGACCAGUCCCAGAGAGCUUGCCCCGCGGGCAGCCAGACCCCCCGCGCAAUGCAACCGGUCUAUCCCAGAGGGACCAGUCUCUCGGGGACCGGUCUCUCCCUGCAGGGACCGGUUCCUGAGAGCUGGUGUUCUGGGACUUAGCCGAUUUUUCAGCUUUUCUAAUUUCUCACGCGUUCGGGGACCGGUCUCUCCCACCAGGGACCGGUCCCCGAGAGCACAAAACCUGCAGAAUGCAGAUUUUUGAUCAUUUUAACACCUUCGGACUUUCCGAAGCGUACCAUCCUCGCACUUUGGUCAAUUUGACUAAAGUUCGAUAUUUAUUUUUCGAAUUCUUGGUAUAUUACAAACCGCAACCAUGGUUUUUUAGUGGGUGCGACAGAGCCACGAAGGCAAGUCGUAAUCACCGGAAACCAAAGGAGAUAGAUAAACAAGAUAUAUAUAUGCUGUGAUGCGAAAAGGAAACUACAGUAGCUGUAACAGGUAUAUAAGAAGCAAGAACUAGAACUGCUACUGUAUAGAAACAAUGCAAGUAUGCCUUAAUGUAAUAAGCUAGAAACUGUACCCAAUCUGUGCCUACUAUAUUGGUCCGCAGACCUCAAGCGCUGCCUGUCACUAACUGCACUGACUUGAUCCAUCCGCCCAAUAGGACGACCCAUCCGGAUAAGUACACCUUCGAUCGGUGGCCAAACCGAUCUGGUGUCAUGAAUACCCCCAAGUGCUAUGACUAAGUCAUGCUGGUAUGCUCAAACGAAAACCGGUUGAAGUCGGUGACUAGGCCGAAGAUAGCAACAAGGGUGUACAACGCCGAACCAUAAUAGAUAUUAGGGUGUACAACAUCGAACCACGAUCAACCAGAUCAAAACACAUGACAAAAGAGUCGAUAUGUUGCCUGGAACCAAGGUCCACUGAGAUGAAAGUACAAAUGCAACCUGCUCUACUUGUCUAUCAACCACUAACUGAUGCAGCCAAGAAAGUAAGAUAUACCAAUGAUAACAAGCAAGGACAUGUAGACUCUACUAAACUGGAAUAGAAACAACAGGAAAAGGUGAAACGAUCUCACUGACUACCAGCUCGAAGCACCCAUUUGUCACAAUCGCGUCGGAAAUCUGGAUGUACACAAGUCGACCGGACCUACAAAGGUUCACCGGGUCAGUAUCCAACCCACUAACCCAAAGCACGAGACUCACAAACCCCCACACAAGUCCCCAAAUCGGUUUCCUAAAAUCAAUCACCAUAACUCACCGGAAGUCCCGAAAACCACAUCGGGACGCCGUCGGGACCCACUAAGUGUCCCGAAACUCACUGACUCGUGUCACGAGUCACCCGCUGCCACAAAGCACUCCUGUUUGGAUGUCUUGGCAGCAAACACAAGAUAACACCACUACAAAAUUAUCGCCGGAUAAUUGUACGAAUACGGGUUCCCGAAAGUGUCAAUUUCAGCACCGGAACCCAUCGUCGCUCACCCAUCAUCACCGAACCCAUAAAAUGAUGAUGGUGAUCAGCCAACAAGGCUCAGCGACAAAUCACAGGAUAAACAAACCACCGGAAGAAAUCCGAACUAAAACCACAUUCUUUCGGCGAAUUUCGCCGAAAAACGCACCGAAAUCGACUCCUCGAUUUUCGCGAAGGCUAUCGGAUCAUGGACAAUCAGUCUAGAGGUCACCACACAUGCAUACACAUUGCCCAUAGUAGCCUCAAGGUGCACGUAAACCAAGGACUCGUUCACGCAAAAGUCCCUCAAUUUACAUAAAAUCCUAUUAUUUUAUGUAAAUUGGGCGAUCAAGUGGCUCGUUCACGUAAACCAAGGACUUUCGAGGUCCGCCAAGACACGUACUGGUAGGUCUCGACGUGCCGGAGGCCGUGCUCAUGAUCCGGAGCUCAACGGCUCACUGUGGGAGGCGCGACUGCAACCCGAAGUUCUACGAACAACGCACAGUCAGGGAAGAUCACGCCGAAUAGAGCUAACCGGAAUCCGUUGAUCCAAAGUGAGGUGAGCACUGUGAUCAGCACUGACUAACGAUCACCAUGCUCACCUCUGGAGGCAUCGGAACAACCUUGGAUCGCCGAAAAAAUGCGCGUAAAUACGGAACAGCAGCCGAAAAGGCUCAACAGGGUCGACACCGCCGAAACAGCGGAACGGAGUCUCCCCGAUAGAAUCUAAGGUGAGCACAAUGAUCAGCAAUUUGCCACGAUCAUUGUGCUCCCUUCCAUAGAGAUCGGGGAGGCUCGGGAAGCUCGGAACAGCAAACAACCCAAGUAAAGCCCUAUAUCGGGCUUGGCCGGAGCAAGCUCGCUCCGGCCGGCUUCCGGCGGCAUGGCGAGGUGCGCGCAGGCCAGAGAUGGGUGCGGGGGAGGUGAGGAACAUGAUGCUCACCUCGGGUGGCAGCUGGGAGUGGCGGCGGCGUCGGCGGAGAGAGCCACACCAGCAUAAGCUAGGGCACGGGUCUAGCGGCUCCUCCCAGCGAUGGUGAUGGCCGGGACCGGUCGGGGAUGACGGCGGUGGGUCCCCAGAUGCCGGAGGAGGUGGGAGGCGGCGGGCGACGGCGGCGGCGGCCCGCGGCUGGGGCAUGGCCCCUCGAGCUUGGCUCGGCUAGGAGGGCCACAAGCGGUAGGAGUGGCGGCGGCGGCGCUCAAGGCAGCUCGGGGCGGCGGUGCCGACAGCCAGAGGUCGGGGAGGUGCCACGGGAGUGGCCUAGGGCGGCGGCCGCGUGGAGGGGUGGUCGCGAGCUCGCCUCAGCCCUAGCAAGCCUGGGGCAGCGCCGGCGGCGGUCGGGGGUGUGCGGCUAGGGCAGGGGAGCAGGGUAAAGGUGGCUGGGGGCAACUAGGGUUAGCUAGGGAUGAUCUAUGGUUCAGUUCCAAGGUGAAACCCUAGAAAACUUAAAUACAUAUAGCUCCAAAUUGCGGAAAAGCCCAUCUAAACUUAAUAUUUUAUAUUGAGUCCUCCACUGCGCUAGUAAAACGCGCAAAUGCCCCUCCACAUCCGUUUUCACGCGAAACGGUACAUAAAAUGUUGCGACUUUUGCGAAAUUACCGUUUUGCCAACACCGACCUCUCCUCGAUCAACAAGCGAUCUCUACAGAUCCGUCUGUCAGAUUUGCGAACGGAUCACACCAGUGCGAUCAGCACUUCGGAGACAACAAACCUACAAUUCUGGUUCGCCUCAAUCGGUCACGGAUUCGCGACGAAAUCCGUUCUCUCUCCAAAGGCCAAAAUGACGCACAAAUACAUAUAGAACAUGUAUUUUCAGAUUUUCUCGAAAUUCGUUCAUCAAACUCAAAAUCCGUCAGCGCCAUUAGUUCCAAAAUAGCUGAACCGGUCGAAACGAGCUAUUGGAUUGCUAUGAACGGAGUACGAUACGAGUCAGAAGCCAACUUCACACCGUGGCUUCUCCGGAAAACCGAGUUACUAUUCACUUUAAGUGAAACUUAGAAAUCGCGUAGAAUCUUCGUUUUAACUCAUUUUCGCCCGAAAUUUGACGAGUGCUUUUGUAAUUAAAUUUACACAUUAAAACAUCGUCCAUUGAAAGUUUAGCUACACUGCAAAAAUCUCAUGUCCUUACAUGGAGGGAGUUUGGUUGAAAGGAGAGGAGUUUCUUGGUGGUUUAUUUUCAACCCUAGCUCAAGAUAGCUUGAUUUGGAGCUUUCUUGAGGGUUAGUACUCUUCUUGAAACUUCUAUUUGUGAUUUUUGCAAGAUUUGGAGAUGAAAACCUAGUUUUGUAGAAACUAGGGUUUUGUUUGGGGCUUUUCAUUUGGAAGCUUUUGUGUUGGGAUUGAUGAGUGUAGAACACUCUUGUAAGUUGGAUUUGAAGCUUGGAAGCUUCAAUUUAUGCUUUGGUCAAGUUCGUCUUGACCUAAGGUAUUUUUCACUUUUGCAUGUGUAAUUUUCGAAGAUUUUUGAAGUAACUUUUUGAAAGCUUUUAACCCUUUAAAAUUUCUUUUAGGGUGCUAGGAGUUUGGCCGACAACUUCGUUCGAAGGAACGAAAGGGUUCGAAGUGCUUCCGGUGGAUUUGACCUCACCGAAAUGGGUUAACUCCCCCUAUGUCUUUCUUAUGGUUUUAAGACAUAAUUAGAUGUUUUUUCAUGCUCAGUAUGACAUGCUAGAAUUUAUGAAAGCCUAAUACAUACAUAGUAAAAUUAAUGCUCUACGUAGUAGAGGCAUACAUGUGGACAUGUACAUGAACUAGCACUACUUGAUGAUUUCUCUCUUAUGCAACUAUAGAAAGCAUGUUAGAGUAUGAAUGAUAGUAUAACUCUUUGGGGGUACCUAGUGAAUGGGUUAGAUAAGUAGUUAUCUUACAUGAUGACAAUAUUACACUUGUUAUAGACAAGGUGAUUGGAACUUAGCAUUACUUGCUUGAAAACAUUAUACUUGUUGUAGGCAAGGUAAAUGUGACAUUGGGACAUAGUGCAUGAUAAGGUCAUCAUGAAGCUAAGCUUGGUGCAUUUAACCUAGUUGAACAACUAGAACUUGACAUGUGACUUUGUGACUUAGUGCAUUUAAGUUAGUAGAACAACUAGUAUUUGCCAUUGUGAUAUUACAUUCGACUUAGGGUUUGAUAGUUAUAUUCCAUGUUUUAGACAUGAGGAAAAGAGAGUAUAAGCCUUUGGGGCGAACCCUAGUAGAGAUGAUUGCAUGUAAUACUAGUGGAAUUAAUUAUUCGCAUCAUAAUACUUCUACUCUAUGUAAUGGUGAUGUUAGUGGAAAGACUUGGGCAUAACAUGCAUGGUGGUACUUGUGGACAUUUCAUAAUUCUCUUGCAUAUGGCAUUAGUAAAUGUUUCUCUUGACAAUUAUUAAAAUUGCAUGUCAUGAACCUCUUUGGAGUCUUGUAUAAAAUGGUGAACUAUCCUAGGUAGGAUAAUGAUAUAUGAACUAUGCAUGCUUUAGGCAUUAUGUGUUGGUAGAGACAUACCACCCAAGUAGUUGUAAACAAGACAUGACAUGAAUGAUCUAGAACCCGACCGUCGAGUCGAUGAGUGACAAUUUCAUGUUUUAGACAUGAUGAUUGAGUAUCCCAAAUUGUGGACCCUAUGUUAUGAUCACGCUUGCUUGCCCUAAUGCUCAUUCGCACAUGCUUCUGAGGGUCGCUUCCUACAAGCCGGCACUAUGGAAUUUAGCCUUGCGACGAUAGAUCGCCCGUGCUCGAUUGGGCGUCGAAGUGGGAUGCCAUGGGCAGAGUCUCUUUUUUUGCAGGGAAAAUGAUGAACCCCACGGGACCACUAAGGCACGGCACGAGUCGGGACGUUACCACAUGUACGUUCCUUGUAAAUUGGGUAUCGAGACUUAACUUGACAUUGUACAUCACCGUAGUGGAUGCAUACAUGGUAGAUGUUCAUACUUGUGGUUUCCUACCUUAUAUUACUACUUGAUUCACUCAUAGUAGUUGGACAUUUGUGGGACAUGAUGACGUUGACAGCUUUAGUGGUAGUAAACCUAUACUUAUGUAGAUUAGUAUGUAUGCAUGGCUAGAAUAACAAUAAAAAGCACAAAUUAUUCUAUGUAGCAUCAAGGACAUUAUGAAUAUGCACGUAAUUUGACAUUGGCAUACAAUUGAAUAUGCAUGUAAACUGACAUUGGCAUAUAGUUGAAUAAAUGAAAUUUGAACAUCAUAUACUUGAUAGUUAAUCUUUUAGUAGUAGCAUGACUAUGGAAUGAACAUGUUUAAUUUAUUUGCUUUUCAUAUAUUGCUUAAUUAUUACCUUAUAGCAUGCCUCAGUUGAUCUAGUAGUGUAUUUCGCUACUGUAAGGAAGUGAAUUCUCCAAAUCCGAGAGUUGUACUUCGUCUAGGAUUGACUGGUUGUCGAGUGAAUAUCCUUCGGAAAAGCUAAAGAUGUCCAAACACAAAAAGUGCAUUGGAAACGUGUUCGCGAGAGCAUAUAGUGCAAAACCUGCACUGGGCUGAAGUUGCUCUCGGGGACCGGUCCCUGGCAGGGAGAGAUCGGUCCUCGAGGCUGGUGGUUGCUGGGGAUCUUUGAUGCAACCGGUCCCAGGCUGAGGGGACCAGUCCCCGUGUGCGACGCCAGCGAGAAAAGCCAAAAUUUGGCUAAGUCCCGAAAAUCCAGCUCUCGGGAACCGGUCUCUCAGACAGGAACCGGUCUCCCGAGGACCGGUCUCUCAGCGAGAGACCGGUUCCCGAACGCGUGAUGUCUGGGGAGGCUCUCGGGGACCGGUCCCAGGUCGGGGAGACCGGUCCCUCUGGGCGAAAAAUGCCCAGUGAGGGCAGUGCAAUGGAUGGAAAGUUGAGGAGCUAAAAUGGAUUUUGUUACAAUAGAGAGGUAUGUAGGCCCUCUCUCUCCCUUAGCUCCCUCAUCUCUUUCCCUCUCUCACACUCUCUUGCUCUCUCUUUCUCUCUCUAGAAAGAAAAGAAAGAAGAGAAGGAGGAGAAGAAGAAAAGGGAAAGAAGAAGGAUAAGAAGGUGGAGAAGAAGAAGGAGAUCAAGAAGAAGGCUUUGAACAUCUCCCUCUCCCUCUCCUCUUCUCUUGGGAGCUAGCACAAGAGGUAAGCCCUAACCCUAGCUUGUAGAACUGAGGGUUUUUGGGUUUUGAGCUUUGAGUUGAGGUCAAAUGGACUUCUAGCACCAUUGUUGGUGGAUUAGAGAUAGGAGCUAGGGUUUCAUGGUGCAAAUGGCAUGAUGCUAACCCUAGGGCACCCAAAUAGGAUUUUUGGUAAAGUAUGAGAUUGAUCUCAUUUGAUGCCUUGUUAACCUAAUUGCUAGGUGUCUAAAUGCGGGGGCGAAGUCGGAAUUACGAUUCGUCGUGUGGAUUUAAAGCUAUCGGCAAGAUAAGGCCGAUUGAGCAUUGUUUUGGACCGAGAAGGCCAAGACUUCGUCGUAACAUUCGCCGAAGAGCGUUUCUAGAACCUCUACAGCGAGAGAAGGUGGGGGGUGUCAUCCCGAAGCAACUGAACUCCUUUCUAUGUCUUAGAAUAACGCAUAAUUUUCAUCUCUUGCAUGUUGCAUUGUAGGAUUGCAUUGUAGUACCUUUCCUUACGCUUUCUGAAUGAAAACCUAGUGUACAUGGAAUGCUUGGUGAAUUGGACUCACGAACGCUCCAGUGGCAUUUAUGGACUUAAUGAACCGUGUCUUCAGAAAGUUUUUGGAUCGAUUUGUCGUGGUCUUCAUAGACGACAUAUUGGUCUAUUCUCGUAGUAACGAGGAACAUGCCGAGCAUUUGAGGAUUGUGCUUCAAACCCUUCGGGAGGAGAAGCUGUAUGCUAAGUUGAAGAAGUGUGACUUCUGGCUCCGAGAAGUCACAUUUCUAGGGCAUGUGAUUUCCGCGGGUGGAGUUUCUGUAGACCCGAGGAAGGUUGAGGCAAUCAAGGAUUGGCUGCGCCCGACUAAUGUCACGGAGGUCCGAAGCUUCCUCGGCUUGGCGGGCUAUUAUAGGCGGUUUGUGGAAGGCCUUUCGAAGAUAGUGAUUCCACUUACCCGCCUGACUCAGAAGGGCACCACGUAUGUUUGGAGCGAGGAGUGCGACCGGAGCUUUAAAGAGUUGAAGAAAAAAUUAACUUCUACUCCGGUGCUCGCUCUACCGGUGCAAGGCGAAGACUUCGUAGUCUACAGCGAUGUUUUCUAUCUAGGAUUGGGUGUGUCCUGAUGCAGGGCGGGAAGGUAAUCGCCUAUGCGCCCCAUCAGCUAAAGAGCUAUGAGAAGAACUACCCCAUUCAUGAUUUGGAGCUAGCGGCAGUAAUUUUCGCCUUGAAGCUGUGGCGGCACUACUUGUACGGUGCCCAUUGUGAGAUCUAUACCGACCACAAGAGUUUGAAAUAUCUGUUCACACAGAAAGAGCUUAACAUGAGACAGCGGCGGUGGUUAGAAUUGUUAAAGAACUAUGAUGUUGAUAUCCUUUACCACUCCGGGAAAGCUAAUGUGGUCGCUGAUGCAUUGAGCAGAAAAUCGGCGGAGAACCUCUCGAUGUGGGUUACAAAUCAAUCACCCUUGUGGUUAGACAUGGAGCGGAUAAACCUUGAGGUGGUUGCUCCCGAGAUUCCGGCUCAGUUGAUGGCACUCGUCGUCCAACCGACCUUGGUGGAGAGGAUUAAAGAUCUGCAACCUGCGGACCCAGAACUCCAAAAGGUGUGGCGAAACAUCGAGGAAGGUCGAAGUGGUGAUUUCAUUAUAGACGCCGAUGGUGCACUUCGGUUCCGAAACCGAUGGUGUGUGCCGAAGAAUGGAGAGCUUUGCGAGCUAAUUUUACAAGAAGCACAUCGAUCUCCAUAUGCUGAUCACCCAGGCAGCACCAAGAUGUACCAAGGACUAAAAAUGUAAUAUACCGAAAAUUCGGAAAAUAAAUAUCGAACUUUAGUCAAAUUGACCAAAGUGCGAGGACGGUACACUUCGGAAAGUCCGAAGGUGUUAAAAUGAUUAAAAGUGAAUUACGGGAGGUUUUCGAGAGCUAAAGGAUCAAAAAUCUGCAUUCUGCAGUUUUGAGCUCUCGGGGACCGGUCCCUAGUGGGAGAGACCGGUCCCCGAACGUGUGUGAAUUGAGACAGCCGAAAAAUCGGCUAAGUCCUGAGAAACUAGCUCUCGGGAACCGGUCCCUACCCGAGAGACCGGUCCCCGAGAGACUGGUCCCCCAAGGAGAGACCGGUUGCCCUGCGUGCAGCAGCUCUGGCUGCGCGGGGAAAGCCUUCGGGAACCGGUCCCUGAAGGAGAGACGGGUCCCCGCCUGCGCGAACAGCCCAGUCCAGGCUGUGUGAAAGAGUGAAAGUUGAGGGGUUUAAAUGCAUUUUGGCAACCCAUUGAGUAUAGUUAGAGGGUAAAUGAGAUAUUUCUCUCAUUUCACUUCCUCUCCCACUCUCAUCUCUCUUUCUCUCUCUAGAAGACAAAGAAGGAGAAGAAGAAGAGAAGGAAAAGAAGGAAAGGAAGAAGAAGAAAGUGGAGAAGAAGAAGAAGAAGUGAAGAAACUCCCUCUCCUUCAUCUCUAGCUUGAAGAAAGGGAAAGCUUUGAGGUAAGCUUCAACCCUAACCAUGCUAAAACCCUAAAAUGGGAAAUAUGUGACCUAGAGAUGGUUUUUGUAGAAUGUUUAGAGUCUUUGAAGCUUUUCUUUUGCUUCUUUUGAGAUCAAGACUGUUACGCCCCGGGACCGAUACCAAUUUGGCCCGACCCGAGCACGUCAAACAGACGCCGAACGGACAGAGUUUCCCCUAUCCGCCCAAGGCUCAUCACAUGUACAAAUUCAAACAAGAAAUGCACCAGCGAAAACAUGCACAAACGGCUUACACGAGGGUAAGCAAUAGCCAUUAGUGAAAGAAAGGAAAACUAAACAUACAUUUGUACUAUGAUUCGUUUUUGAUCAUAUUCAUUGCAUCCAUUUACAUUCAUGAUUCUUUGUACUUCAUUACACAUUGCAUCAUUUCUUUCUUACAUCACAUUUACUUCAAAAUAAGCUUUACAUUUUUUUUUACCUUUCAUCACUAGUCAUCAAAUACAAAGAUGAACAUAGGGUACUCUACUAACAAAAUGUAAACCCAACUCAACUCUGGUGGCCUUUGUCUAAGGCGCGAUACCUUUACCUCGGUCGCUCGCUGGCUCGCUCGGUCCCGGCUCUGUGAAAAUAGUGGGGUGAGAACUACAACAAAGUUUCCAGUGGGUUUGGCUCAAUCAAGACUUUCCACUAGUAUUUCCCAGGCAUAAUAGAAGAAUAAGCGUGCAUAUAGUACCAAUUCUAUACAUUGAUUGCUAAUAUGCCUGAACAUAAAGCAAGGAGUAUGCUCAAAUUACCAUAUGCCAGAUUAUCAAGUGUCUUUCGUUCUUUAUCACUUUACACUUUACACUUUGUUCUGUGCUUUGUUACUUACUCUUUAAUCUCGAAGGCUAAACCGGGAGGUUUCCGCCAGGGGUGUAACGUUGUUCACGAUUAAGUCGGCAUCAUCGGCAGGAACUUAGGGUCAUAUAGGACGUCCUUCGGGUUUCUCCAACCGUGUAUGAUAACUCGCGAGCGCAUCGCCCGAGGGAGAGCGACUGCCUCGUAUAUGGCACGGUAUAUCAUAUGUAGGAUGAUCAAAUCCUUAACUCAAAAGUGAUUAUAAGUUCAACUUGAUUUACACUAUGUCAUAGUGUUCUUUAAUCACUUUAUGUUGCAAAUCUAUUGCAAGUCACAUUCUUUUACAUUUCUUACUUUGCUAAACUCUAGCAGUUCUUAUCUUAUUGCCCCACUUUACUUUAAUCUUACACUAUUGUAUUUACAUCAACUCAUUAUACGUUGUUUUAUGCAUCAACUAAACUCUAGUGUCUCUUCUUUACUUUCAUAUUUUAAAUGGACUCGAUCUAUGUCUUAGUGUAUCACUCUGUUUGUUUUGCUCAUUUGGGUGUGUUGCUCACUUCUUCUCGUCAGUACACAUAGCGGUUUUUGACGUUUACAUAGUUCUCAUUCAUCGAUUAUGCAAGUUUGUACUCACAAUCAUGCAAUAUUACAUUUUCAGUCAUUACUUUCACCCGUAAUGCAUGCAACAACAUAGUAUUACAUGCUCAAAUGAGUGACAUAUUAGGCAUAGAGAGAAAGUUCAUAUGAGUUUGAGAGAGCAACCCCACUCGUAGCUUCCAGAGGAUGUCUCGAUGAUUUUCUUUGAGAUUUUUAGACUAUUGUUCUUUACUGCCGGGGCCAUAACGAAGGGCCAAAUUAGGUUAUUUCGCCAUAACUUUAAUUGGCUUAUCGUAACAUUAUCCGAGCGCGACCAAACGCGUCGGAAAAUACCCCAAUUAGGUUUUAGAGGUGUUACUUGCACCUUAGAAUCCCUAUGAGCCACAAAAGCCCAAUUUGGUUGCCCUAGCUCCAAAUACAUUACAUCAAACCUGGUUUAUCUCAAAGGAGAAGAAGAGUAGUUCUUAUACUCUAAAAGUCCAUUUAGAACGCAUUCUAAUACUUCCAACCCUAGUUUGAUUUUCACCAAUAGAGGUGUGAGCUCUCUUCAAGCCUUUACACACAACACCAAGCACUGUCUUGAUCUCAAAAGAAGCAAAAAGAAAAGCUUUAAAGCUCUAAACUUCUACAAAAACUAUCUUCUAGGUCAAUAUGUUCCAAUUAUUAGGGUUUUAGCAUGGUUAGGGUGAAGCGUUACUCAAAGCUUUCCCUGUCUUCAGCUAGAGGAUAAGGAGAGGGAGUUCUCACUUCUUCUUCUUUUCUCCACUUCUUCUUCUUUUUCCUUCUUUUCCUUCUCUUUUUCUUUUCUUUCUUUCUUCUUUUCUCUUUGCCUAUUAUAGAGAGAGACGGGAGGAGAAAGAGGAGUGUUAGAGGGUGAGAAUGAAGAGGAUGGGUGGUUUGCUCAUGUCCCUUACUAUACUCUAUGGGUUGCCAAAAUGCCAGCUAACCUGUCAACUUCACUUUAAUACAUGACACCGAACUUGCUGUUCGGCUUGCGGGGACCGGUUCUUCCUUCAGGGAUGUUCCCGAAAGCUCUCCCGCGCGAUGCCAGCAGCUGCUGCGCGCAGUGCAACGGUCUUCUUUGGCGGGACGGUCUCUGCUGUCGGAACCAGUUUUAGCAUGACCUGCCUGAGUUCUUGUAGACUUAGCGAUUUUCGGCUGUUUCAUUCAUACGCGUGGGGGUGUGGUACUGUCCCAGGGGUGGUUCGCUCCACUUGGGCGAGUGAGUUCGUGGGAACGUCUCUCCCACUAAGGGACGCGUCCGAGAGCUUGCAAAAUCUGCCGUUUUGCCAGAAUUUUGACUCUUAGCUCUCGAAAACCAUUCCACAAACCAACUUUUGAUCGUUUUACCUUCGGACAUUCCGAAAGUGUACUAUCUGCAUUGUUAGGUCAAUUUGAUAAAGUUCGAUAUUUAUUUUUUCAAAUUUUCGGUAUAUUACAUUCUCCACCCCUUAAAAUAAUUUCGUACGCGAAAUUACGCAUACCUUAACUCGUUGACUCGAAUAGAUGCGGAUACUCUCGCCGCAUGGCUUAUUCGAGCUCCCAAGUGGCUUCUCGCACUGCAUGGUUGCUCUAUUGGACCUUUACAUAUGGAAUCUUGCGACUUCGCAACUUCUUCACUUCUCUAUCGAGGAUGCACACCGGGUACUCCUCGUAGGACAUAUCCUCACGUAGCUCCACGGGCUCGUACUCCAAUACAUGUGUCGCAUUGCGAAUAUACUUUCGGAGGUUGGACACAUGAAACACGUUGUGAACUCCCGCGAGUCUCGGUGGCAGUGCGAGCUUAUACGCCACCGCACCCACACGCUCUAAUAUCUCAAACGGUCUGACAUAACGGGGACUUAGCUUCCCACGGACCCCGAAUCGUUUUACUCCUUGCAUCGGCGAUACUCUCAAGAAUACACGGUCUCCAACCGCGAACUCUAAAUCCUUUCUUCUCUUGUCGGCAUAACUCUUUUGCCGAGAUUGCGCUGCCGCUAAUCGCUGACGAGCAAGGCGAACUUUCUCUUCCGCCUCCCGCACUACAUCCGGGCCAAGAGCCGCUCUCUCGCCCACGUCGCUCCAAUGGAUAGGAGAACGACACUUGCGUCCAUAUAGUGCCUCAAACGGCGCCAUCGCUAUACUUUCUUGAUAACUGUUAUUAUAGGCGAACUCCGCCAUCGGCAAGAAAUCAUGCCAUCCUCCUUUGUAAUCUAGCACACACGCUCGAAGCAAGUCCUCGAGGAUUUGUAUCGUUCGCUCUGACUGUCCAUCACUCUGAGGAUGGAACGCCGUGCUAAAAUCGAGCCGCGUGCCUAGCGCGUCUUGCAAACUCUUCCAAAAAUGGGAUGUGAACCUGGGGUCUCGAUCCGAUACGAUUGAUACCGGAACCCCAUGAAGUCUCACAACCUCGUCGAGAUAAACUUGAACUAACUUGUCUCCCGACCACGUAGUAUGUAUCGGCAAGAAGUGUGCCGACUUUGUUAAUCGAUCCACUAUCACCCAUAUUGCAUCAUGCCCGCCUUGUGAUCGAGGCAAACCGGUAACAAAGUCCAUUGCUAUGUCUUCCCAUUUCCAAACGGUUAUUGGUAGACUUUGUAGCUUUCCCGCCGGAAAUCGGCACUCUGCUUUUACCUGUUGGCACGUUAGACAUUGCGCCACAAACUCCCCAAUAUCUCUUUUCAUACCCGGCCACCAAUAAUGGUCUUUCCCAUCCUUGUACAUUUUAGUGCCGCCGGGGUGUAUACUAUAGGGAGAUUGAUGCGCCUCUUGCAUGAUUGCCCUUCGCAACUCAUCAUUUUUAGGCACACACCAUCGAUUUCGAAAUCGAAGUGCGCCAUCAGCUCCAAUGCCAAAGUCUUCGGCAUUGCCAUUCUCAACUUCACUCCACACCUUCUAGAGAUAAGGAUCUGAAGCUUGGAGAUCCUUGAUUCUUUCCAAUAGGGUCGGUUGCACAAUCAAUGUGGCAAGUGUAGCCAGCACUCCCGGCGCUACCACUUCCAACCCGAAUCGUUGCAUUUCCUUUUGCAAUAGCGGUUGAGGCGUAAUUGCCGUCACUAAGUUCUCCGCCGAUUUUCUACUUAGAGCAUCGGCCACGACAUUAGCUUUGCCGGGGUGGUAUAGUAUAGUGACAUCAUAGUCCUUCAACAAUUCCAACCACCGCCGCUGUCGCAUAUUCAACUCCUUCUGGGUGAACAGGUACUUUAAACUCUUAUGAUCGGUAUAUACCUCACAAUGUUCACCAUACAAGUAAUGCCUCCAAAGCUUUAGCGCGAAGAUCACCGCGGCUAACUCGAGGUCGUGAAUCGGGUAGUUCUUCUCAUAACUCUUUAAUUGGCGCGAUGCAUAAGCAAUGACCCGCCCAUUCUGCAUUAAUACACACCCGAGACCAACAUACGAGGCAUCACUGUACACUACAAAAGUCUCUCCCGGAGUCGGCAAAGCAAGAACCGGGGUCGACGUCAACCUACUCUUUAACUCCUCGAAGCUUCGAUCGCAAUCNNNNNNNNNNNNNNNNNNNNNNNNNNNNNNNNNNNNNNNNNNNNNNNNNNNNNNNNNNNNNNNNNNNNNNNNNNNNNNNNNNNNNNNNNNNNNNNNNNNNUACAAUGUUGAUGGUUGUACCGGUACAGCCAUCGGGCCUGUACCGGUACAGUGCCGCAGAACCGUGCACCCGAGCCUCGGUUUUGGAUUUUCGUAGCUCUUGUACCGGUACAAGAUCCCGUGUACCGGUACAAGGAGGCAGAUUCUGCACAGUUUGUUCUGCAGGGGCUUAUUUGCGAUUGUGGGCUUCUUAUAUCAGCACCCACGCCCCUAGGGCUCUCCCCUGAGCUGGGAAGAGCAAGGAACCAGGUAAGGAAGCUUCCCACACUUUUCCACUUGGUUUUGAUCUCAUUCUAGCUUGGAUUUUGAUGGUUUUUCCCUCUCUUUUGCCUAUUGGAGCUAUUUCCACCAUUCUUGAAGCUUGGAACUUGGGUUUGGAGUUUGAUUGAGGGAAGAUACUUGAAGUUUGAGGACUUUGAGCUGGUUUUGAGGCUUCUAAGAGGUAAGUGGCAAGAUCCGUUCCUCUAGUUUUGGAUUUUAGAGCUUUCUUUGAGAUGAAACCCUAGUUUUGGGCCUUAGGGUUUAUUUUGGGCUUUUUGAAUCUAGGACUUUUAAAGCUAGAUUGGGUGGAUUAGAGGCUUCCAUUGGGUUAGAUUGGAUGAACUUUAGCUCUCUUUUGGAGCAUUGGAGAGGGUUUUUGCACUAGAGGUGAGUUCUCUCCACCUAUGCUUGAAUAGCUUAAUGUUUGGGUAAUUGGUUGUUCGUAUGGUUCGUGUGACGCAUGUUCUUGUACCUCUAGGACACUAGGAGGCUAUUGGACAUCUUCGUUGGAGCAAACGAAAGGUUUCGUUUACCAUCGGUGGGUUUGGCUUCAUGAAAACGGGGCGAAACGGCCCCUAAGCUUUCUAAACUCUUGCAUACUAUUUUUGAAUGCAUAUCUAUGCUAAGUAGUAUUUAUGUGAAUUUUGGAACCCCUGAAAUACAUGUGUUAUGUAUAAGAAAAUUUUUACUCUAUAUAGUAGAGCAUUCUGGGUAUUGUUGCAUGCUUUCGGGUAGAGCUCUCGCUAGUCAUUUGAAAACACGCUUUAAAUGCUUAAAAUGGUUCAGUUAUGUAAUUAUGGACAUUUGGGAUGAGCUUGAACUUAGUGAAUGAAAGUGUCAUAAAGGGGCACUUAGACUAGCACUUAUGAGACUAUCGUAUUGAGACAUAGAAUUAGGCCACUUGAACAUCUAUUAUUUUCCAUGUUGUAGACAUGAUGACAUAGAGAUAGGCCUAUGUGAGAGUGGUGAUAUAUUCCAUGUUAUUAGAUAUGAGGACUUGGUACUUGUGACAGAUCGUUUGACUACUUGUCAUUGUGCUCAUUCGCACAUGCUUGUGAGGGUCGCUCCCUACAAGCCAGCACUCCGGAGAUAGCCAUCGCGAUUCAUAUUCGCCGUGCGGGAUUGGGCGCCGAAGUGGAUUGCCGUGGGCCAGGCUCAUCCCUAGGGUGGGGAUGAUGACUACCACGGGGCCAUUAGGCUUGGCACCGGCCAGACAGCCUACGGGUGGGUCUCAGGGCCAUAGACAGCCUUCGGGUGGGUCUCUUCAUAUUUGACUUCGAGUAUUCAUGAUAACUUAGUGUACUACUUGGACAUUGACUAGAAUAGUAACAACGGGACUUUACUAUUUCGCAUUGUGGACAUUAUGAUAGUUGGAGACUUUUACUGCACGCAUAGUUGAUUUCAUACUUAUGCUAUUUAUACUAAGUAGAGAUAUCAUGUUGUAGUAAGUUACAUUUUUUUUACUUGCCUUUCGCUUUCCUACAUUUAUAGUCACUGACAUCUAUUGUAGCUUUGGGCCUUGUGGUGCAUUCACUGAAGUCAGUAAUUGCCCACUGGGAACUAUUCUUAAUAGUUCUCACGCCCCUGUUUCUAUGUUUCCUUUUCAGAGCAGCAUUUCCCUUCUUCCCUCCUCAUUCUCACCCUCACGCCACCUAUCUAGAGAUCGAGCAGAGAAAGGAAGAGGAGAAGAGAAGAUGAGCUUGCUUGAGGGAGCUUGUGAGCUCAACCCUUUUCUCAUUUUCCACCCUUGCUUGGCUUGGAGCCUUGCUUGUAGAGCUUGGUGAGUGGACCAAUCUUCAACCCAUAAAGAAUUUGGAGCUUAGUUUGGAGGUCAUCGGUUGGGAGCGUUAGUACUGGAUUUACCCUUUGAUCUUAUUUGAGGUUUUACCAUAUGGACCGUAGAAUGGAUAUUAGUGUUGAUUUUAUGGGGCUUUUUUGAUCUAGGGCUUUUGAGGCUAGAUUGAUUGAUUUGAACCAUUCCUUGGGCUUUGGAUUGGAGCAGGAUUUAGCUUCUUUUGGAGCUUUGAGAGAGAUUUUCCACAAAUUAUUGCAGUUUAGCCUUUUGCCAAAGUUCGUGUGUUAAAGCUUCGAUCUUUUAUAGAUUGCAUGCGUGAAGUACACGUGGGAUCGUGUGAAUGCGGCGACCUCAAAUACUUUUAGGGAUAUGUUUUGAGAACUUCGUGGAAAACUCCAUUCGGCGUGCGAGGAGUAGCACGCCGACGAUUCGGUGGGGUUGAGACCUAGAGACCACUCAAUGAGAAGAUCUCAUUGGUGACGAUUUAAGUGUUUAUAAUGAAACGAAGUGGCAUAUAUAUUGUUAUAUGGUAUUAUAUGUGAAUUUUAGAAUGUUAAAUGCUUAAUAUGUUGAUUAUAGAUGAGGAGAAUUUUGGACAGUCCUCUAUUUAGUGUUUGAAGCAUCUCAUGCCUAUUUGUGAUACUGCAUUCUGGGUGAGAUAUUUAAGCUAAGAUCCGCUACUUGAAAAUGAAUCUUGCUUUUCAUGCAUUUAUGCUUAUUUGCAAUUGUGAUCAAAUUAGGAUUUUUGGGAAGCCUGAGAGAGGCUUGAAGGACAUAGGUUCUAUUUGAGAAGAUUGGCGCGCAAUUCAUAAAUAGGCAGUAGGGCCCGGGCUAAAGAUAAGAACUUUAGCGUAGUUAUGUUUUAAUUGAAUAGUACAAAUGAAUUGGGGCCCAUUGAUUUGUUGUGUGGAUGGCUUAGAGUGUCAUAAAGAGGCACUGUAAGCAUGUAGUGUGCUAUCUGGAGCGUUUACUUUGAGACUUAGAUACUAGAUCCUUGGAAAAGAGCGAAGUUAGUGACCGGAUGCCUAUGCGCAGAGCAUGAGAUUUGUAGAAGUUAUUUUGAGACUUUUGACCUUGCUUGCUUGCCGAUUUGUGUCAUUCUCACAAUUUUGCUUGAAGUAGCUGGACGCUACCUACAGCCAAGGCACCUCCGAGAGAUAAGCUACGCGACUUAUGUAUCGCCUCCGUGCAAGGUUAUUAUAUAAGCCUACCGUUCUGGGGAUCGGUGGGACAGCAGACACAUUCCAAAGAGUAGGGAUGCUCGGCGCUACCACAGGCACUUAGGACGACACAAGCUGAUACCUUUGGUAUAGGUUCCUUAAUGAAAUGGAAAUCGAACACGGUGUUAAAAUUUAUGAAUAAUCAAUGCUAAUAGAUUUUGGGCUUAGUCAGUUGGCGUACCUACACGCUCGCUGACAUAGCAUUGUAUACAUUAGUAUACUUGCCUGUUUAUUCUUGUGUCAUUUAGGAUCUGGGUCGCAUUGUGGUAGAGCUUCAUUCUUUAUGCAUGAACUCUUUGGGCGGUAGCAUUUUUCUUUCUUGCCAUCGGACGUACUUGUUUAUGCUAAAUAGAUGUACAUCAUACUACAUCAUGUCCUACUUAGACAUAGUUUUUGUAUAUAGACCUUUGCAUAUAUAUACUUGUCUUUUGAGUAGUUUUUGUUACACGCUCUUUAUUGCUUACUCAUUAUUGUCGUUACUUACUUUUUUAAGUUGCUUUAUUGGUGGCCCGGAAUGAAAAAGGAUGUUGGUGAGUUUGUGGCUAGAUGUUUAACUUGCCAACGGGUGAAGGCUGAGCACCGAGUUCCUGCGGGGAAGUUGCAGAGCCUACCGAUUCCAGUGUGGAAGUGGGAAAAGAUCACCAUGGAUUUCGUGAUGGGAUUGCCUCGCUCACAGGCCGGGCAUAAUGCUAUUUGGAUGAUCGUGGAUAGAUUGACGAAAUCGGCACAUUUCAUAUCUAUCCACACUACUUGGACUGGUGAGAGACUCGCACAGGUUUAUUUGGAUGAGAUUGUGCGAUUACACGGGGUACCUACUUCUAUAGUAUCGGAUCGAGACCCCCAUUUUGUAUCCCAUUUUUGGAGAAGCUUACAGGAUGCUUUGGGUACGCGCUUGGAUUUCAGCACUGCUUUCCACUCCCAGAGCGAUGGGCAGUCGGAGCGUACAAUACAGACCUUCGAGGACAUGUUUCGAGCCUGUGUGAUUGACUUCCAGGGAGGAUGGUCGUAGCAUCUACCGAUGUCAGAGUUUGCUUAUAACAACAGCUAUCAAGCAAGCAUCAAGAUGGCACCGUUCGAGGCACUAUAUGGACGGAAGUGUAGAUCGCCACUUCAUUGGAGUGAAGUUGGCGAGAGAAUGGCUUUAGGCCCAGAUGUGCUCGAGGAAGCAGAGGACAAGGUUCGCAUUGCUCGGGAGCGAUUAUUGACAGCCCAGAGUAGGCAGAGGAGUUAUGCUGAUCGGCGUCGACGAGACUUGGAAUUUCGGAUUGGAGACCAUGUGUUCUUGAAAGUCUCGCCGACCAAAGGAAUUAGAAGAUUUGGAAUCCGGGGUAAGUUGAGCCCCCGAUUCAUCGGACCGUUUGAGGUUUUGGAGCGUGUAGGCCCGGUAGCGUAUCGACUCGCUCUACCGCCAAACCUAUCAGGUGUACACAAUGUGUUCCAUGUAUCGGUCCUUCGGAAGUACAUCCACGACCCGGCUCAUGUUUUGGACGCUACGCCUUUGGAGCUGAGGGAGGACUUGAGCUUUGAGGAGCAACCUUUGAGGAUUUUGGCCCGCGAGGUAAAACGAUUGCGCAACCGCGAGAUUCCAUACGUGAAGGUGCUUUGGAGCAACCACGACGAACGCGAGGCCACUUGGGAGCUGGAGAGCGCACUAAGGGAGCGCUAUCCCCAUCUUUUUCAGAUGGAGGCUUGAGGUACUUGUCAUCUCGAGUUUCGCGGACGAAACUCCCUUUUAGGAGGGGUGAAUGUAGCACACUAGACCUUUGCAAAUUGCGAGGUUCGAGUGUUUGGAUGUAUUUCGAGCUUUUCCACACUUGGUGGAGGGUUGUAGAAUAUUUUCCAACCUAAAAAGUUCGAAAACUAGAAUUCGGGACAAGUCCUGAGAGUUUUUACUCUCGGGGACCGGUCCCUGAAAGGAGAGACCGGUCCCCAAGUGAGCAGUGUUGCGGCAGCCUUGAGGCAACCGGUCCCUGGCAGGCGAGACCGGUCCCCGAGCGCGCCUACGUAGUGAGAGACCGGUCCUGCGCAGGGAGAGACCGGUUCCCGAAAAGGUUUUCCGGGUUCGCAACGAGAGACCGGUCCCUGCUGGGGAGAGACCGGUCCCUCUGGGCAAAAACUGCCCAGUUCGGGCUGAUGUAAAUUUGAGUUUUUGAGGGGCCUCUCCGGAUUUUGUUACACUAGAUGGGCUUAUUAGCCAUUUCCUCUCUAACCUCCCUCAUUUCUCCCUUCACCCCACACCUUCUCAGAGGAGAGAAAAGGAGAGGAGAAGAAGAAGAGAGCUUGCUUGAGGGAGUUGGAGGCUCAACCCUUUUCUCUAUUUUCCACCCUUCGCUUGGCUUGGAGCCUUGCUUGUAAGCUUGGUGAGUGACCAAUCUUCAACCCAUAGAAGAAUUUGAGCUUAUUUGGAAGGUUCUCUUGGGAGGUUAGUACUGGAUUCUACCCUUUGAUCUUUAUUUGAGGUUUUACCAUACUGGAACCGUAGAAUGGAUAUUAGGGUUGAUUUUUGGAGCUUUUUUAAUCUACGGGCUUUUGAGGCUAGAUUGAUUGAUUUGAACCUUCCUUGGGCUUGGAUGGAAGGAAUUUAGCUCUUUUUGGAGCUUGCGAUAGAUUUCCACACAUUAUGUUGAGUUUUUAGCCCUUUGCCAAGUUUUGUCUAAAGUUCGAUCUUAUUAGUUGAUCGUAAUACCCGGGUAUCUCGUUCUGCUCAAAUACUUUUUAGGGUAUUUUGAGACUCGGGAAAACUCCGAUUCGGCGAAUCGAGAGUAGCCACGCGACGGUUUCGGGGGUUUUGACCUAGCCACUCAAUGAGAGAAAAUCUCCUGUUGACGAUUUAAGCUGUAUAAAAUGAAAAAGGCAUGCAUUUCUGUUAUAUGUAUUUAUUGUAAUGGUGGAAUACUUAACAUGCUUAUAUUGCCAUAUAGUUUAGAAUUUUGGGCCUCUAGGUAGUAGAGAGCAUGCAUGUGUGAUACGGUCUGGUGAGAUAUGAGCUUAAGAUCCCUACUAUGAAAAUGAACCUUGCUUCUGCAUUUAGCUUAUUUGCCAAUUGUGACAUAGGAAUUUUUGAAGUCCUAGAGAGCGCUUGGGACUUAAAGGCUAUUGAGAGAUUGGCCAAUGUCAUAAACAGGCACUUGGGCCCGCGGCUAAAGUGAACCUUAGCUAGUAUUACUUUUAAUGAUAUGGAACAUGAUUGGGAGAUUAGUGUGAUACUUAAGUUCAUAAAGAGCAAUAAGCAAGUGAUGCUGCGUUCGGAGGUCACUUUGAGACUUUUGGACUAGAUCCUUGGGGGCUGUGACCAUGGCCGAUGCGAGAGGCACUGAGUAGAGUACUUGAGACUUUGCCCAUUGCUUGCUUCGCCAUUUGUGGUCAUUCGCACUGCUUUGAGGGGUCGCCCUCCCUACAAGCCGCACUCCGGGAGUUAGCCUACGGACUUAUGUUCGGUCGUGUGAGUAUGAGAAGCUCUACAGGGGUCGAUUGGACGGACACUUCAAAGUAGGGAUGUCGGGCUACCACAGGCACUUACGCGGCACAAGCUGGACUACCUUUGGUAGGUCCUUAAUUGGAAAUGGAAAUCGACACGGUGUUAAAAAUGAAUAAUCACUGCUAGAUAGGCUUAGUAGUUGGGUUACCUGACACGCUCAUGACAUAGCAUUGGGAUACAUAUAGUAUACUUGCCUGUUUCAUUCAUUGUGUCAUAGUAUACUGGGUCGCAUGGUAGAGCUCAUUCUUUAUGCAUGACAUCUUGGACGGUAGCAUUUUCUUCUUGCCAUCGGACGUACUUGUUUAUGCUAGAAUAGAUGUACAUCAUACCUACAUCAUGCCUACUUAAGACAUAGUAAUAUAGCCUUUCAUAUAUACUUUCUUUUAGUAGUUAUUGUACACGCUCUUUAUUGCUUACUAUUAUUGUCGUUACUUACUCUUUUCUUUUGGGGCCUAGUGGUGCAUUGAGCUGAGGUCAGUAAUUGCCCACUGGGAACUAUAAAUUAUAGUUCUCACGCCCUCUGUUUUAUGUUUUCUUUCAGAGCCUUCCACGCCGGGAGAGGCUAGGGACCGUGGGAAGGGCGUCGCUUCGAGUUAGCCCUUCAGCGAGAGACGAGUUUAGGUGGUCUACCUCUCGAUGUUUUAUUUUGUGAGAGGUUGAGAGUUGUACCCGUAUAUGUAUAGAGACCACCUUUCUUUUGGAUCUUGGUAUUUCUUUUGUGGAGUUAGUAUUGUAUCAACUUAUGUUUUACUUUCUUCGUCUUGGUAUAUUUCCUUUACUCUGGUUUAGAGGAUAGAACUUUCCUCGCUCUGAUAUCGUUAGUUGUUAUUAUUCUAUUUGUUCUAUUUCUUGCUUUUACUUCCGCUUUAUUGUAGACGCCUUAUAUGUGUAGACAUAUGGCGGGUCUGGGCACGCCACCCGGAGGGCCCCCGCCGGUCCCAGGACGUGACACGUUCGAAGUAUUGGAACAGGUAGGUGUGGUGGCGUACAAAAUAGCAUUACCACCGAGCUUGUGGGAGUACACGAUGUGUUCCAUGUAUCGAAUCUCCGCUAGUACGUUCAUGACCCCGAGCAUAUCCUGUCAUUUGAACCGUCCGAGAUCCAAGAGGACAUGACCUAUGAGGAGUUCCCGACAUACAUCAUCGAUCGAGAAGUAAGAAAACUGCGAAGUCGCGAGAUUCCGUAUGUUAAGAUUCGUUGGUGCAAUCACGAUGAUCGGGAAGCUAUUUGGGAGCUCGAGAGCCCAAUGCGGGAGCAUUAUCCUCACCUUUUUAACGAGCUGAAUUGAGGUAUGAGUUUAAGUCUAAAUUAAGUAAGUUUCACGGACGAAACUAAAUUUAAGGGAUGGAGAAUGUAACAUACCGAAACCUCGGUAAUUAAAUUCGAACCUUUGUCAAAUUGACCAAAGUGCGAGGUUGGUACACUUCGGAGAGGCCGAAGGCGUCAAAUAAUGCAAAAAUGCAUUACUGGGGAUCUUCGAGAGCUUUUGAAAAACAAAAUCUGCAAACUGUAGGUUUUGUGCUCUCGGGGACCGGUCCCUGGUGGGAGAGACCGGUCCCCGAACGUGUAGGCAGCGAGGGAGGCUGAGAAAUAGGCUAAGUCCAGGAGAACCAGCUCUCGGGAAUGUUAAGGAUUUUAUAAGUUGGCGAAUUUCGUGAAGUAUUGAACGGAGUCUCGAAGAAUUAGAAGAUAAAGAUUGAAGAAAGAGUUGAGGUUUCGUGAUCAAAGACCUUUGAGAUCUCAGGUAUGAUUAUAAUAAUUUGUGGUGAAGUUUUUAUUGUUAAAAGAUGUUUAGAAGACUUGGUCUAUAUUUGAGUUGAUUAAAUUUAAGUUUUCUAAAAAACUCAGGGGUCGGGGACCGGUCCUUGAUCAGAAAGACCGGACCCAUCAAGCUUCUCUGCGUAGAAGUUUUGGGAGACCGGUCUCUGAUCUUGAGAACCGGUCCCCGUACGUGGUUUUUCUUGUUGCGCAGGGAAGGACCAGUCUCUGAAUUGAGGACCGGUCCCCGUACGCAUAUUUUAACAUCUACGCAGCGAAAGACCGGACCUCACCUUGGAGGACCGGUCUCCCAAGGACCGGUCUCCUCGAAAGAACCGGAUCCUGAGACCGUCGUCUGUUUUUAAAAUUGAGUUUUUGGAAUCCUAAUCUACCUAGAAGUCUUCUAAACCUAUAAAUAUGAUAUGAGGAUCUCUAUUUGAGGUGAGUUGAGCAAAAUAACUUUCAGAAACCCUAACGGCUUGAUUCGGAGAUUUGUUCAAUGUUUUAACCAUCAAGCAUUAGAUCGUCAAUUUGAUUCUUUGAUUUUGAUUCAAAUUUUCGUUAAGGAUCAAAUUGGUGAUGUUUUAAUUUGGGUUUCUCCUCAUAUUAUAUGUGCUUUCAAAGAUCUUAAAUCACCACAAAUAGUUGAAUUUCUAUGAGCUUCGGAUGAAGCGUUAGCGUGUGGAUCUCGCGUGAAGACCGUGGAUUCAGUGGUCGUUUCGUGGAAUCAAGGCGUGUGCGGCUGCAAGGAUUUGCAGUGUGAUCGGUUGGAGGAUUCCAAGCGGUCGUUGACUGGCAAAGAUAAUCUACAGCAAGGAUUCGGUAUUUUGAGUCUUGUAUUUUUGCAAAAUCACUUGUACUUAUGUUUUCUUAGUGUAUUUCUUUGUGUGAUCGGUCAUGUGGGUUUUUCUCUCCGAUUUGGAGUUUUCCGCGUUUACUUUAUAUUCGCAUCGAGUUUAUUUUAUUUUUACCAUUUACACCUAUUCACCCCCCUCUAGGUGUGUUUUCACCUUUUAGAUCCUCGGGAUCCAUAUCUAACAAGUGGUAUCAGAGCGGGUAUAGGUUGUAAUCUAUGGCCGAGGGCGGUAACAUUAAUCGACCCCCUCUCUUCGAUGGCACUAACUACGCUUAUUGGAAAGUCCGUAUGAGGGCGUUUCUUAUUGCUAUCGACGAGAGGGUUUGGCAAGCCAUUGAAUUCGGAUGGAAACAUCCUACUGAAGUGGUCGAGAAUGUUACCGGUCCGAAACCUAGAAAUAAGUGGACAAAAGAGGAAAACGAACUAUCUUCGUUCAAUGGGAAGGGUAUCAAUGCUUUGUUCAAUGCUUUGAAUCAAACUGAAUUUUCUCGAGUUUCGGCGUGUGAAACCGCCAAAGAAAUUUGGGAUACCUUACAAAUCACUCAUGAGGGUACAAGCUUGGUAAAGGUUCAGAAAUUACAAAUGUUGACUAGUCGUUUUGAUUCUAUUCGUAUGGAAGAAAAUGAACCUUUACCGAGUAUUAUACUCGUCUUCAAGAUAUUAUCAAUACUUGUGCAAAUUUGGGUGAAAAAAUUUCUGAACCAAAAAUUGUUCGAAAAAUUUUGAGAACCCACCCUUCCCGAAUGUUUUCGUCCCAAGGUUGCGGCCAUAGAAACGGUAAAACAUCCGGAUGAACUCAAAGUAGAUGAAUUAGUUGGUUCUCUUCAAACGUAUGAAAUGACUUUUCCUGCUAAUUCAUCUUCUUCCAAGUUGUCUUCUAAAGCUUCAGGUAUGGCACUAAAAUCAACGAAAGGAGGCAAUGUGGAAUCUUCUUCAUCGGACUCGGACUCAGACGUAACCAUGGAAGAGUUUGAGAAGCAAAUGGCUCUUUUGACUAAGAAGUUUCAUCGGAACUUUAGAAAGAAGUUCUCUUCUAAGCCAAUUCCCUCCAAGCCAAACAAAUCAAAAGGGAGUUCCUCUUCCUUCUCUUCUUCAAAGUUUAAAAAGUUGGAAAAUUUUCAAAAAGAUUUUACAAAAGAAAAGAAAAGUAGCGAAGGUCAAAUACAAUGCUAUAAGUGUAGGGGAUUUGGUCAUAUUGCAUCAGAUUGUCCUAACAAAAAGUCUUUGAAGAAGAAAGCGAUGCGAGCCAUUACUUGGGAUGAGUCCUCCUCAGACGAAUCGUCCUCAAGUGAUGAUGACGUUAAUGCCAUUGCACUUAUUGCACAGGAUUCUACUUUUAUGUGUUUAGCAUCUACUGAUUCAAUUUCUAUGUCUUCUUUGCAUGGAAAAUCUUCUACGGAAAGCUCAACGGAUGAAGAAUCGGAAGAAGAGGAUAUGGCCGCCGCAUAUCAUCAACUUGUUAUUGAAUCAAAGAAAGUGGCGAAACACAACAAGAAGUUGAGAUGAAGACUGUAUGAUCUAGACCAAGACAAUACAAGAUUAGAGUCAUUGACAAAAAGUUUGGAGCAAGAAAAGGACACUUUGACCGAGUUAUAUAAUACUUUAUUAGACAAGUGUGCACUGCUUCAGAAGGAAAAGGAAACUUUGGUUGAAAACAUUAAUUUUCUUAACAAGCAAUACACGGAAGCAAGAUAAUCCAACAUGGAAUUUACCAAGACUAUCAUUCAACUCAAAUCUGAUUUGAACAAAUUCUCGUCCGGGUCAAGCAAACUUGAUAAGAUGUUAGGACUCGGUCAAACCAACAAACUUGGACUUGGAUACGAACGGACAUAUGUCGAUCAAGCAAUGAAGAAAGUAGACGAACAUUCGACAAAACCGGUUCUGAAGCUCUAUGGUAAGUUUGUUCCUCCAAAGAAUUUAUUUGCUAACAAAACCUGUCAUCUUUGUGGUGCUGUAGGUCAUGUGAAGAGAUUUUGCAAACAAAAGCCGAAAAAUGCUACAACACACAUGAAUAGGAGACCAAAGGGACAACUGAAGAAGGAGAAUCCAAAGACAAAGGCAAGACAAAUGUGGAUGCCUAAGAAGAAUGAUUCAAAGAAAAGAAUUACACAAAUCGACGACAAGCAAAGCGUAUCUCAAUCAAGUCGGACAACGCAACCCAAAACACAUAAGGUUUGGGUGCGCAAAGGUGAACUCUUUCCUUGCCUUGUCAUUCACACUUCACUUCAUGCUUACGACAAUGCUUCUUGGUAUCUGGAUAGUGGCUGUUCACGUCAUAUGACCGGUGAUAAAAAUUAGUUUUUUUCUUUAAACAAAAUCUCCGGUGGACUUGUUGUUUUUGGAGAUGGUCGGUCAUCAAAAAUUGUUGGAAAAGGAACUGUCGCUAUCUCAGAUGGCCCUACUUUGAAUGAUGUCUUUUAUGUUGAGAGGCUCAAAUCAAAUCUCGUGAGCAUAAGUCAGUUGUGUGAUGACGGGUACUCCGUUAAAUUUUCUGACAAAGAUUGCACUAUGACUCGUAAUAAUGACAUCUUCUUAAAAGGUGUAAGAUCGGAGAAUAACUGUUAUGUAGUUCCUAGCUCUUCAACUGAACAUUGUAACCUAACGACAUUAGAAACUGAAACUUUAUGGCAUGAACGUCUAGGUCAUAUGAACUUUAAGGAACUAUCUAAGAUAACUAAGAAGGAGGUUGUUCGAGGUGUACCUAAGAUAGACUUCAAGGAGAACACUGUGUGUGGGGGUUGCCAAUUGGGGAAACAAACUAGAGCCACACAUAAGAAUUUGAACCACUUAGGGACAUCUAAACCAUUAGAGCUACUACACAUGGACUUAAUGGGACCCUCUCGGAUUCAAAGUGUGGGUGGUAAACGAUACAUUCUGCUUAUUGUUGAUGAUUUUACUCGUUUUGUCUGGAGUGCUUUCUUACGUGAAAAGGCUGAUACCUUUAAUUCUUUUUCUGAAAUCUAUCUUCGCCUUAUGAAUGAAAGGAAUGAUAAAAUUGUACGCAUUCGAAGUGAUCAAGGGGGAGAAUUCAUAAAUUCAAAAUUUGUUGAUUUCUGUGUUUCAAAAGGCAUCAAACAUGAAUUCUCUGCUCCCUAUACACCACAAUAGAACGGAGUGGUUGAACGUAAAAACCGGGUUGUUCAAGAGAUGGCACGUGUUAUGCUUCAUAGCAAGAAAGUUGCACUACACUUCUGGGCUGAAGCAGUUAACACGGCUGUCUAUGUGAUUAACCGCAUCUAUUUACGCCCGGGUACUUUAAACACUCCGUAUGAAUUGUGGAUUGGUAGAAANGGGAGGGCCCCCGCCGGUCCCAGGGCGUGACAGUUGCUCUUCAAAGCUCAAAUCUUCUUGUAUCUUUAUUGGAAUACUUUCCAAAAUAUGAGUGGGAUCAAAAAUAUAUUUCCGAAGCGUAGAUACAUGAAAUACAUUAUGUAUUCCCGAUAGAUUUGGUGGCAAUGCAAGUCGAUACGCUAUCGGGCCGAUCCGCUCCAAUACUUCAUAAGGUCCAAUGAAUCGAGGACUUAGAUUUCCUCGAAUACCAAAUCUUUUUACUCCUUUUGUUGGUGAUACUUUUAAAAAUACGUGAUCUCCAAUCUGGAAUUCCAAUUCUCGUUGACGUUUAUCUACAUAGCUUUUCUGUCGACUUUGUGCUGUCACCAGUCGAUCUCGUGCAAGUCGAACUUUAGAUUCAGCUUCUUGCAAAACAUCUGGUCCCAAGGUUAAUCUCUCGCCUACUUCACUCCAAUGAAGUGGUGAUCUGCAUUUUUUUCCAUAAAGGGCUUCAAACGGUGCCAUUUUUAUGCUUGCUUGAUAACUGUUGUUAUAAGCAAAUUCUGCCAUCGGUAGAAACUCUGGCCAAUCGCCCCGAAAAUCCAUUACACAAGCUCGUAACAUGUCCUUGAGAGUCUGGAUAGUACGCUCGGUCUACAAUUCACUCUGAGGGUGGAAAGCAGUACUAAAGUCCAAUCGAGUACCUAAAGCCUUCUGCACAUUCUGGGUAUUAUACAUGCAUGUGAGAGGUGUCAUGGUAGCGAAUUAGAAACUUGUCUCGUAUGCUCAAAAUAGCUCAAAUUAUGCAUUUGUGAACAUUUGAUUCAAGCUUGGACUUAGCGAAUAAAAAAAAAAAUACCAUCAAGGGGCACUUGACUUAGUAGACUAUGAAACUGCUACUUUGAGACACAGUGAUAGGCCAUUGACAUCUAUUACUUUCCAUGUUUUAGACAGGAUGCUAUAGAGAUAGGCCAUUGAGACAUUCGAUAUACAUGUUCCAUGUUUUUUUAGACAUGAGGACUCGGUACUUGAGACGGAUCUUACGCUUGUUGCCAUUGUGCUCAUUCACACAUGCUUGUGAGGGUCAGUUCCUACAAGCCGGCACUCCAGAGAUGGCUAUCACGAUACAUAUUCGCCGUGCGGGAUUUGGCGCCGAAGUGGAUUGCCGUAGGCAAGGCUCAUUCCCAGAGUGGGGAUGUUGACUAUCACGGGGCCAUUAGGCUCAGCACCGGCCAGACAGCCUACGGGUGGGUCUACAAGCCAGACAGCCUUCGGGCGGGUCUUCCAAGAUUUAACUUUAAAUAGUUAACAUGUCAAGUGAACAUUGACUAGAAUAGUAAUCAAUGACAUUUUACUAUUACAUGGUGGAUAUUAUGUUGACUGUAUACUCGUACAUUUUCAUGAUAGAAUAGCUUUCUUACUUAUGCAUUUUCAUGCUACGUAGAGACAUCAAGUAGUAGCAAGGACUCAUGUUCAUUUACUUGUCGUAUAUAUCGCUUUUGCUUAUACUCGUACUUACCCCCUUUUUGUAGCUUUUGGGUCUAGUGGCGCAUUUCACUGAAGUCAGUAAUUGUCCACUGGGAACUAUUAUUUAAUAGUUCUCACGCCCCCUGUUUUAUGAUUUUAUUCAGAGCCUUUGGCACCGGCGGAGGCACAGGAUCACGGAAAGGGUGUCGCCUAGCUAAAUAGCGGGAGCUGCUUGCUCUUAGGUGGUUACUCUCUUUUUGUGUUUUUGGUGAGAGUGAUAUUUUUGUACCAUGUAUAGAGGCCACCUAUGUACUCUUUUAGCUCUUGUUUUGGGAUAUCUUUUGUAUUACUUAUGACUUUUAUUUAGUGGAUUUGGAUUUCUUUUACCUUAUCAUGUUGUAGAAAUCUAGAUGUAUUUUGCUCUAAUAUCAUUAGAUCUUUUCGUAUUAUUGCUUUAUUUAUCGCUUUAUUCUAGACGCCUUGUAUUUUUAGACAUAUGGCGGGUCUGGGCACGCGCCGGGCGGGCUUCCGCUGAGCCCCGGGGCGUGANCAUGGUUGAUGGUUUAACAGUGCGGGGCCCCGAGUCGCCUUCGGGCGGGCCGCGCACGGGUCUGCCGAGGUCUCGAGUUCGAAUCCUAGUUGAUUCACAUUUCCAGCUAAGUUUAUUUCUAAAAGAAAUAAAUAAAGCAGGUGACAUGCUAUCUUUCUCUCAAAAAUAAUUCAAAUAUAAAUAUAAAUAUAAAUUUAAAUUUAAAAAUUGAAUCUAAAAUAAAGUUAAAAUUUUAAAAUUUGAGUCCUUAAAAUCAGAUAUUUGUAUUAGUGGCAUUAUAUUUAUGUGCCACUAAUAAAUAACUUAAAAUUAGCAUUUAAUCCCUUUUAGUGGCAUGUUACUAAUGAUACUAAUUGAUUUAUAUUGGUGGCAUUCAUUAUAAAUGCUGCUAAUACUUUUAGCAAUAUUGGUAUAGGUAGCAUUUGGUGUCAAAUGCUGCUAAAACUUUUAACGGCAUUCGUUUAUCUUUUAGUAGCGUAAAUAAAUACCGCUAAUGACUAAUUUUUAGUAGUAUAUUUAGAAAGAAAAGCCCUAGCCCUAGACGUGUGAUGCAUGAUUUCAAUCAUAAAUUGCAUAUAACUCCCCCAGCAAUAGAAUUUCAUAGCUAAUCCCUCACAUGAGGUGUGUUUUGCGUAGAAGUUCUACCACAAGCCUCCCCAUUCAGAUGCAUAUAUAAAAUAAUAGGUUUCCCUUCCCGAAACCGAAGUUGCGCAUCGCCAAAUUAUCAAAAAUCCACCAAUUUUCUACACUCGGAUUGUCGAAUCCAAAAUCCGACUUCACCAUGACUCCCAGCACUGCCGGACUAUCGAAAACGACCUAUUGAAUCGAUCAAAACGGUGCCCGAUUGGCAUCUGAAGUCAACAUUACGCCUUCGUCCCAAAUAGAAAAGUUAUUUACUAUUCACUUAAGUGUACAUUGAAAAUUGCGUAACUGCUUUAUUUUAAUUCAUUUUUAAAUUUGGCAUGCGAUUUUAGAAUUAAAAUACACACGAUAACAUUAAAAAACAUAAAAUUUACAUAGCGAAAAGUCUUAGUCCUCACACAAGUUUUGGAUUCUAAAGCCAAGGUCCGAACCCCGAGACUAGAAAACCUCAAGUAUGGCUUAUUUCAAAAAUUUUGUUUUCGCGCUAAUUUGCUUGAAAAUCUUCUAAUUCCUCUCCUACAUUACCAAAGUCUCUCUAACUGCACUAAAUGUUGUUUUCUCCACUAAAACCUCCCAAUUUUUCUACUAUUUUUCUAAUUAAUACGUUUGGUUGCGGAAAUAAAUUUUAUUAUAUAUUCUUGAUUUAUUUACCAAAUAUAGCCUAGGUUGGUUUCUUACGUGACAUCUUAGCUAUACUUGAAAACUUGCAUGCUAAGAAAUUUCUGUCUUAGGCCUUUUCAACUUGUGGAAUGUUGGGAGACUGAAAAGAUAGUCGAAGUUGACACUUUGGUAACAACGUUUAUGUAAGCGCUGAUGGAGAUCAUCCCCAUAUUAGUCCACCUGGGUGUCAACGCAUGCGGAUCAGGUGGUGAUUUGGCCCAAGUACGUUUCUUGUCUAGCUUGGAGAACAAGCAUCCAAGAACAGGAAUUGUACACACAAACAGCACGAGAGCAGUCAAAGGAAGAGAGUGUGUGUGUGUGUGUUUAUAGAAAGAAAUUAGGAGAGAUACCAACUAGUAAUAACACCAAUUCCUUUCUGCUAGUAUGCUAUAAAUUAUUCUUAAUAAUAAGACAUUCGAUUUUAUCUGGUUUUAUAAUUGACACAAUUAACAUAUAUAAUGUAAGGUAACGUAAGGUUUUAAAUUUUCUACAAAUUAAUAAAAUUUUAAAAUUUUCAAAAUUAUUUUACAGGCCAUCAAAUGGCCAAAAAUGAACAGUCAAAAUUUAAAUCUUACUCUAAAUAGUUGAAAAUCAGGAGCCUGGGGCUCCGCCCUCGGUCCAACAAUUUUAUUUCCACAGGUAAUAUUCGUAAUUACCGGGAUUUAGAAAAGCACGUUUGUUGGACUUUUUAAAAUCAGUUUUCAAGUUCAUUGAGUAGCAAAUUCUUUUACAAUCAAGGUAAAAUGUCACAAUUUUAUAAAAUUAAUUUUACUAUCUAUAUAAUAAUCUAUAAAUAAUAUAUAAUAUAUCAAUAUAUCUAUAUAUAUCUAUUUCUAUAAAUAUAUCAAUAUAUCUAUAUAUCUAUAGGGGUGGAAACGAGCCGAGCUCGAGCGAGCUUACCUCGGCUCAAAUUCGGCUUGAAAUUAAUUUUCGAGCCUAAACUUAAGCUCAAGCUUGGAUUGAAAUUAAUUCGAGCCAAUUCGAGCCGAGCUCGAGCGAGCCUAAUUUCGAGUCGAGCGAGCUCGAGCCCUAAACGAGCCGCUUGAAAUUCUCAACAUCAUAUGAUCAAUAGUUUAAUUUGUAUAGAACAUUAUCUAUAAUUUGAUACAAAAAUAUGUCUAAUAGUUCAAAAUACAAAAUAAUUAUAUAAAAUAUAGUAUUAUAAUAUGAAGAAAAAAAAUUUAUGAGUUGAAUAUCUAAUCUUUUUAGCCUCACAUGUCUUUUCUUCCGCCUUCAAUCUCCAUAUUAUUCAUUUUUAUUUAUGCAGUCAAAAAUAAAUAAAUUAUAUAGAUAAAUAUUGGAUUAAACUAUCCAAUCAUAUAUAACUAAAAUUAAAAUUUUAUAUGAAUAAUAAUUUUUUACUUUAAAAAUAUUCUGUAUAUUUUCUCAAGUAUACAAUUAAUAGCAAGAUAGACAACGGCAGCCAUAUGCUGCUACUUGGUAACUUGGAGGGUUUCCGGCUUGGCCAAAUAGGGUGAGAGACAGAAAAAGAGAAAGAGAGAAACACAUUGAAAAUUUAAAGCUCUGUGAAAGAAAGAAAGAAAGAAAAAAUGUAUAAAUUUAGUAAAAUUUUGCUCUUUUAUUUGUUUACUAUUGAGUUUGUUUUUAUGGGCCAACAAUAUUGGCCCAAUUUUAACUAAAUUAAGAUUAUUCACUCAGCCUAUAUAUAACUAAAAUAUAUGAUAUUUAUAUAUUUUUUAAUAUAUAUAUAAGUUAGAACUACUAUGUUAUCGAAAAUAUAGAGGAUUUGAUGUUUUCGAAUUUUUGACCCUUUGAAUAAGAAUUGUAUGGUUGGGAUGAUUGCGGUCCCCGCUAGGAUUAAAUAAUAUCCCUAGAAUUGAGUGGUCCCUACAAGAUAAUAAUAGUAUUAAUUCAAAGAAAUGAUUAGUUGAUCUAAAAAUCAAAAAAGCAAAAGCACCAGAUCCUCUAUACUUUAUGUUAUCGAAAAUAUAGAGGAUUUGAUGUUUUCGAAUUUUUGACCCUUUAAUUAAGAAUUGUAUGGUUAGGAUGAUUGCGGUCCCCCCUAGAAUUAAAUAAUAUCCUUAGAAUUGAGUGGUCUCUACAAAAUAAUAAUAGUAUUAAUUCAAAAAAAUGAUUAGUUGAUCUAAAAAUUAAAAAAUCGAAAGCAUCAGUUCCUCUAUACUUUUGAUAGCAUAUAUAUAUAUAUAUAUAUAUAUAUAUAUAU
This 128271-nucleotide long non-coding RNA is filed under the name Ananas comosus (pineapple). RNAcentral's name for it is "long non-coding RNA (ACOM_LNC023406)". The record is from RNAcentral. Lineage: Eukaryota; Viridiplantae; Streptophyta; Magnoliopsida; Poales; Bromeliaceae.